This 95227-nucleotide long non-coding RNA is filed under the name Eutrema salsugineum. RNAcentral's name for it is "long non-coding RNA (ESAL_LNC002202)". Lineage: Eukaryota; Viridiplantae; Streptophyta; Magnoliopsida; Brassicales; Brassicaceae. The record is from RNAcentral.
UAGAGAUGGAUGUCUUACGUUCACUGAUUGUUCUUUUUAUCUGUUAGCAAUGUAGAGCGGUUAAGGGACUUCAUCAGGCAGGUGUAUGUAAAUAGAAGGUACACGAAUGAGAAGAACGAUGACAAACCUCCAAGAGGACCGAUGGUGAGAAGUAUUUCUUCUUUAAUUAAUUUCCUGUAGAUAAGCCUGGCUUGUCCAAAUAGAUUUGUUCAUUAAUAUAGCAUCAUUGCAGUCUGCUGUGUCAUGAUUCCUUGUAUUUUCAUAUUCUGCAGAGCGAUAGUGAGACACGAAGUUCUAGUGGGUCUCGCAGUCCACCAUACGAAGAUACGUAUGACCGUCGUUACAGCGACAGAUCAAGUCCUGGUGGGAGAAGUCCAGGGUUUGAGCCAGGCAACAAAAAAAGCCCUUCUCGUCCUGAGAUCUUGAAUGAUUGGCGUAGAGAGGAUAGAUUUGGGGGUAGAAAAAAACCAGAAGAGGAGUCCCAUUCACCUGAGCAAGUAAAAGAUAUGGGUUCAGCUAGCCCUCCUGUACUUCGACCCGUUAGGGAAAUUUUGGGUGACAGUGUUAUUCCUCUUCGGGUGAUAGAGCCUCCAAAACCCCAAGUUAACCGAAAUAACGAUGCUUCAGCACUUGCAAAGGUUUGGCUUUAUCGUUGAAGUCCAUAUAGAUACCAUCUAUAUCUCAGUAUAAGAUAACUUUAAUAUAUUCUGUUUGUCCAAUUUCAGCCAGCCGCAUCAUUGAGUAGUUUAACCUCCACAAAUGAGAAUCCACCAGAAGUUAAGCUGGAGACUGCUAUAAGCCUAAUUGAUUUUGAUGAUCCCGAACCUUCAGCUCCAUCUGUUGCAAUACAAGCACCGAUAUCGAUCACACCUCAUCCUGCUCCACCGCCAGCAAGUGCAACUAAUGAUAACUGGGCAUCUUUCGAUGCCGCGCCCAGUGUCCCUAGUAUAAAUGUAUCUCAGUCACCACCCAGUGGUGGAAACACAGUGGAUUCACUUCUCUCUCAGUUGACAGCUCCUUCUUCCGUGCCAGUUCAGACAUCUACACUAUCUGGCGGACCUGUUCAUCUUGGUCAUUCCACGUCACAAAUCUUUGCACCACCUCCAAAUGGACAUUUAAGUGAACAGGUGGGUAUUUCAUUGCAUGGUCUCUCAAAGAAUUGCAUAAAAUUCAGCUUAAAAACUGUUGUGUGUUUUAUGCGUCUUGGAUUUUUGUCACAGCCAUGGAACACGGGACUAGCAUCUAAUGUACAAAGAUCAAUGAGUGCACCGUCAUUGCAACCUCUUCAAGGAGUCCCUCCUGGUGGCCUGCAGACUAAUGAAGUUAAACCUUCCGGAAGAACAGAAUUACCUGCGGUAACAAUUUAUUUAAGCCAUUUGGUCUGUCUUGUUUCUAUAUCUUACCAUCUGUGGGUUUGUAGAUAACAUGCUAAACUGGGUGCAGGAUUUAUUCACUGUAACCUACCCAUCAUACAGUGCACCAGUGCCUGGGUGGCAAGCUGGUCCACCUCAUGCUGUGCACUAUGGCAUGCAGCAGUAUAAUAACACCAUGGUAACAAUUUUUCUGAUAAACUUCUGAAUCGCAUAAUGAAUUUGAGCAACAUUGACAUCGCAGCCUGAUAUUUCAUGCGACAGUCUUACCAGAAUGUUCCGCAUCCAGCCAAGUCAAUAAACCCUUUUGACUUCAGCUCUGAGCCGCCAUCACAGACACAAACAGUAUGUCUUCCAGCUCAUUUGACUUAAUCCAUAAUAGAACUUUUGUGUGAUAACAAGCAUGUCUUGGAAAUUAAUGGCAGUUGAGCAAAUGUUGAUUUGAGCACUUAAUAAAGUGCUUACAAAAACUUAGCUUAUGAGUUGAUUGGUUAAACCCGUUCCCUAUACUCAAUUUCGGCACUUCCAUCCGAGCAAGUUGUUUUAUCAAAGUAUUGAUCGAGUAAUCUAUUAGUGAUUACAUGUUAAAUGAUGUCAAAAAAAAACGGUACAGAAAACUAUGUUCCCUUCCAUGGCGUCUCUGCAAGGUGCAUUACCUCCUUCAGGCAUGAUGCCUUCUCAGGGAGUACACAAUCAUUUCAGUAUACCCUCUCAAGCCUCAAACCAUCUAUCUGCAAUGCCACCGAGUAAAUAUAAAACAUACCUAUUUUUCAUUUUUUCCCCAGUUUACUUAGUUAUCUCAUCAAUUGAAUGAUACGUUGACUCGUAUGAAAUGUUGAUGAAUUAUUGGCUCCCAAUUUUUCAGGGUACAUAUCUCCUCAAAUACCAGGAAGCAUGCCACCUAGGUAUGAUCCUUUUGAUUCAGUUAAUCCAUUAGUGUUUGCUUCCAUCAUACAUUCACUGCAUAUAGUUGGUCUUAGCGCGAAAACGUCUACUUCUUAUUUCAUCUUUCAAGAAUCGGAUCUAAAGAUCAUAACCGUUGGUUUUGCAGCAAUGUAAGCCCUGUUGGCAACAUGGGAGCUCCAUAUGAAACUCAACAAACAUAUAACAAUAUCGGAAGCCCAUUUGCUUCUGUAGUCCCUUCGAACCCACCUUCUUUCCCUUCAGGAGGAAACCCGUUUGGGUAAAGAAGAACGAGAGCAUUAGCUCGAGAUCUGUUGUACUUGAAGAUUGAUUGAGUUCUAAGGUGUACUAUGUAAGGUUAUCAAAUUGAAUCCAAAAACACGGGUUAAAGUGCGUGAACGGUGAAGGAAGGUACGAGUCAUGAACUUGGAAAAGAAUUGGGUUUGCGAGGUUGGGUGUUUAGAUAAAAUUUUUUCAUAUAAAGGUUUUGAAAUAGGUUUCAUUAUUAUUAUUCUUUGAUAUUCUAUAUUUCAGUUUCCCUUUUGAUGUUGUUUUAUUGUAAUAAAUUUGAGGGCGGUUCGGUGGUUCCUUUAGAAAAAUCUUGAGGAUUGUAUCCGUUGUGUUACGUUGUAAGAUGUUAUCAAAGGGUUUGUUUACACAUUUUGAACAUGAACCUUUGUCAAAAAAAUAUUGGCAGUUAAGGAUUUGAGUCAUUAUCAUUGAGUUUAGAAUUCGCUUUUAGCACCUAAUAAGGUUUAUUCACUCACUCUACCUUAUUUUUCAAUUUAAAGCGUGGAUCUACCACUUUUAUAACAUGGUACUAGGCAUUACUACUUUUGGGUACUUGUCCAUCAAAACAUAGCAUCUUAAACUUGUCCAUAAAUUUUUGUCUGCAAGAUAUAUGUACCAAAUGUACUAGUAUAGUUGUUGUAAUAGAUUGAAUCUUAGCAGUUAGCCCCAAAAAAAAAAAGACCAAUGUAGGCUUAAGACUUUGAUGGACAAUUUUUUGAUGAACUGAAACAUAUUAUGGACAAGUUUGUAUGGCUAAAUACCAAUGAAUACCUAUUUUUGGCACCACUUUGUGAAAGUAGCAGAAGCUUUUUUUUUUCUUUUUUAAAUGGUAGAAUGAGUAAAUUAUUCUUUUUUUUUUGGUAAACCCAGUAAAGUAUUUAAAUAUUUAAAAGAAUACCCUAGAAUAGAAAAUUAGUUUUUGUUCCAAACUUUGGUAGAAUUCCAAAAGUAGCACAAAUUAUUGUAUGGAAAUAAUCAUUUAUCCUAAAUGAAUUAUAAGAAAAUUAAAUUUUAUUUUAUAAUGUUUGGGUUCUCUUUUUCGAUUUUGGGGCUUUAAAUGUCUCCCAUUGAUUUUCAUUGAGCCCAAAGCAAAAAAAAAAAAAACAUAGGAUGACCCACGGUACCCAUUGGGUCUAAUUGCCAUAAUAGUAUUCUAGGCUUUUUAUGGUGUUAUUAUGGUUGAUAGGUUUGCAUUUUUGCAAUGGUUUUGGUCUGGGAUGGGUUGUUAGCCUUUAUUAACAUCUUUAGGAAAAGGAUGUUCCGUUGAAACAAAAAACAUAGGUCUGUGCUAUUUUAGAGAAUUGUUCAAUGUUAGAACUUUGUAUAUAGAUAGAGAUGUAUUUGUAAUAAUGUGUAGACGCUUCAUGAAUAGAGAGACUCCCUGAGGGUCUCAGUAAAUAACUAAAUUCUAAUCUAUAAUCUAUAUUUGUAUUCUAAACAAUAUAUGUACAAAAAGAUAUGAUUUCACACAGUUCCCCAAUCUGAAAACUCUAUUCUAUGUUCUCAGCCAGAUCCAAAUUUCUCAAGAACAAAAAGCUCUCAUGUUGUUUGUCUGCUCUUCAAUACCAUUGGAGCCACCAACAUCCAAACUGCAACAACAUUUAUAUAAACAUAUUCAAACAUUACAAACUGUCUCGAUUACUCCUAUAAAGAAAAGCCAGUAAAAUAGACUUUCUUAUUCUUUUUUACUUACUGUAAACGCAAACUGCGAUCCAUUCGUUUACUAUCCUAACCCAAGUACUUGUCCACCCAACAUCAAUAGUCCAUCUAAAACCAAAAAAAAAAAACAGAGACAAGCUUCUAAUUAUCGACUUAUUUUCGGUUAUGAAUAGUAUUGUGUUCAUCAAGAACUUACUUUUCCAUGGAAUGAUGAAUGUUCCAGCCAAUAAGUAGCAUUGCAAAAUACAUUGCUCCAGUGGCAAACACAAAAUGGAAGAAUCCAUAUCCAUAAGGAAUCGCGUCUUCCUCUUGAGUCUCAUCUUUUCUAAACUGUAAAAGCCCUUAGUGUUAGUCAAAUUUUGUGCUUUUUUUUUUGGAGAUUUAAAGAAAUUUUGAGCUCAUAAGAUAACAAAACCUGAAAACAUUGGGAAUCUACUCCUGUGGAGAAUGUCGCAAUCACCAUUGCAAGCAGUGCAACGACAAAGCUCUGCACAAUGUACAUAUACAUGGAAAACAUAUGUUUAGUACUUUCUUGACUGUCUCAAAUUCAGAAAGAUCCAGAAAAGACUCUUGCAAAGGUUUCUGAGAUUUUUCUUACUAUGAUGGUAAGCCAGUCCGUUCUGCUAGACGAUUCAGUUUUUCUGUUGCAAGUUUCUCCCACUGGCUCACUGCAAAACAAAACAAUUACUUAGUGAUCAUGUAAAGUGUGAUUACCCUCUAGUUUCUUAAUAUUUUAUCUCAUCGUUAUUGUAUUAAAGAUAUGAACAAAUGAAGCAUGCCUUCGAAUGGCGCACCAGCAGAUAAACACAACAUAAAGUCCCAUAAGUGCUGGAGUCAAGAAUCCAGCAUUCACCUGUUGAAUGCAAGCAGAAAGAAGCAAUAUUUUGUUUCAUACACAUAUGACAUAAAAAUACAACUUGAGAGAACCUUGAAACCGAAGGGACUCACUUUGGGGUGGAGAGAGAUACUUGUCAUGAGUUGGAUAAGGAACAAAGUCCAUGUGAUGAAAAAUAUGUUGAGAAGGCAUGAUGGAUCAGGCACAUACCAUAUGUACAUCAAAAUCACCCCUAAUAUGCAUACCGUAUACGCAGUAGUCGCUAGUAGCAUCACAUGGACAUGGCUGCAACAUAGAUGUUUCAUUAGAAAACACAAUCAUUUUGUAUUUAGGAACAGUCUCAUAUUGUCUCACCAUCUUUCUGCAUCUUUUUGAGAUUGGAAACAUUCAUUGAGCCAUGUAAUGAAACUGAUGAUACUAAUGAGCUGUAUCAAAAGAAAGACCCUAUAACAACAAGAAAAACAAGAUGAAGAUGAUAUCAAUAAGUUUCCAAGUUAAAACGAUCAUAGAGUUUCUAAGAUAGGAUUAAAACUGUACCCUGCACCAAAAUGGGCAAUCUCCCCUGAAAAGCAAAACAUAGCAAAGGAAAAAAAGGCAUUUUACGUACGCGUCAAUGCUAACUGAAUUUAAAUAGCGAAACAAACGAUUUAAAGUACGGUUAGCCUUAUAUACCGUAAAGCUCAAUAAUGGAAGAAGGCAACAAGAAAGGGAAGAUGGUUAAGCCAGGCCACAUGAGAAGCUUAGCAACCCACCAUCCUGAAUGCCACUUAUCUCUCGAUGAAUGUGUCUUUGAUGUACCAACGGUUGAAAGAAACAUAAUGAAAUAGAACAGCUAUUGAAAAAGUUAAGGCAAAAAUUUAUCUGAAGCAGACUUAAACAUGUGUAUUCAUGAAACAUAGAUUAUAAGACUGAUCGAAGAAAAGGAUACAAAACAUCCCAAGCUAACCCGUAAAACUCCUUCGGUUCCCAAACAGUUUCGGCCGUCUUUACAAUUCUUGAAUUCUGUAAAUAAAGGAUAAACACAAUCAUCAUUCAUCUGACAAAAUUAUUGGAAAGUUUCAGUACAAAUAAUUUUUAAAAAAAUCAUACUUCUCAUUUCUGUCAAGGCACCUCGGCCAUAAUCACGGACAGUCCAAGCCAGCAGAUUUGCCAAGAGGAACAUCAGACCGUACACAUAUCUAGCCAUCCAUGGAUUGUAGCCAUUACGGAACUGGCUAAACCACGAACCGUUCUUGAUUGUUUCAUAGCCUUUGUUGUCAAUGCUUGUACCGGUCUCCAUAUAGGUUCUAAAACUUAGCAGACUCUCUUUUUACGACAUUGGAAGAUCAAAGAUCCUUGGCAAAAGAUUCUUCUUAAUACCAUCAAUCCCGAAUCUCUCCGUCGUUGAGAAAUUAUCAGUUAAUUAAUUAUACUUAGUAUAAGGCUGGAUUAAACACAAGCAAGACACUCCAGGAGCGAGUAGUUAUCUUCCUUCAGGUAAAAAAAAAACCUAAAAACAAGCAAUGGAAGUUACAAUGCCUUUUUUGCUUUUUUUUUUUACCAGAAAAUCAGAAAUUGUUUCCCUUUAUUUAAUUUUCUCUUGAAGAAAAAGCAAACUUGAUUUUUAGAGAUUGACAGGUUCACUUUAUGCAAACCCGUGUUUAAUAGAAACAAAAAUUAGGAUAUAAUAUAACAAAAAAAAAGCAAAAAACCAGACGAAAUUUGAGAUGACUUUUGUUUGUAUUAUGAAAUAUAUGAUCAGUAAAAAUAAGAAUACUUCCUUUAUUUCUGAAGUAUCAUGGUUUAGACUUUUGUUUAGUUUCAUAAAGAUACAUGUUUUUAGUUUUUUUUUUUCGUAAUUAACCCACAUCAAGUGGAAAUUAACCAAAUGUACUUUUUUUGGAAAAAUGUUGAAUUUUAGUCAAAUGCACUUUUUAGGACAAUAGUAGUAUUAUACUGGAAUUAGGAAAAAUUUACAGCUUAUUUCUUAAUAUGUAUAUAAAAAAACAUUUAUAUACUUAUUUGUGUAGUGAUUUGUUUACGUGUUGUGUUCAUAGCGAUUUUCACAGUGAUUUUCCCAGUGUUUCGCGCUCCAAAAUGAGUUUCGGCUGCAAAAAAAAAUAUUUUUACCCUAUUUACCGAUUAUGUAUCAUUUUUUUAUUGGUUUUUAUCUGAUGAUGUGUUAAAUAUAACUUAAAAUAAAUCGUUUUAAAUUAUUAUGGUUUAAUAUUUUAUUUCGCUGUAAAAUCAAACUAUUUCUAAAAUUUUAUAAAAUAAAAUCUAAAAUUUUAUAAAAACUUAACAAAAAAAUUAAUAAAUCAAUAAAUAAAAUGUCUAAUAGAAUGAUGGUAUUUAUUAGUGUAUUUGACUUCAAAUAUUUUAGUAUAAAUAUGUACAUGAUUUAUUUCUAAUUCUUUUGCACCCUUUCUAAAUUGUUUAACUUUUCCUUCUUCUUCAAAAGAGUUUAUACAGUACUUCAAAAAACUACGUCUUAAAUACAUAGAACAAUAAUUAAAAGAUUUUAAACUAUUUAAACUAAAUUUUUUGGAUACUAAUAUGUUUUUAUCCACACUCUUUUAUAUUGCUUUCACGAUCAUGUCUUCAAACAUUAAAAUGUAAGGAAAUCUAAUAAACAAAUAUACUCAAUAAUAGAAAAAAACAAAUGAUUUCAAACUAUUAUUAAAUUUUUAAAUAAUAAAAUAAAAAAUUAUAUCAGCCACGCAAGACGUGGACAAGUUCACUAGUGGAUCUUUAAGAAAUAGGAGAAUAUCAAAUUUCUAUUAUAUAUUGAUGGUGAUGAAGCAGAAGUUAGAUAAAUCCCAUAGCUAUUGGUUUUGGUUGGGUGUUUAGUUUGAAAUCACAUAAAAAAAACAUAUUUGUAAGAAAAUUGAAAAGCCUAAAAUCUUAAUACUCUUAUUAGAAUAUGAAAUAUAUUACAAUUUAUAUUAUAAAUAAAAACAGAGUAAUGAAAUUAUAUGCUCAUCACAAACAUGCACUUCAGUACUUUGUUGCUCGGAUCAAUAAAAUUCAAUUACAGCUUCCUUGUUAAAAAAAGUUAAAUAAGAAAUGUAGAGAAAAAAGAUAACAAGGUUUAUUUUUAUAAAUGAAGCAUAGAACAGAAGAAUAUGUACCUGGAAAAUCUGGCAUAGGUUAUACUUAUAUUAAAAAAACUACAUGUCUAUAUAUAAUCACCCAUAAAUUAAGGUUUUAAUUAUGAUUAGUUACGUUAAUCUGUUGAUAAAUAACCGAAACCAAGGAGGAAAAAGAUAAUUAAAAAAAAAGAAAAGUGAAUAGUGAGUGCCUCCCUCUCUGCCACAAAUCUUUUGAAAAUUAAUCAACGUUUUAGGUAUUGCAGAAAAAUAUAGUUUUUGGAUUCCCAGAAAACGUAGGAAAAUAUUAAAGUCGAGUCCCCAUUUUUCAUUUUCUCGAGAAAUCUGGAAAUCGCGAGAUACAAAUAUAUAAUUUGAAAAAUCACUCUAUGAUUAACAAGCAAGUACAUGCAUGUCUAUAAAUCUGAGAGAUCCAAAAAGAAAUAAAGAGAUUGAAGAUAGAACCUGUUAUUUUUCGGGUGCAAAAAGCUCUUGAAUCUAUGAAGCGAUCGGAUCUGGAGAUAUGGAGAACGUUUAUCAAAAAUGAGAAACUCAAAAAAGAUUUGAGAGAAAUGUGAAAAAGGAAUUAAUGAUUUCAGGUUUCGUAUGAGUUUUUGAUCUUUUUGCCUUUGCUCUCUUUCAAAACACUUGUGAUCUUAUAUAUGUGUAUGCGUGCUUAGAAUAUAAAUUCUGAAACCCUUUAUUUUUCUUACAAUAUAGUUUAUGAUUCCUUCCUAAUUCGUGAGCAUAUUCAAUUAUGAGGAUCCUUUUUUAACAGUCUAUUCCUUUUGAUAAAAGUUCAAUUUUACUUUUGCAAUCUUAUUGUGUCGCCUAAUUCGUAUGAUUAGCUUUUGCUUUUCUGCCGUUAGUUUACUGUCUCUGACUCUCCGCUCGACGCCCACGCCCUCCAAAGUUUCAACUUUCAAGUAAAAUAACAAUGAGGCUAUCAACUUAUUUUAAGAGUUCUUACAGUCUAAUCCAAACAUAUAUAUUUUUAAUGGGUCUAUAAUCCGUCAAAAAUUUAUAAUGGAUUACCUAUAAUCACCGAUUUGUCGGAUCAACCAUUAAAGUCUAAAAUUUCUGACGGAUUGAUAUUUGUUGGAAAUUCCAAUUGAGUUAAGUCUACUUUUUUUUAUAGUGACAUCGUAAGUAUUUAAAGUUCUAAAUAAACUUUUACAAAUUAUCACUUCUUAACUCGAAGAUGUAGCUGCGUUUGAAACAAUUACUGUAUCAGUAGAACUGGAUAUUGGAGUGAUACAAGUAGUAGCGGAGCUAGCAAAAAAAAUUACAAGAUCAGUUUUAAUUUAUAAUGUAUUUUAAACAAAUUUUACGGGAGUCAUUAAUUUAAAUUUUCAAUAUUUCACAUAUUUUUUUUUCUAAAAGUACAAAUAUAUAUAUAUAUUUCACAUGAGUUGGAGCUUAGAAAAAACGGAAUUGGGCGAGUAGCUGAGCUGGACCAAUUAGGAUGCAAGGCGUGAAGAUAUACAGUAGAAACUCUAUAAAUUAAUAUUCGAUAAAUUAAUAAACUCGAUUCAUUAAUAAAUUUCUUUAGUCUCAAACUUAUGAUUUGGUUCAAUUAAUCUUUUUAUAAAUUAAUAACUCUCUAAAUUAAUAAAAUAUAAGAAUCCCAAUGAUAUUAAUUUAUAGAGUUUUUACUGUAGCUGAACCAGACGAGAAAUUCAGAGAGAAUCUAGAAAAAUGGAAGAUUUCCUUAAACUUGGAAGAAGUUCAAGGAAACAAGAGAGAUUUGGAAAUAUUUUCAAGUAGGAUUUUCGGCGUGUAGCCACAAGGUCUACCAGAUAUAAGUAGACCGUGUUGAAGCAUUGUAUGUGUUUAACACAACUACUAGAGAUCAUUUAGCAUAAGGGUGAGAGAUUCUUGCAAUGGAUAUUCAUCAAGGGUUAAAGGGUUCUUUAGGAUGGUUCAAAGAUCACGUAUAGAUCGAAGAACAGGCGAGAUCAAGGUGUCUUGAGUCUGUCUUAAAUAGUGUUAUGAAAACUUGUAUGGUUUGAUAACAUAUUUACUAGUAAUGCACUUUCAAGCAUAGAAAAUCCCUGUGUUACGUUGUGUUCUAGUUCCAAUACUUUAGCUCUUGCAUCUACAAUUGGUAUCAGAGCGGUCAUCUGUGUCUUUGGAACAUUGUGAGAUCUUGAGGAAGAAAUAGAGAGCUAUCAAGAACUUGUGAACAGUUCAAAGAUUAUUUUGAAUUCGGGGAACUAUGGUUUUUGGAAGACUAGGAUUCAGUCACUAAUCAGAGGGAUCAAUCUGCUGGCUUGGAAAGUUGUUCUAGUGAAGUGGAAAUACCAAAGAAGAAUGAUGUAGCAGGAGCUAACGUGCCCAAACCAGAGGAGGAAUGGACCGAGGAUGAGAGCAAGAAGUCUAAAUACAAUUCAAAGGCGUUGACGGCUAUCCGUUGCAGUGUGUCAGCUCAAACUUUUGAACUGAUACAAGGGUGCGAGACAGCCAAAGAAGCUUGGGAUGUGCUGCAGUUAUGAUUUAAAGGAACAACCAAGGUGCAGAACUUACUUCUGUGUGAAAGUAAGUAAUUUCUGGAGCAAGGCUAGUGGCAAUUACUUUAUACAUCUCAAAGCAUGCUUUCGCUAAAUCUUCUGCAAGCUUCAAGUUUUCUAGAUCCUCAAAUGACAAAAUAUUUUCUUUCAGGGCCUUCUCCUUUGUGAGUCCGUUGGUAGCACCAAGAGCAAGUGUACCAGGCAAGAAGCACACCUAGACAAAUAAAAUUAAAUGAAUCAAUCCUUAGGAAGAACAAACGCCAUGAGAUUUUAUGAAAUGGGGUUGAUUGGUUUUUUUCAGUACGAGGUAGUGAGUGAUGCUUACUAGAUGAUCCAUUUUCGGACUGAACUCUCCCUUAGACCCGUAAGGUAACUCUUCUACAAAGACCAUACCAUUUGGAAUUGAUUUUCGCUCAAGCAAAUGCCUGACUCCUUUCAUAGCCGAGAAAAGACAUGCUCGCUUCAUGAUUUGAGAAUUUGAAGAAGGAGGAACAUGAUAUUGGAACCCAAUAUUAAUAAGCAUUUGGACUUAUAAUAUUGAGUUUGUGUGUGAAUAAGAAAUGAAGUUUAAUAAGCAAAUGGGCCUUAUAAAUUCAUUUGAAAUUUGGGUUUGAGCCUAUGGAAACGAAAUGUUCCUAUUGUCUAUAACUAAAAGUGAAAGUUUAGUGGAAGUGUAUUUGUCCCACAUUGCUCACCAAGGAGAAAAAUCUCUUGUAUAUAUAUGGUCUACUCACAAUAAGGGUCAACAGCAUUGUGGAAGUAAAAGGGCAUUCUGCAAAAACACCUACGCGCGCCGCCGCCGUCGCCGAUGCCGGUGCCAGGCUCGUGCUCGUGCUCGUUGCUCAUUGCUCGUUGCUCGUUGCUCGUUACAUUUUUUAGUUGGCUCUUAGGACUCUUGGGCUCUUGGGCUCUAUAUAGCUGGGUGUGGGUCGUGGGCUUCUUAGUUCUUGCGAAAUAAUUUUUGCAUAUUGAAAGGAUAAAUCUUAGGAAAUAAAAGAGCCAAAUAAUAACGGAAGAUUUUCGAAUCCUUUUACUUGCGGGAAAAAGAGAAUAUCUCGUGAAUAUUCCUUUUCGCCAAAGCUUAUUCCUUGCGGAUCAAGCUGAACCUUCCAGUAUAAAUAGACGUCCUCUUCUCUCAUUCUAAAUUAUCGAAUUCUCGAACACACCAAACACACAGCAAAUAAUUAUUUCCAGCAAAUCCCUCUCGUCCUAAUAUCGUAAGUGUCUCGAGAGCUAUAGCGUAGUAUUAUUUCAGUUCGCAGAUUCUAUUAUGGGUGUUGCAUAAUAGUCUCAUCACGGUUGUAUCCUGGGAUUUAAAAGUCGCACCAUACGGUCACACAUUACCAGCAAUUUAUUGAGUUAAGGAAAGAGAUCAUAUCUCGACUCUGUGUUUUUCGUUUGUUUUCAAUCGGUUUUCCAACUCUUGUUUUAAUCUCUUACCUUAACAUAUCAUUUAUAAUAUUGCUAUUUUCUAUUCGUGAUUUCAAUCGGAUUUUCGCGGUCCUUACAAUCUUAACUCAAUAAAUCCGCUUCCUGCUUAUCGCUUCAAUCGGAUUGAAUAUUGCGAAACAGUUUUUAUAAACGGUUUUGAAAAAACGAGUUUUUAAAAUCGAUCUACAAAGUGUCUGCGAAAGUUUCUUAGCUAUUUCAUAGAACUUUUGAUCUGUUAAACAUGAAUCUUCUGAAACGGUUUAUGCGGCAGUCAUAAACAGGUCCGCAAAACGUUUUAGGGUUUAAGAACGUCUUCAAAAGACGAUUCUGGGAACACCUAUUUUCAAGUUCUAAGAAUACCUAUUGGUAAUAUCUGUGGAAGCUCAAAGGGAAUCCUUUUCGGAAAAUGCUGUUCAUAGCGACUUAAACGUUUUAAUCGCUGAUCUGAAUCCUGUUUCUCAAUACUAACUUGGGUUAUUUUCUGUGAACAGAUUCAAUUAUGACUAACGGUGAUGUCAACAUGACUACCAAUGGAAGCUCGGGUGAAGCUAGGAUGCCAGCGUCGGUAACCGCAUGACUUCAGCCCGACAAGUUCGAUGGUUCGAACUUCAAGCAGUGGCAAGAAAGGAUGCACUUCUUUCUGUAAUCAAUGCAGCUAAGCAAGUACCUCAAAGAGAAUCCCCCAACAGUGCCAGAAGGAAACAAAGAUGCUACGAUUCUGGCUACCGUUGAAGCGUGGAAGCACUCAGACUUCCUAUGCAAAGGGCACAUCAAGAAUCGCCUGGUGGACCAGCUGUUCGAUGUGUACAGUGAGGUCAAAACUUCCAAAGAACUCUGGGAUGCUUUGGAAAAGAAGUACAAGUUGUACAAUGUCGGCUCUGGGAAAUUCACUACAGCAAAAUUCCUCAAGUUUGAGAUGGUGGAUUCUCGUCCCAUCAUGCCACAAGUGCACGAGCUGGAACUAAUCUUUCAAGAGAUUAGGACUGAAGGAAUGAAGCUUUGUGAGACAUUCACGGUGAACUGCUUCAUUGAGAAGCUACCUCCAAGUUGGGCAGACUUCCAGAACUUUCUUGCUUACAAGCAAAAGGCCCUGUCUCUGGCAAAUCUGAUUUCUAGAUUGCAGAAUGAGUCACUAAAACGUGACAGAGUUAGAAAAGAAGACAGUCAGAUCAUUGAUGUGGACUUGAUGUGUGGUGUCGAGGGUUGUCAAGUUUUACCCUAAUAGAAAUCAAUAGCCGCAAGUGCACAGCUGAUCGAUUGUAGUACUUAGGGAUCGAAUCCACAGGGAAGGAGGAUCUUUUCCUGCAAAAAGCCUUUGAAAUAAGUUAAAGUAAGGAAGUCUAGAACAAAAACGGUUUUGUGGGGGUUUGGUAGUGUGUUUAAAAUGUAAAAAACGAAAUAUUAAAAGAGAAUACGGGAAUUAAAUGACGUAAUAACUAAACCUAAUGAAAAUGACUAAAAAUGAUAAAAACGGAUAUUCUAAUGCUUAAAUGAAAAUGAACUAAAAAGGAAAGACAAUAUUGAACCAAAGCUUUAAAGAAAAUCGGUGUAAAUCAAUGGGAAAGAAGGCGAUGGGGUUCAGGGAAGUUUUCUCAGGGGUACGAACGAUUCAAAACAUUGCUAGAGAGUAAAUUGGUAAGAUCUUAGCUUAAACUUUUCGAACUGGAGUCACGGACGUAUGAAUACGCCAUUGUCGUGAUCAUAGACAACUAUCUCUCUCAACCCUGACCAGUAGGUUUCCACUCUGGCCCUGGAAGAGAAGAGAUGCAUUAUGUUUAAGACUCGUCCUAAUUCACAAAUCGCCCAUAGGUAGGUUUCCACUUCUAUGUUUGUUUUGCUCUCCCAAACUAGAUCUGAUACCUGAUGAACACUUUCGUGUCACCAAGCAUCUGGAUUAGAUUGUAGUUCAUGACGCUACUCUCAUGCAGUAAAAACAAAUUCAGAAGAAAAAGUUCUAAGAUUCGGCUCAAAAGCUCAUGGAAUCCUCAUCGAACAUAUAAAUCCCUAUUGAAAAUCCCUUAAUCCCAACAAUAAAACUACUCAGACAUAAUGAACGAAAUCAAAGACAUAGUAUUAAGAAGUAGAAUAGAAACCAAAAUUGAAAAAGAAAGAACAAGGGUUCAAGAGAACAAAUCUCUCUCUCCCUAAAAGCUAAAGAAAAAACAAUAAGAAUAUGAAGUAAAUAUUUCGGUGGUGAUCGGUUCUUUUUAUUUAGGGUUCCUAAGACAUGUAUUUAUAGUGCUCAAGACCUCUCUGGACGUCACUUAGGGUUUCUCCAAAUGUGGGCUUCAGAAAUGGGCUUUUUGGGCUUGGAGUUGGCUUGCCGCGGUCGGGAGUGCUCUGACCGCGGAGAAUGAGUGGUUUGCCGCGGUCGGGAUGCUCUUGACCGCGGGAAAUUGCUUGUUGGCCGCGGGUGGAAGUGCUUGCCGGCUGGUUUACAGAACAUCUUGCUCUUCGCGUAUCUUUUGAUUGAACCGUUGGAUUGCCAAGCUGUAAAGUGCACUGGAAAGCUGAUACUUCCAUCUUUAAGGUCUCCAAAUUUGAGCUGGAUCAGACGGUGAGAACGCCUUCAAUCAGGGGUGAACUUUUGACGGUUUGACUCUGAGUUGAAAUCUGGUUUUCUAUCCAUUUUGUUAAGCUUUUCCCUAAGUUACCUGAAAAGAGUCUUGGAACUAUAAAUACUAGAAAACAUAAUAAAAGUACUUAAAAGCAAUUAAAAACAUAGAAAAAGUAUUUCAAAACGAUCCAUAAAAGCGGUCAAAAUACGGUGUUAUCAACUCCCCCAGACUUAAACCUUUGUUUGUCCUCAAAUAAAGCAGAAGCCUAAACUGGUUAAGUAAAAACAAAAAUAGGGAAUGCACAAAUCUCAUAGACAUGAACUCUAAAACUAGGACCAAAGAUAGUGCAUCAAUCCACAACUUAGUCUAGAAAAUUCUCACCAAAGCACAAGAGAUACUAGUCCACUUUUUCCGUCAUGCAAAACUUAAACAAUUUAAAUCUUGAUUUCAGUCAACUAGCUCUCUACAUUCAUUAAGCUCAAUAGUGAGUUCUCAUUAAAGACAUCAUCCAGGGUAGACGGUGUUUGACAUUAAAGGGCUGUUUAAGUGGUGGAGUUAAAGUGUUUUUGGGUUACCUGAAGAUAUGGAGGAUGCAAGAUAAUAUGCAAAACAGCAAGAGAGAUAAGGACCUGUUGAUGACCACAGUUUUCAGUCACUUCUUCUUGCCAAAUGUUGUUGCAUAAUCCUUCCUCUUUUGUUGUAAACAGCCAUUCCCCCAGACUUAGAUUCUUUCCGGGAAUCAGAAAACAAUAUCCAAAACUCCAUAAAAUCGAACUUCAGUUGCCUUGGGACUUAAAAUUCGACCUCUCUAGACUCUUUAAGGCUUUUAUUUCCUUUCUUUUGUUAUUUUAGGAUUUUUUUUUUUUUGGAAAAGAAAUGCCUUUUAAAGAGAGAGACUAGAGGACGAGAUUGUACCAAAAUUUGAGAUUUUUCUAAGGCAAACUGAGCUUCCUCUUGUGUUGAAUCCUUCCGGGAACUUUUCCGGCAAAUUGCAGGUCUCUGUCCUUGGUGACUGAAAACUGCGUCGUUCCUCUUUCUCUCCAACGUUUUUGCACUUAUCUGCAUAUAAGACAAUAGAAAACAAGAGUGCAUGUGGUUUGAAAGAGGAUUGGUUAAGGUGGGGAACUAGCUAAAGAUGAACUAGCCAUUCAGGAUCAACAGAGAGUGGUAAAAGGAUAAAGGAGUCCUGAAUGUAUGAUUCGUUUCCCUGGUCGUCUAAUGCUUCAAUGAGAAAAUUAAGUCCAAAUUAAGUCCAAAUAAAACAGAGCUAGUGUAUCCCUUCAUCUAAAUCGAAAUUAUUCAAAUUUCUCUGGGGUACUUCGUUUCAAAUGUGCUUAGCUACCGCCUAGUCUAGUCCUAAAUCAUGAAUGAGCAUGUCACUAGGAACAGUCUAAAGCACACAGUCAACUAUCAUUGAUUCAUGUUCACUAUUCCCUUUAAAACGUAUUUUGUUUUGAAAACCAGUUUUGAAAAACUUUAAGGAAAAUGCAAAAAGUGUAGAUAAUGCAAGACUCAUGAAAGAAAAGUGGUUAGAAAGGGAUGAAAUCCUCCCCCAGACUUAAAUCACACUGUCCUCAGUGUGAAACAAGUCGAGAUUGGAUGAGAAAAAUGCAUAGAUAAUCGAACUGGUAAGGACAAAGAGAACUUACCUGGAUCCGGGAUGCUGGUGGAGAUGAACCGGAUUCAUUCGACGAGGUUUAGGAAGGUGAUUAGGUGGUGAUGAAGGUGGUGGAAGGUGAUGAAUGAGGUGGAGGGUGAUUGGUGAGGUGAAAUGGGGUGAAAGGGGUGGUUUGGGUCGGGUUUGGAUGUCAACGACCUAGUGCCGCAGUCAGGGGCUGCACGACCGCGGUGAACCAUUGCUUGGCCGCGGCCAGGACUACGCGACCGCGGUCGAUCAUACGUUUCUCGCGGUCAGAACACCUGCGACCGCGGGGGCUUAUAUCGCGGCCUCUUCCUGCUUCUCCUUGGUUCCUGCUGGGCCGAGCAGUCAGGUACCAACCUUCUUUUUGGUUUUUUCUGGUUUUUUGAUUUUUUUGGCUUUUUUGUUUAUUUAAGAAACACCUGAAAACUAAGAAAAAGAAAAAAAUCAAAAAAAAAGAAAGAAAAAUUCUAAAGAAAACAAUACCUAAAUGGGUUGCCUCCCAUUAAGCGCUUUUGUUUUAAGUCGUUUAGCUCGACUUUUGGUGUUGGACGUGACUUAUUCGAAUGAAGAAGACCUUGUCCUGAGACAAGUAUUUUUCGACAUCUCCUUGCUUUGCUUAGCAGGUUCUUCGUCACUCCAAAGUUCUUCUUCAAACUCUUCUGUUGCAGAACGUUUUCCUGCUUUGCUGUUGUAUGGAACAGCUUCUGUGAAGACAUCUUUGUCGAUAUUAGCAAAUGAAAUCCUCCAGUUUGGCCAGUCCAUUAUAGCUCCGGAAGUUGCUAGAAAAGACCAUCCCAGAAUCACUGGAUAUGUUGCAUCUCUCGUCUCGACAAUGUAGAAGUCGACAGGCACAAUGCAAUCUCCUAUUCUCAAAGGUAUUUCAUGAGCUAUUCCUUGAGGUGUUGCAUUUGAAUCAUCAGCUAGGCUAAUCUUUGCCCUAGUCCUGCGCAGGUGUUUGAUACCAAGUCUCAAAGCAAUUGUCUUGGACAUCAUGUUAACACAAGCUCCAGAAUCACAUAGCACGUUUUUAAACAUUUCUCCUCUAAUAGAACAAGAGAAAAGAAACUGACCUACACCUUCUAUUUUGUGAAGUGUUCGAACAGGUUUACCUCUUCUGGCAUGAUUGAACAAGUUUUCUAUCUCAGGGAUUGAUUCUUUGCUCUCACAGAAGUAGUGGCCUAUCAUGAAGUCCUUGCAAGCUCUGGCAGACGUGAUUCCUUCAGGUAAAUUUCGAACCACAUCAUUGAAUUCGUCGAGCUUCUCCUUGCUGAUUUUGUUGGUGUAGUGGCUGCACUCUUCCGGUCUUUGGAGGUGGAUUGAAUAAACAGCAGCAUCAGGUGAUGUUCUGGAAAAGUCAGACGUCUGGCCCUCCCAAAGUAGGUUCGAAUAUCCUCCUUUGUCUCCUUGCAGUACCUAAAGAAAACUUGCAAACAACCAAGAUGCCAUAUAUCAUCGAAACCUGUGUAAAGAGGGAUCGAUUUCACAAACUUGUUGAAUUCAAUGAGCCUUUCUCUGGAUAUUGGUGCUCCUAAUUCCACCAUUUUGUCUGGAUUUCCUCCUUCUAUAAACAGACGAUAGUCUUCAUCCUCGAGGUAGUGCCCUUCAUAUUCAUCCUCAUAUGCUAAAACUAUGUUGCAAGGGAGUACCUCAUUUCCUUCUUGAGAUGUUUUGGAGCUGAUAGCAUACACCGUUUGUUCCUGAAGAGGGGUUUUGACCAUCCCAGCAGAUGUAUCAAAUGAGCAUUGACCUGUAGGAGUGGAAAAGGGCUGAAAGGCAUCUGAAGGAGUGCUGGCCGCGGGUAGAAGCUUCACGACCACGGGUGAAGAGGGCUUUGCCGCGGUCAGGAUGCUCACGACCACGGCUGGAAGCUUGUUGGCCGCGGUCACGUGAGUUCCGACCGCGGGAAUGAGGCUCCGAGUUGUUUCCUCAGUUUCGUCUGCUCCUUUGCCAUCUGAACUGAUUUCUACACCUUCUAACUCUGUCUUCUCCUCUUUUAGGCUAAGAUCUUCGAUGAGGAGCGUCGAACCAUUCGUUUCACGUCCUUGCAUAAGCUUUUCGACCUUCUCCUCGAUUUCAUCGAGGGUAUAGACUACUUUGCCCACGGUUGAGUCUAUCGCCUCUGCUUUCUCUUGAACCUUGUGUACUCGAUCCCAAAUCUCUUCCACGUAAGAAUAGGUUUGGUUGUUAUGGUAGUUAAUAGUCUCUUCUGCUUCACCAAGUUUGAUCUCUAAGGUGCGGAUGCUCCAACCGGCUUUGCGAAUGCGAACUUCGUGUGCUCCAACUCGUUCUUCGAUUGCUUCCAUCUUCCAGCACCUUCGUUUAGUUGGCUUUCGAUGGUCUUGACUUGAGCUGAAAGAUCUUCAAGCUUUCUGUUAAAGCGCAUUGACAAGUCGUCAAUUUUCUUGUCGAUUGUGGAUCUUGCUUGAACGUCGAGUAAGUGCGAGACCGCCAAUUCUAGUAGUUCCAAUCUGUGAAUGGGUAGGACGUUUUCAUUCUUGUGAGGCAAACGACGAGCAGGCUGUUCAGGGUUGGUCAUUUGAGGUGCAUAGCGCUCCUUCUGGAACGUUCUGUUGUCUUCGCUUUGAGUUUUUUCGUAGAGAUCGCGUAGAUGCUUCUCUCUACGUCUGGUGGCUUGAGGAGUGUUAUAGAAACCUUCCUCAUUUUGUAUAUUUCGAUUUAUAGGAUCAAUAUCUUCUGAAAUGGAAACAAAAUAACCGAAAAAUGGAAAAUUGCAGAAAAAGGGGUUCUAGAGUCGAUUUACUAACCUUUCUCGGGGUUUUGCAGAAAAGAAAACGCGUGCCUUCCCCGGCAACGGCGCCAAAAACUUGAUGGGUGUGUGACUUGAUGUGUGGUGUCGAGGGUUGUCAAGUUUUACCCUAAUUGAAAUCAAUAGCCGCAAGUGCACAGCUGAUCGAUUGUAGUACUUAGGGAUCGAAUCCACAGGGAAGGAGGAUCUUUUCCUGCAAAAAGCCUUUGAAAUAAGUUAAAGUAAGGAAGUCUAGAACAAAAACGGUUUUGUGGGGGUUUGGUAGUGUGUUUAAAAUGUAAAAAACGAAAUAUUAAAAGAGAAUACGGGAAUUAAAUGACGUAAUAACUAAACUUAAUGAAAAUGACUAAAAAUGAUAAAAACGGAUAUUCUAAUGCUUAAAUGAAAAUGAACUAAAAAGGAAAGACAAUAUUGAACCAAAGCUUUAAAGAAAAUCGGUGUAAAUCAAUGGGAAAGAAGGCGUUGGGGUUCAGGGAAGUUUUCUCAGGGGUACGAACGAUUCAAAACAUUGCUAGAAAGUAAAUUGGUAAGAUCUUAGCUUAAACUUUUCGAACUGGAGUCACGGACGUAUGAAUACGCCACUGUCGUGAUCAUAGACAACUAUCUCUCUCAACCCUGACCAGUAGGUUUCCACUCUGGCCCUGGAAGAAGAGAUGCAUUGUGUUUAAGACUCGUCAUAAUUCACAAAUCGCCCAUAGGUAGGUUUCCACUCCUAUGUUUGUUUUGCUCUCCCAAACUAGAUCUGAUACCUGAUGAACACUUUCGUGUCACCAAGCAUCUGGAUCAGAUUGUAGUUCAUGACGCUACUCUCAUGCAGUAAAAACGAAUUCAGAAGAAAAAGUUCUAAGAUUCGGCUCAAAAGCUCAUGGAAUCCUCAUCGAACAUAUAAAUCCCCAUUGAAAAUCCCUUAAUCCCAACAAUAAAACUACUCAGACAUAAUGAACGAAAUCAAAGACAUAGUAUGAAGAAGUAGAAUAGAAACCAAAAUUGAAAAAGAAAGAACAAGGGUUCAAGAGAACAAAUCUCUCUCUCCCUAAAAGCUAAAGAAAAAACAAUAAGAAUAUGAAGUAAAUAUUUUGUUGGUGAUCGGUUCUUUUUAUUUAGGGUUCCUAAGACAUGUAUUUAUAGUGCUCAAGACCUCUCUGGACGUCACUUAGGGUUUCUCCAAAUGUGGUCUUCAGAAAUGGGCUUUUUGGGCUCGGAGUUGGCUUGCCGCGGUCGGGAGUGCUCUGACCGCGGGGAAUGAGUGGUUUGCCGUGGUCGGGAUGCUCCUGACCGCGGGAAAAUUGCUUGUUGGCCGCGGGUGGAAGUGCUUGCCGGCUGGUUUACGGGACAUCUUGCUCUUCGCGUAUCUUUUGAUUGAACCGUUGGAUUGACAAGCUGUAAAGUGCACUGGAAAGCUGAUACUUCCAUCUUUAAGGUCUCCAAAUUUGAGCUGGAUCAGACGUUGAGAAGGCCUUCAAUCAGGGGUGAACUUCUGACGGUUUGAGUCUGAGCUGAAAUCUGGUUUUCUAUCCAUUUUGUUAAGCUUUUCCCUAAGUUAUCUGAAAAGAGUCUUGGAACUACAAAUACUAGAAAACCAUAAUAAAAGUACUUAAAAGCAAUUAAAAACAUAGAAAAAGUAUUUCAAAACGAUCCAUAAAAGCGGUCAAAAUAUGGUGUUAUCAAUCAUGACCCAUGAUGCAAACGUGGCUGAGUACAGGAAAAAGGGCAAAGACAAACCAUCCAACAAGGCUGCACAUAACAAGUUUCCUCCACGAAACAAUACUAGCUUUAAGAAGCAAGGUCAAGCACCCAUGAAGAACAAGUUCAAUGGGAAGUGCAACUACUGCAACAAGCUUGGACAUAAGUCUUCAGAGUGUCGCCGAAAGGCUAAGUCUGAGAACAACCAAUUUCACUUGACUGAAGCAGACCUGUGUGCAAUGGUUACAGAGGCUAACUUGGUGUAAGAGAACCCCAAGGCGUGGUGGUAUGACACAGGUGCUACCACACACAUCUGUAUUGACAGAGAGAUGUUCAAUACCUAUCAGAAGUGCAAGACUGAUGAUCAACUGAAGAUGGGAAACAUCUCCCAAUCCAAGAUUGAAGGUACUGGAAAAGUUGUGUUGAAGAUGACUUCAGGUAUGGAGGUUACUCUCAACAACGUGAAGCAUGUUCCAGACAUGAGGAAGAACCUGAUCUCUGGUACUCUAAUGAGCAAGCAUGGUUUUGCGACAACUUUGAGUCUGACCAGCUGAUACUUAUGAAGAAUGGUGUUUUCAUAGGAAAAGAUUAUGUUAAGUCAGGAUUGAUCAAAAUGUCUGUAAUGACAAUCCUGAAGAAAAACAAAAUUGUACCUGAUUCCAAAGAUUAAAUUAAUAAGAAUCCAGUUGCUUAUGUGGUUGAGUCUUCUAAUAUUUGGCAUGAAUGUUUAGGACAUGUUAAUUACAAGUCUAUUCAAAUACUGAUGAAUUUGAAUAUGAUUCCAAAAUGCAAAAUUAGCAAAGACAAAUGUGAAAUUUGUGUCCAAGCAAAGCUCACAAAAACACCAUCACCUCAUGUUGAAAGAACUACCGAACCUCUUGGAUUAAUCCACACUGAUCUGUGCGAUUUAAAAUAUCUACCAUCAAGAGGUGGUAAAAAGUAUUUUGUGACUUUCAUAGAUGAUUGUACAAGGUACUGCUACGUGUACUUGCUGCGUAGUAAAGAUGAAGUCUUGGACAAAUUCAAAGAGUACAAACUCGAAGUUGGAAAACAACUGGCAAAGACCAUCAAAAUGGUCAGAAGUGAUAGGGGUGGAGAAUAUGAUGGACCUUUCAAUGAGUUUUGACAGAUAAACGGAAUUAUCCAUCAAACUACAGCCCCAUAUUCACCUGAAUCCAAUGGAGUUGCGGAAAGAAAGAACCAAACUCUGAAGGAGAUGAUGAAUGCAAUGUUGCAGGAAUCUGGGACACCCCAGAAUCUGUGGGGAGGGAAGCACUGCUCACCACAAAUUAUAUCCUCAACAAAAUACCUCAUAAAGUAACUGGCAAAACACCGUAUGAACUUUGGAAAGGUAAUGUACCUUCGUACAAAUACCUGAAAGUGUGGGGGUGCUUAGCAAAAGUCGCAGUGCCACCUCCAAAGAAGGUCACAAUUGGAUCUAAGACUGUGGACUGUAUCUUUAUCGGAUAUGCUCACAAUAGUAGUGCUUAUCGAUUUCUGGUACAUAAGUCAGAUGUAUCAAAUGUCCAAGUGAAUACUAUCAUGGAAUCAAGGAAUGCUCCUUUAUUUGAACACAUAUUUCCAUAUAGGGAUAAGCAAACUACUAAACGCACUCGUGAAGAAAGAGAUGUGACUACUUCUGUAAAUGAGAUGGAAGUAGAACCGGUUGAAGAUGAACCUAGACGAAGCAAAAGAGCUCGUAAGGAAAAAUAUUUUGGUGAAGAAUUCAUGAUGAUCUUUCUUGUCGAGAAUGAACCGAGAUCUUACACAGAAGCCAUGUCUACACCAGAAGCUCCUUAUUGGAAGGAUGCUGUCAAUAGUGAGAUGAGUUCUAUAAUAGAGAAUCAUACCUUUGAGAUAACUGACUUACCUCAAGUGUUCAAAGCACUAGGGUGUAAAUGGAUCUUCAAGACCAAGCUGAAAGUUGAUGGUUCUAUAGAUAAGUACAAGGCACGCCUUGUGGUGCAAGGAUUCAGACAAAAAGAAGGUCUAGAUUUCUUUGACACCUAUUCUCCAGUUACGAGAAUAACUUCGAUCAGAAUAUUGAUUGGUGUAGUAGCUUUGCGAGGCUUGGAAAUCCAUCAGAUGGAUGUUAAAACUGCCUUUCUAAAUGGAGAUUUAGAAGAAGCGAUAUACAUGAAACAACCCAAAGGUUUCAAGGUUAAGGGUCAAGAACACAAAGUGUGUAGACUCGUGAAAUCAUUGUAUGGACUGAAACAAGCUCCAAAACAAUGGCACGAAAAGUAUGACAAUGUGAUGAUGUCAAAUGGUUUCAGCAUUAACGAAUGUGAUAAAUGCAUCUACUACAAAUGUACUCCAAAUGGAUACAUCUUACUAUGUCUGAUGUACUUGACCAAUUGUACAAGACCAGAUCUAGUGCAUGCGGUAAACGUGUUAAGUCGCUACACAAGUAAUCCAGGUCAUACUCAUUGGAAAGCAAUAACUAGAGUGUUGAACUAUUUGCGAUACACUAAGAGUUAUGGGCUGCACUUUGGUAAAGAACCAGCAGUGUUAAAAGGGUACAAUGAUGCCAAGUGGAUUUAAGAUUCUAGAAAUUCCAAAUCCACAAGUGGAUAUGUCUUUACACUCGCUGGAGCAGCAAUAUCCUGGAAAUCUUCCAAACAGACACUCCUGCCCCGAUCAACCAUGGAGUCAGAGUUUAUUGGUUUAGACAAAGCAGCAGAAGAAGCAGAGUGGCUUCAGAACUUCCUGGAAGAUAUCCCGAUGUAGGAAAAACCAGUGCCAGCAUUACGUGUACACUGCGAUACUCAGUCGGCUAUUUCUCGGGCACUGAAUAAUCUGUACAAUGGCAAGUUUUGUCACAUACAAAGACGACAUAAGACCAUUAGGCAUCUGAUCUCAAGUAGUGUACUCACGGUUGAUUACAUCAAGUCAGCGGAAAAUUUAGCGGAUCUGUUUACCAAAAGCUUACCGCGAGAUCAAAUCAUUAAAUCAUCUAAGGAAAUAUGCUUAUUGCCUAUCAUGAAAGAGGAUGUUUGAUGGAAACCCCACCUAUGCAAUUGGAGAUCUCAAGAGGUUGUUUCAAAGGGACAACUAAAUCAAGCAGAAUAUGAGAAAAGCACUGUAAAAUGCUCAAUUUCCAUGAUGAUAAACAAUGCUUCCUGUAAUUAUGUAAGGUUAAGCUUUAUGGCUUUUAUGAGAUAAGACUAUAGCCUUCAUAUACAUGUAUCUAGAGUAUAACAGGAUACUUUCUGUGUAUAUGACAAGUACUUGGCAAUCACCUAGUGAGUGUGAAAUGAGGCCGUUUCUAGGAGAACGAAGACAAGGCUAUACUCUCCAAGUUCACUCAUGAUAAACCAGGCACGUUCAAAACCACAAUGAACACAAUAGAGAACUGAAUGCUACGAGAAGAAGAAGCUGGGUUGUAUCUGUUAAUUUGGUUUACACCAAAAUCCGGGCGGUUCAAGACAUCAUGUUCACUUCCUAGAGAGUAAAUCCGACAGAUAUUAACAAUGAGUGGUUCAAGUUUGAAAAAACGCUACUUCCUCAGACACAGUUAGUUUUUUUGCUUAUACUCUCGAAAAGUCCGUCUGUCGAGUCUGUAGUCUAGUUUGAGUCUAGUCUGCAUAGUCUAUCGAGUCUUGAUAACACCAUAUUUUGACCACUUUUAUGGAUCAUAAUUGUAUCUUAUGCAGGUGUUUUAACUCUGUUUUCAAUGGUUUUUAAAGUGUUUUCAAUGUUUUAGAGUUUCAAAAGACUUUACAGGAAACUUGGACAAAAGAUAUGCAAUUUGGAACAAACGAGCAAUUUUGGAUAAAUGCAGACCGCCAGAAGUAUGACAAGCGAUGAAGACCUUCUCACCGUCUGAUCACCCCCCAAAAUUUGAGACAUCAUAGAGGAUCCAACGAGCGUUCUAAUGCACUUGUUUUGGAGACAAUCCAACGGUUAGAUCUUCAUAUACUCCCGAUGCAACAAUGACAUAAAAUGCAGUUCCGGAAGAGAGCCAUGUGCCGGGGCCGCGGCCAACACCUGUUUUCCCGCGGGUAGAGCCACUGCAACCGCGGAACUUGGUCGUUCACUUUCCAGACGACUUAAUUAAAGCCCAGAUCAAUUCCUUUCAUUAUUUUUGAAACCCUAAGUGUCCAAGACCACUCCAGAAGCUAUAAAUACCAUCUUUAGGUCAUUCUAAAGUGGGAGAGACGAAUAGAAACACAAACUUAGAGAGAGAGAGAUUUUGUGUGGAACCCUAGAGAGGAGGCCGUCGUCUUAAGGAGACGGAGCCGCCGCUGGAGAGCAUCAUCGUGCCUCCGUCGUCGCCUCUGUUCUUCGUUUUUCUUCCCUGUUCUCUUUAAUUUCCUGCAAUUUUCAAUACUAUGUGAUGAUUAUUUACAAUAUGUUUGAGUAGUUACCCAGUUGGGUUUAAAGGGAUUGUUCAAAGGGAAUUUCAUGUGUCUUUGCUUAUGAAUCGAUAGAUUUAGGAUUAUUAAUCUUCUAGAUGUUCUUUAUUUGCCUUUAAUCUUACUGCAUGAUUCUUUGCUGGCCACUUAGAAGCCGAUCUGACAUGAUAUGUUGUGAAAGCUUUCAUUGAUUGUCUGAACUAGGGUGAAACGAGCGAUUCUUCAAUAGGAGUGGAAACCUACCUGUAGUUGAGUUGUGAAUGUUGAUGAGUCUUGUUCUGCUAUUGCAUCUUCUCCCUUCCAGGAUCAGAGUGGAAACCUACUGAUCAGGGUUGCGAGAGAUAGUUGUUUAGUGCUGAGAAAGUAUGCUAUUCAUACUUCCGUGCCUCGAGUUCUAGAACAUACGUAGUUGAUUACCUUUAUCACUUGUUUAAAAUCAACAUAGCUUAGUCCAUGAACCCCUGCGAAUUCCCUUGAUGCCCAACGUUUGUCCUUAAUUGCUUACAACCUUCGAUUUAGUUUGCUUUUCAAUCGCUAUUUACUUGCUUACAUUCGCUUUGUCUAAUCGCUUUUUACUUGCUUUUAUUUGCUUUCGUUUUCAAUUGUUUUUACUUCCUUUGCUUUCUAGUUUAGAUUUAGUGACAACCAAAAACCCAAAACAAAAAGCCAAAUUGUUUAGUUCUAAUCUGAUUUAAGCAUUGUCGUGAAUUCGUACUGAAACAACUAAGUCUCUGUGGAUCGAUACCCUAAAUACUACAGCGCACAUUUGUGCACUUGCAGACCUUUAGGGGUUAUAAAUUUAAAACCUGAAGCUUAGUAAAAUGAAAACAACAACCCCGCUUUUGCUCGCGAUCAAGUUUUUGGUGCCGUUGUCGGGGACUUUGAUUUGUUUCGUUGCGAAUCCUAGCUUAAAUCCAUUAGAACACUUGUUUACUUUUACUUUUUCUUUUGAAAUUUUCAGGUUUCUCUGCAAUGAGAGACCGGGAACAUGUUCCCGGGACUCUUGGUGAUCAACCAUAUCGUGUGGAUGGUGAUCCAAGCGAUGAUGACCUGACUGAUGAGUUAGAAGAACCGAUUUAUGAUGACAAUGAGCUAAUCGGAUCGACAAAACAUGAAGAUGAUGAUGAACUGAUUGGAAGUUUCGAUUCACUCGAGAAAUUCUUAGGAGAUCGAAGAGCUAUUCAACCAGCCUUACCAGAGGAUUGCAAAACCAAAAUUAAGGUACCUUAUAUCCAUUUAGUUCAACAAAAUCAAUUCCAUGGUUACAAUUUCGAACACCCGAUUGACCAUAUCGAGACGUUCAAAGAAUUAUGUGCAACCAUUACAGCAAAUGGGGAUUACCACAAGUGUAGUCUUUUCCCAUUCUCUUUGAGAGACAAUGCCAGCAAAUGACUAAAAUCUUUGCCACCUGCUUCACUAAAGACGUGGGCAGCGUGUAAAACUGCUUUCCUAAAUCGUUUUUAUACUAGAAAUCGUUCAAAUCUCUUAAGAAACAAGAUAAGAACUUUUAAACAAAAAGAAGAUGAAUAUCUUUUAGAUGCUUGUGAAAGAUUUAGGGAACACCAAAGAAAUUGUCCACACCAUGGAUAUACCGAGGAAUACCUGAUGGGUAUCUUCUAUCGAGGUAUAACUCCAGUGUUACGACACUCUUUCGACACAGCAAGUAAUGGAGACUUCUCAACUAGAUCUGUAGAAGAUGCUCAUGUUUUCAUCAAAAAUUUCGCAAACAGCAUCCGAAAUCAAGCAACCUUUGGUAAUUCUGCACUUCCUGAGAAGAAAGAAGAGAUAUCGGAAGUUAUAAAGUGUCUCCAUCACAUAAUGAAUCAUCUUGGAUUGCAAUAACCAAACAAGGCACACAAUACGUGUAACUUUGAUGGUUGGGACAACCCAAUGGAUUCUUAUGAUCAAGAGAUGAUGAACAUUGCAGAAGUCUAUCAAAUUCAAGAUUUUUCAUUCGUUUCUGAUCACCGCGGGUCCAUUCAUCCGGACCGCGGCAAACCAAGCUUUCACCGCGGUCGUGAUGAUGCUGACCGCGAGAAACUGUCUUCCGAACUUGCCUGGAAAUCACCUUCCGAACCAAUGUUGGCUAUUCAAUCUAAUCCUGUUCCACAUCCUAGUUUUCCCUCUUCUGAAGCUGAAAACCUAAACAAAAAGAUUCUAGAGCUUGAAAAAUCUAGGUCUCAAGAGAUUAGUGAUCUUAGAUCUGAAAUAAAAACGACGCAAGUGGAUUUUAAUGAAAAAUUUUCCACCCUCCUUAGCCUGAUGAUCAAAACUAAUUCCAAAAACAUAGAUAAUUCUGAAGAGGAGCCAAGUGAAAAUUCUUUCGAAAGCUCAAGCGAAGCAGAUCCCUCCGAUUGUGUGAAAGCUAUCACACUUAAUUAGGAGUGGAUUAGCUUACAAAGAGCCUGAAUUUCCUAAAGAUCCCGAAUAUGAGGAAAAGGGUAAGGAAAAAGAGGAAGAAAGAGAAAGAAUCACGAUUGAAGAUGUUGAAAAAGAAGUGGUAGGAGAGAAGGAUGGAGAAGAUGUAAGAGAAAAUACGUCCCGGGAAACUCUUGGAGAAGACCAAAUUCCACCUCCACCAACUCGUGUCUAUAAACCUAAACCUCCAUAUCCUAGAGCCUUAAGAGCCCCAAAGAAAGAAAAAGAAAAAGCUAAGCUGAAGGAGCUAAUCGAUCAAUUAAAUGUGAGAUUACCUUUCGUAGAAGCUUGUGCUAUGAUUCCCGCUUUAAGAAAAUACAUGAAGGGUAUUCUAACAAAUUCUUUAACUCUUGAAAAAGGCGUUAUGAUGAUAACCCAUGAAUGUAGUUCUAUCCUGCAAAGCCGAAUCCCUGAAAAGAAAAACGAUCCUGGAAGCUUUGUACUUUCCUGCACCAUCAAUGAUGUAGCUUUUGAGCGUGCUCUCUGUGAUUUAGGAUCUAGCAUAAACAUGAUGCCUCUUUCAGUAGCAAAACGUUUAGGACAUCACACUUUCCAGCCCACUAAAAUUUCCUUAGUAUUAGCUCAUCGUUUCGUUAGACAACCCGUAGGUAUCUUAAUUGAUGUUCCCGUAGAAAUCAAAAAUGGUCUAUACCAACCGAUUUCGUAGUUCUAGAGCUAGAAAGAGAACCUAACGAUCCACUUAUUCUUGGAAGACCAUUCCUAUCUACAGCCGGAGCCAUAAUCAAUGUUCCUGAAGGAAAAAUCGACCUUCAUCUAGCCGGCCUAGUUAUGCAAUUUGACAUGAACAAAAGUUUAGAAAAAACCGACUUUGGAUGGCGAAAUUUGUUGGAUUGAUGAGUUAGACGGAAUCAUUGAGGAAGUCUAUGAAGAUCUGCUUCUAGAUGAUCCUUUAAGUGUCACGCUUUCACCCGCAAAAGACGAACGCAAUUUCCUUGAAGAAAUUUCGAGCGAAUGCGCGCAUAUGCUUGAUAAGUCCAAAACUUAUAGGAAACCUCUAAACUAUCUAGAUCUUAAGGACCAAACAAACAUUCGUACACCUCCUAAAGACACUUCUGCAGCAAUUAACGAUCCUUGGAGCGAGCUUAAAGCCCCUAAAGUCGAGCUUAAACCUCUUCCCGUCGGACUUAAGUACGCUUUCCUUGGACCAAAUUCUACUUAUCCUGUCAAAAUAAACUCUGGUUUGACGGAAGAAGAAACCACAAUGCUGUUGACUGAGCUGAGAAAGCAUAGAAAAACCUUAGGAUAUUCACUUGAUGACAUACCUGGAAUCUCUCCAGAUCUUUGUAUGCACAAGAUAAAUCUAUAGGAUAAUGCUAAAAACUCAAUCGAAAGUCAAAGGAGACUGAACCAUAAUCUCAUGGAUGUUGUCAAGAAGGAGAUUAUGAAGCUUUUAGAAGCUGGGAUAAUCUUUCCUAUCUCAGAUAGCACUUGGGUUAGCCCAGUUCAUGUUGUUCUGAAGAAAGGAGGAGUCACUGUCAUUAAAAAUGAUAAAGAUGAAAUGAUCGCUACAAGAACAGUAACUGGACAUCGUAUGUGCAUCGAUUACCGGAAACUGAAUGCAGCAACUAGGAAAGAUCAUUUUCCACUUCCCUUCAUAGAUCAAAUAUUAAAAAGGUUAGCUAACCACCCUUACUAUUGCUUCCUUGAUGGAUACUCCGGAUUUUUUUAAAUUCCUAUUCGCCCGGAUGAUCAAGAAAAAACGACAUUCACUUGUCCAUAUGGCACGUUCGCUUACCGACGUAUGCCUUUUGGAUUGUGUAAUGCACCUGCUACCUUCCAGCGGUGCAUGAUGUCGAUCUUUACAGACUUUAUUGAGGAUUUCAUGGAAGUGUUCAUGGACGAUUUCUCUGUCUAUGGAUCCUCUUUUGAAAAUUGCUUAGCCAACCUUGGUAAAGUUCUGCAAAGAUGUGAAGAUAAGCACUUAGUAUUAAAUUGGGAAAAAUGUCACUUCAUGGUACGAGACGGAAUCGUGCUUGGGCACAGGAUUUCUGGAAAAGGUAUUGAAGUUGACAAAGCCAAAAUCGAAGUCAUGACCAGCCUACAACCUCCCACAAACGUAAAAGACAUCCGUAGUUGCUUAGGACACGCAGGAUUCUAUAGGCGCUUCCUAAAAGAUUUUUCUCAAAUAGCUAGACCUCUUACGCCUUUGCUUUGCAAAGAAACGAACUUCGAGUUUGAUGAUUAGUGCUUAGCUGCGUUUCAUAAGAUCAAAGAAGCUCUUGUCUCCGCUCCUGUCGUGCAAGCACCUGAUUGGGAACUCCCAUUCGAAAUCAUGUGCGAUGCAAGUGACUAUGCAGUCGGAGCAGUGCUUGGCCAACGAAAAGAUAAGAAAUUGCACGUAAUCUACUACGCAAGCAGAACUCUAGACGAAACUCAAUGCAAUUAUGCUACAACAGAGAAAGAACUUCUACCUGUCGUAUUUACAUUUGAGAAAUUCUGUUCUUAUCUCGUAGGAUCUAAGGUCAUAGUUCAUACUGAUCAUGCUGCAAUCAAGUAUUUAAUGUCUAAGAAAGACGCUAAACCUCGGUUGAUAAGAUGGAUCCUCCUACUGAAAGAAUUCAAAAUUCGAGAUCGGAAAGGAGCAUAUAAUGGAGUUGCAGACCAUCUUUCACGAAUUCGAGUUGAAGAAAGAUUGCCCUUAGAUGACAGUUUGCCAGAAGAAAACAUCUAUGCUAUAGAUACAACCCCCACGAAUGCCAAUACCGCACCACCACAUCCACUCAUGCGAAGAUCAGAUGCUUUCAAGACCCCAUGGUUUAGGCACAUAGCGAAUUACCUAGCAGCUGAUGUAGAACCACCGCAAUUCUUUGGGUAUAGGAAGAAAAAGUUUCUGAAGGACGUAAUACAAUAUUUUUGGAUGAACCCUAUCUCUAUAAAAGAUGUGUUGAUGGGUUAUUUCGAAGAUGCGUGGCUGAAGAUGGAAGGAAUUUUAUCCGGAUGCCAUAGCUCGUCUUACGCAGGACACUUCGCAACUUUCAAAACUGCUUCAAAGAUCUUGCAAGCAGGUUUCUGAUGGCCUACUUUGUUCAAAGAUACUCAAGCUUACAUAUCGCGAUGCGAUAAAUGCCAAAGGAUGGGCAACAUAAGCAAAAGGAAUGAGAUGCCUCAAAACUUUAUUCUCGAAGUCGAAAUUUUUGAUGUCUGGGGAAUAGAUUUUAUGGGACCAUUUCCUACUUCUUUUGGAAACCAAUACAUCUUUGUAGCAGUAGACUACGUCUCUAAGUGGGUAGAAGCAGUUGCUAGCCCCACCAAUGAUGCGAAAGUCGUCAUGAAGCUGUUUAAAUCUGUGAUAUUCCCCCGUUUUGGAGGUCCUAGAAUUGUGAUAAGCGACGGAGGAUCGCAUUUCAUCAACAGAUUUUUUGAGAAUCUUCUUAGAAAGAAUGGAGUUACACAGAAAGUUGCUUCUCCAUACCAUCCCCAAACCAGCGGUCAAGUAGAGAUAUCAAAUAGAGAAAUCAAGUCAAUUUUGCAGAAAACAACUGCAGUUCAUCGCAAGGAUUGGUCUACCAAGCUUGACGACGCAUUAUGGGCAUAUCAAACAGCAUUCAAGAUGCCAUUAGGAACAACACCAUUCAACCUAGUUUACGGAAAAGCAUGUCACCUUCCAGUAGAACUCGAGUAUAAAGCGCAAUGGGCUAUCAAGGAGAUGAAUAUGAACUUGAAAACAGCUGGAGAAAGAAGACUACUUCAACUUCACGAGUUAGAAGAAAUCCGACACAAUGCCUACGAAAACUCGAAGAUCUACAAGGAGAAGACUAAAGCAUAUCAUGAUAAGAAGAUUAUUCAUAGAACCUUUGCUCCUAACGAUAAAAUGCUCCUUUUCAAUUCUCGUCUUAAGCUUUUUCCAGGAAAAUUACGUUCAAGAUGGUCAGGACCCUUCACGAUAAAGGAAGUCAAGCCAUACGAAGCCAUUGUCCUGUGGGACAGAACCGGAAACUCAUUUACAGUGAAUGGACAGCGUGUAAAGUCAUAUCUGGCUGAAGAAAGAGAAGACGAGAGAUAAGUGAUGUUUUUGAUUGAUCCAUCAUCGGCCAAUGAUGAGAUCAAGGAGUGUCACGACCCCGGUUAAGUCUGAUAGAGCAACAAUGUCAAGCUAAUGACUUGAAACAUGUGCUUAGUGGGAGGCAACCCACUUGGUAUUUUAUUUAUUUCCCUUUGACCUUUAUUUUAUAUUUCCAUUGCUUUGCUUCUGUUUCAUUUAAAUUCAGGUUUUCAAUAAGGAAGAACAAACACAAAAGACGAGCCGCACUCUCCAGCACGAUAAGUUAUUGUUUAGAAGGACGGUCACUGAGAUAUUGUUUAGUUCCUUCGAUUUUCAAAAUUUCUUUCCUGACUUAAAUUUGUUUGAGGACAAACAAAAAGUUAAGUCUGGGGGAGUUGAUAACACCAUAUUUUGACCACUUUUAUGGAUCAUAAUUGUAUCUUAUGCAGGUGUUUUAACUCUGUUUUCAAUGCUUUUUAAAGUGUUUUCAAUGUUUUAGAGUUUCAAAAGACUUUACAGGAAACUUGGGCAAAAGAUAUGCAAUUUGGAACAAAUGAGCAAUUUUGGAUAAAUGCAGACCGCCAUAAGUAUGACAAGCGAUGAAGACCUUCUCAUCGUCUGAUCACCCCCAAAAUUUGAGACAACAUAGAGGAUCCAACCAGCUUUUUAAUGCACUUUUUUUGGAGACAAUCCAACAGUUAUAUCUUCAUAUACUCCCGAUGCAAGAAUGACAUAAAAUGCAGUUCCGAAAGCGAGCCAUGUGCCGGGACCGCGGCCAACACCAAUUUUCUCGCGGGUAGAGCCACCGCGACCGUGGAACUUGGUUGUUCACUUUCCAGACGACUUAAUUAAAGCCCAGAUCAACUCCUUUCUUUAUUUUUGAAGCCCUAAGUGUCCAAGACAACUCCAGAAGCUAUAAAUACCCUCUUUAGGUCAUUCUAAAGUGGGAGAGACGAACAGAAACACAAACUUAGAGAGAGAGAUUUCGUGUGGAACCCUAGAGAGGAGGCCGCCGUCUUAAGGAGAAGGAGCUGCCGCUGGAGAGCAUCAUCGUGCCUCCGUCGUCGCCUCUGUUCUUCGUUUUUCUUCCCUGUUCUCUUUAAUUUUCUGCAAUUUUCAAUACUCUAUGAUGAUUAUUUACAAUAUGUUUGAGUAGUUACCCAUUUGGGUUUAAAGGGAUUGUUCAAAGGGAAUUUCAUGUGUCUUUGCUUAUGAAUCGAUAGAUUUAGGAUUAUUAAUCUUCUAGAUGUUCUUUGUUUGCCUUUAAUCUUAUGGCGUGAUUCUUUGCUGGCCACUUAGAAGCCGAUCUGACAUGAUAUGUUGCGAAAGCUUUCAUUGAUUGUCUGAACUAGGGUGAAACGAGCGAUUCUUCAAUAGGAGUGGAAACCUAUUUGUAGUUAAGUUGUUAGUGUUGAUGAGUCUUGUUCUGCUAUUGCAUCUUCUCCCUUCCAGGAUCAGAGUGGAAACCUACUGAUCAGGGUUGCGAGAGAUAGUUGUUUAGUGCUGCGAAAGUAGGCUAUUAUACUUCCGUGCCUCGAGUUCUAGAACAUACGUAGUUGAUUACCUAUAUCACUUGUUUAAAAUCGACAUAGCUUAGUCCAUGAACCCCUGCGAAUUCCCCUUGAUGCCCAACGUUUGUCCUUAAUUGCUUACAACCUUCGAUUUAGUUUGCUUUUCAAUCGCUAUUUACUUGCUUACAUUCGUUUUCAAUUGUUUUUACUUGCUUUGCUUUCUAGUUUAGAUUUAGUGACAACCAAAAACCCAAAACCAAAACCCAAAUUGUUUAGUUCUAAUCUGAUUUAAGCAUUGUCGUGAUUUCGUACUGAAACAACUAAGUCUCUGUGGAUCGAUACCCUAAGUACUACAGCGCACAUCUGUGCACUUGCAGACAUUUAGGGGUUAUAAAUUUAAAACCUGAAGCUUAGUAAAACGAAAACAACAACCUCGCUUUUGCUCGCGAUCAAGUCUGCAUAUGUAUAGAGUCAUUUCUAUUCAUGUGGGGAUAAUUGGAAUCCAAUAUUAAUAAGCAUUUGGACUUGUAAUAUUGAAUUUGUGUGUGAAUAAGAAAUGAAGUUUAAUAAGCAAAUGGGCCUUAUAAAUUCAUUUGAGAUUUGGGUUUCAGCCUAUGGAAAUGAAAUGUUCCUAUUGGCUAUAACUAAAAGUGGAAGUUUAGUGGAAGUGUAUUUGUCCCACAUUGCUCAUCAAGGAGAAAAAUAUCUUGUAUAUAUAUGGUCUUCUCACAAUAAGGGCCAACAACAUUGUGGAAGUAAAAGAGCAUUAUGCAAAAACACCUAUGCGCGCCGCCGCCGCCGUCGUCGCCGGUGCCAGUGCCGGUGUCGGGCUCGGGCUCGGGCUCGUGCUUGUUGCUCGUUGCAUUUUUUAGUUGGCUCUUAGGGCUCUAUAUAGCUGGGUGUGGGUCGUGGGCUUCUUAGUUCCUACGAAAUAAUUUUUGCAUAUUGAAAGGAUAAAUCUUAGGAAAUAAAAGAUUGCGUCCAGAUAAUAACAGAAGAUUUUCGAAUCCUUUUACUUGCGGGAAAAGGAGAAUAUCUCGUGAAUAUUCCUUUUCGCCAAAGCUUAUUCCUUGCGGAUCAAUCUAAACCUUCCAAUAUAAAUAGACGCCCUCUUCUCUCAUUCUAAAUUAUCGAAUUCUCGAACACACCAAACACACAGCAAUAAUUCUUUCCAGCAAUUAUCUCUCGUCCUAAUAUCGUAAGUGUCUCGAGAGCUAUAGCGUAGUAUUAUUUCAGUUCGAAGAUUCUAUUAUGGGUGUUGCAUAAUAGUCUCAUCACGGUUGUAUCCUGGGAUUCAAAAGUCGCACCAUACGGUCACACAUUACCGGCGAUUUAUUGAGUUAAGGAAAGAUAUCAUAUCUCGACUCCGUGUUUUUCGUCUGUUUUCAAUUGGUUUUCCAACUUUCGUUUUAAUCUCUUACCUUAACAUAUCUUUUAUAAUAUUGUUAUUUUAUAUUCGUGAUUUAAAUCGGAUUUCCGCGGUCCUUACACAUGAAACCAUUGCUGAUUUCAGUUUGAAGUUGAGUUCACUACCUCAGGAGGCUUCAACACUUGGAAAAACCUACAAGGACAAGAUACUGGUGAAGAAGUUUCUGAGAUGCUUACCAUCAAGAUUCAUGGGAUACAAAUUGGCUUUAAGUGUGUUCCAAAAUAUUGAAUCCCUCAGCUUUGGAGAAGUUGUGGGAAUGUUUCAGGCACAUGAGAUGGAACUCGCUAGUGCAAAAAAGCAUAAGAGUUUGGCACUAACAUCAGUUUGCGAGAAAAAGGCUUUGGAAGAUGAUGACAGUGAAGAUGCUUUGGGCUUACUCGUAAGAAAGCAUGAUCGAGCUCUGAGGAGACGUGAGACAUCCUAUGGAUAGAAGAAGACCACACCGCUCAAGCGAGAAGGAAAAAGGUGAAAAAAGAACUGAUGUGUAAUGCUACGAGUGCAAAGGAAUAUGUCACUUCAAACCUUAGUGUCCUACUAUCAAACGAAGGGAGAUUCGGUGCUUUGAAUUAAAAGGUUUUGGUCAUAUACAGCUGGAAUGUGUAAAUGAUCAGAAUCACAAGAAAGAAAAAUAUCUACUGGCGGAAGAAGACUUCGAUGAUGAAAGUGAAGAUGAGACCCUGGAAGAGGUGAACAACUUUGUCAUGUUUGUAGAAUUACAGAUUUUUAGGAAGGCAAAGUUGAAUCAGAGGCUGAGUCAAAUACUGGUGCAGAUAAUGAUCUGACAGAGAGCUACAAGGAAGUGCGUGAGACACUGAUCAAGAUGGGCAAGGAAAAAUCAGAAUUAAAGAAGGAAAAUCUUCAACUUGAGGUCAAGGUUGAGUCUUUACAAAGGGAAUUGGAGGCAGCUCAUAAACUGAGUCAAGGAAGUGUGUCCUUGAUAAAAAAAAAACUGAAUUUGGCAAAAAAGGUUGAGGAGCUAGAGGAAGACCUGAGGCGGGAAAAAGGAAUCUCUUACAAUUUAAUGGCUGAAAGCAUUGAACAACAAAAGAAGAUUCACAUGUUCGCUGGAACAAAACAGCUGGACAAAAUCUUAAGCUAUGAGGGACGAGCUGAUGUAAGAAGAGGCUUGGGAUACGAGAGUCGAACUAUGGUAGAGACAGGUGAAACCAAGUUUGUGUCUGGGGGGGAUCAUUCAGCCGUAGGAGACCAAGGAAGCAGUCACUUCAGUUAAGAAAGGAGUCACUCCAGUGAAGAAAGAUGGAUGAUAUUAAUGUGGUAAGACAGGGGACAUCAGGAACCAUUGCUACUGAUUUUGGAAGCAAGUGAGAAAGCUUAAGGAGCUUGUGAGAUAUACCUGGAAUGGAUUCCAGAAUCAGAUCUGGGUGAGGAAAGCUGAUCUGAGGUACACGGCUCCAAGGCAAACUCAACAGCAGGCUCCGAUGCUUUGAGAUUCACGAGUUGGGAAGCACUAGUUGAGGAACAUGGAAUUUGGCUUUAGAUGCAACAUGGCGAUUGGUACCAAAGUGGAAAAUCAUACAGGUCCGUGGUACUUUGAUAGUGGAUGCUCACGAUACAUGACUGGCAAAAGGGGCAAAGGUAACACAAAAGAGUUUGGUCAGCCUUAGCUCGUGAAUAUGUACUUGGUUCAUGGUCUGCAUGCUACUCUGAUAAGCAUCAUUCAGCUUUGCGAUGAAAAGCUAACUGUCAUCUUUACCAGGACGGACUGAAAAGCUGUAAACAAAGGAGCAGUCAUCUUAAGAGGAAUCAGAUCCGAAAACAACUACUACAUGUGGGAUGACACUACAAGAAAAAGGGCUUAUUGAUAUCACAUUUGCACAUCGUAAUUCUAAUAACUGUUAUUAAAAGAGGUUUACGGAGUUGACAACUCUGUAAUAGCAUAAAAUUAAUUCUAAAUCCAAAAAUCUAGGCUGGAUGGUAAAAAUCACGUUGGCACGCAGAAAAUAUUUAAACCCGCCAACACUUAGCCAAAAAAAGAGUGUCUUUGACUAAAACAUGAAGGUUAGUAUAAUAAACAAUAAAAAAAACAGAAAUAAAAAUUAGAAACAACAAAAGACCUAGGGUUCCUGAUGGCGAUUCCUCUUUGCUCGAUUCGAUUCACGGCUCUUUUACUACCGAUGGCGACUAACUCGAUAUAUAUCAGCGUCGAUUUACUCCGGUGCAUUUGAUCUGCACAAUAUCGGCUAUUUCAUCCAGAAUAUCGACUGAUUGCAUCCAUCUCUUUGCUCGGUUCCUGGAGUUAAAGGUAACUACGAUUCACAAUCCCAUAACCCUAAAUGUAACUUUGUUGUUCGGUUUGAUUUCAUUAUCAAUCAUGCUUAGUUUACUUUAAUUUAUUCUCAUGAUACGAGGUUGGAGAUUUAAAGCUGAAGAGUGCAAAAAAAGGUUGAGACGAAAGACAAGCUACAUACUCUUGCCCGAGUUUGUCUGCAAACGGUUCUCAAACGUGAAUAUAACUCAUUUAAAGGUUUUUAAUUGAAUUUUUGGGUUUACAUUCUGAUUGAAAUAGAGAUCUUUUUAUCUUUAUGAGCUGCUUUAAAACUACUGGGUUCAGUUGUGUUUAGGUCUGCUUGCAUAAUAGCUACUGGUUCGAUUAGUGUUGUUUCUGUUUGCGUAAUAUACACAUAUUUCAGGGGUGUUGUUGAUGGUUCAACAAUUCUUGUGUUUGAGUUGCUCUGCUAACAAUUUUCAUUAAUAUUAGAUCAGAUAAUGCUGGACAAGACCUGGGUUAACUUUUGCAGGUAUAUAGUUCAAAUCCAGUUGUUAAGUUAUAGUGUCAGGCUGAGUAGUUUCGAAAAUUAAUUUUUUUUUCUUUCUUUCAUCAAAAUGAAUUUUCAGUGCUGAUCCAGCAUACGAGAUAUGUACUACGAAUUUUGUAAAUGCGGUUGCUUCUGCAUUAGGAGAUGCUGAUAUGAUAGUACGUCCAUGCGUUGACUGCCGCAAUAUAGACCGCCACUCAAUUCGUGAUGUAGUCGACCAUCUGGUCACAAGGGGAAUGGAAGAGGUUUACAAGCAUAGAAGUGAUUGGUAUCAUCACAGUGAAGCUAUAGCUAAUUCAGAAGCUGUUGAUAGUAGUAAGGUUAGAGAAUGGAACGAAGAGAUUUUAGGGUUAUUUCAGGCUGCAGAAUACUUAGACAAAGAGUUAGCUAACAUGACUGAAUUAGGUGACGUUUCUGAGGGUUUAGAUAAGAAAGAAGACGAGUUUCUGUAAAGCUUGCUGAUGCUGAAACCCCUUUGUAUCCUAGCUGUGCAAACCACAGUAGCUAUCAGCUAUUGUCUCUCUGUUUAGGCUUAAGACUCCAAAUGGGUGGUCGGACAAGAGUUUCAACGACCUACUUGAGACACUCUCCAAAUUGUUGUCAGAAGACAAUGUUCUUCACACAUCAUUGUAUGAUGUGAAGAAAUAUUUCAAGUCAUUCGACAUGGGCUACCAGAAGAUACACACUUGUUUUAAUGACUGUUGUUUGUUUACAAAGAAGUACAAGAAGCUAGAGAGUUGUCACAAGUGCAAAGCAUCAAGAUGGAAGACGAAUUUGCACACUGGUGAAGUAAAGAUUGGUAUCCCACAGAAAGUAUUGAGAUAAUUUCUUAUUAUUCCGCGUCUGAAGAGGAUGUUUAGGUCAGAGCUAGAGGAAACGGCGAAAGACUUACGGUGGCAUAGUAGUAUGAAGAGCCGUGAUGGAAAGCUUCGUCGUAUGGUUGAUUCUAUAACAUGGGAGCAUAUAGACACCAAGUUCUCGUUAUUCGCCGCUGAUGAAAGGAACAUUCGGCUUGGACUAUCCACCGAUGGCUUCGAUCCAUUCAACAUGAAGAAUACAAGGUACAUCUGUUGGCCUGUUCUAUUGGUAAAUUAUAGUAUGACUCCUAACUUAUGCAUAAAGAAGUAGAACAUAAUGCUUUCUUUGUUGAUUCCUGGUCCGCAACAACCUGGAAAUAGUAUAGAUUACUACUUAGAACCACUAAUAGAUGAUCUUAACCAGCUGUGGGAGAAGGGCUCGCUUACCUACGAUACAGUAAAUGGUACCACUUUUACUUUAAAGGCGAUGCUUCUUUGGACCAUUAGUGACAUACCUGCUUACAGAAAUCUUGCUGGGUGCAAAGUUAAAGGUAAGAUGGGUUGUCCUUUAUGUGGGAAACACACUGAUAAUAUGUGGUUGUCUAAUAGUAGGAAGCACAUAUAUAUGGGUCAUAGGAAAUGGUUGUCACCUACAAAUAAAUACCGUGGGAAGAAGACAUGGUUUGAUGGUAAAAUUGAACACAGAAGGAAGGGUAGGAUAUUAACUGGUCAUAAUAUUUACACUCUUUUGAGAAAUUAUAAAAACGACUUCAAAAAUAGGAAACCCGGAGCUUUUCUUCAGAGGCCUGUACGGAACAUGUUAACUAUUGAGGAAGCAGCUGGAGAAAUGAUUGCAGUACAUGAUGAUCUCCAGCUGUGGCAUCAACGAUUGGGCCACAUGAAUAUAAGGAACCUCACCAAUCUCAUUGAAAAAGAGAUGGUUAGAGGAGUUCCUUGAGUUAAGAGAAGAAAAAACAUGGUCGGCGGUCCAUGCACUUAAGGGAAGCAGAACAAAGUCCUGAUAUUUAGUCUAAGGCAGUAUUUGACCUAGUACACAUGGAUAUGAUGGGACCAAUGCAAACAGAGAGCUUGUGAGACAAACGAUAUGGCUUUGUCAUUGUGGAUGACUACUCGAGGUUUACAUGGGUUCGAUUUCUUCUAGAAAAUCAGAAACAGCUGACAGCUUCACAAUUUGGGCGCUACAACUUAUGAAUCGGCAUGGAAGCAUCAGAAACAUCAGGAGUGAUCAAGGAGGCAAGUUCUAGAAUGAGUUCAUGAAAUUGUUCUUUGAGAGUCAUGGGAUUCCUCAGCAAUUUUCUGCACCUAGAACACCCCAGCAAAAUAGAGUGGUGGAAAGGACUCUGCAAGAGAUGGCUCAGGCAAUGAUGCACGAGAAUCAAGUGCCAAAGAAAUUCUGGGCUGAAGCAGUCAACACCGCGUGCUAUAUCGUCAACAUGGUCUACGUUCGGAAACGAACCAGUAAGACACCCUGUGAGCUUUGGAAAAGAAAGACUCCUAAGUUGAGUAACUUUCAUAUUUUUUGUUGCAGGUGUUACAUUCUGAAUGACAAGGAUCAUCUCGAAAAUUUGACUCAAGGAGUUAUGAACGAAUGUUCUAGGGAUACUUAGGGAAUAGCACAGUCUUCAGGGUCUUCAACACAAGAAUAAAAGUGCUGAUCGAGUCGGGAAAUGUUGUGUUUGAUGAUUACGCUCACAUGAAGUGGAAAGGCACUAGUACAUGAAGUAACUCAGAACAGGGUGAGGAGGAGCACGAGACACAACCUAUUGGUGCAAUUGACCAAGUUGCAGAGGACGCACCAUCUGACAUUCAGUAGGUGCAUCGAAAUCAUUCAGCAUCUGAUCUUAUUGGAGAUGUGAAAGAAGGGAGGAAGAUUCAAAGAGUGCAACUGGAUUUCAAGAAGAUGGUGGAAAAAUACUCGGAGAUAGUUUUAUUUGCGUGUUUUAUCUCGGUUAUUGAACAAAGAGACUAUUAUCAAGCAUUCAGUGACGAGUUCUGGAUUGUUUCCAUGGAGCAAGAGCUGGAACUUAUUCCUUGGCCUCAGGAAAGAAAUGUUAUAGGAAUCAUGUGGAUUUUCAAGAACAAGAUUUAUAAAAAUGGAGUAGUGGUUCGCAACAAGGUCAGGCUGGUCACACAAGGGUUCUCACAAAUUGAGGGAGUAGACAUUGAGGAAAUUUUUGCGCCUAUAGCAAGACUUGAGUCAAUCAGACUGUUUCUAGGAAUGGCAUGCAUACUGAACUCCAUGGUGUAUCAGAUGGAUGGCAAGAGUACCUUCUUGAAUGGCAUGCUCUCGGAGGAAGUUUAUGUGGAACAGCCGAAAAAUGUUCGAAGACUCACAGAAUCCGGAGUAUGUGUACAAGCUCAAAAAGGCCAUAUACGGCCUGAAACAAGCUCCUCAAGCUUGGUAUGAGCGAUUCACUAGGUUCUUGGUGUAACAAAGCUAUACUAGAGGGAGUGUUGACAAGACUCUGUUCAUUCUUGAGAAAGGAAAAGAGAUCAUGAUAGUUCAGAUUUAUGUGGACGAUAUCAUUUUUGGUGGAACAGCUCAGAGGUUUGUUGAUGAGUUUAUUACAAAUAUGACUCGUGAGUUUGAGAUGAGCAUGGUACGUGACUGCGUUACUUCUUGGGUUUGCAGAUAACCUAAUCGGAGAAUGGGGUGUUUAUCUCUCAAAGUAUGUAUGCUAGAAAUCUUAUCACUCAGUUCAAGCUUGAUCAUUGCAAGAAGGCAAAUACCCUGAUGAGUACUACAGCAAGACUGGCAUGAGAUAAUGAGGGCAAGAACGUGGAUCCAGCACUAUACAAAGGGAUGAUUGGAAGUUUGCUAUAUCUCACCGCGAGCAGGCUUGAUCUAUGCCUAAGUGUGGCCAUAUGUGCGAGGUACCAGGCAAAGCCAAAGCAGUCACAUCUAGAAGCUGUCAAGAGAAUCAUCAAGUAUGUCAAGGGAACUGCAGAUCUAAGGAUCUGGUACUCAAAAAGAUUCAACCAAAACUUGGUCGGGUAUUGUGAUGCUGACUGGAUCGGGAGUGCAGAUGAUCAGAAAAGCACCAGUGGAAGUUGUUUUUUUAUUGGAAAAAAUCUUGUGUCAUGGCUAAGCAAGAAGCAAAACUCUGUAUCACUAUCUACUGCAAAGGCAUAGUACAUUGCUAUGGGGAGCUGUUGCAGCCAGCUGUUGGGGAUGAAGCAAAUAUCAGCCGACUGUGAAUGGAUUCUGGACCACUACUGGUUCACUGUGACAACAAGAGCGCCACAAGCUUAUCAAAGAAUCUGGUGCAGCACUCAAGGAUAAAGCACAUUGAUAUAAGGCACCACUUUAUCUGAGAACUGGUGGAAGAAAAACAGGUAGUGAUAGAACAUAUUGUCACUGAUUUGCAAGUGGCUGAUUUGUUUACAAAACCUCUGGAUUUUAACCAUUUUGUCGAUCUAAGAAAUUCGAUUGGAGUUUGUGGUAUGUAAUAGUUUUUGAAGUGUACAGGCUGAUACAAAGGCUGAUUCAGGGAACACUUAAGGUUCAGAUUCUGUAUGGAGUCAGUAUUAUUGUGGAAAAGAGCUACCUCAAUUCCUGUCGUGCCUUGACAUCAGUACAGAUUUCAUGGAGAGAGAGAGAGCAAACUGAGUUAGUUUUGGAGAAAUCAAAUAAUAAAACUAAUUCGCACAAUAAAAGAGAAGGGGAAAAAAUAAAAAGUGCUAAAAAGCUGAAGAAGUAUUAAAAAAAAAUUGAUAUACGCAUUAAUAGUGCAAGAAAGUCCCCAAGAGAUAAAAGCUGCUCUCUCCCAUUGAUAAAUGUUGAAAAAUGAAACACAGGUCGAUAAAGACAGGAGAGGGUUUAGAGUUUAGCCAUAACGAAUAGCAAACGUUAUGACAACAUAAAUUUUUUAGAAAGUUCAAAAGCAAUAAUCACAAAAUCAUAAUAUAAUUCUUCAUAACUUCAUCAGGAUUUCUUGUUUAUGUCACUUUUUGUUAACCGAUCUUUCAGCUUCUAUUUCAUCAAAGUAUUCAGGACUCUUCAGUUGGUUUUUAGAUAAAGGAGUUCGGGAAGAACCAGACGAAGGAUUAUCAAGUUCCUCAGAACUCAUAAGCAUUAACGGUUGCUGAAAUAGAUAACAUUGUUCAUGACUUAAUUAAAAAUAAUUUCAUAUAGCGGACUUGCUAACUCGUUGCAUUUUAUCAUAUAUUACUUCUGAUAGAGAAUCUCACUCAGUCGUAAUGUCGACAUCUUGAGACCAUAGAUCAGGUACAUACAGAGACUGACUUUCUUUAGUAUGUACUUCUAAAAAUGUUAUUUUGAAAAACAUUCUCAUUGUUAGGAGUUUAGUCAAACCAUCAGGGAGUCUUCUUGGUAAAUCCCAUACAAUAUUAUAUUCUCCGGAUUAAUAUAAUAUCAGACCAUGUAAAUAAUGCAUAUUAUAUAUAAGGAUUUAAGGAACUGCCUCGUUAGUUUGUUCCAUUAUUGACUCAGCUGAAUAACCAAAAAGUUUUCGAGUAGUGUCAUCAAACAUCAGGAAUCGGACAUCGACACCUGAUUCACCAGUAACAAAUAAUACGAUAUAGUACCUAUAUAAUUUUGUAGGGAAACGGAAAUGUCAGUUAUUUGAAAUGUAAUGAAUUUAUAUUAAAUUUAAUGGGACGAUUAUAUGUAUUACCUUGCCACGACUACAAUCCUAUGAAUAAAUAUCUCUACAAUUUUUGCAACUGAAAAGAGGAAUCCGCUUAUCGUAAUCUUCUUCAUCAGACAAGAUGAUAUGCUCUAGAACUUUAAUGUUGCAAGGUUUCAAAGCCCAAUAAUACCACAGCUUUGAAGUGUCAACAUCUUUGACUGUUACACAAGUUACAAUUUUGCUGGACUGUAAUAAAACCAUUAAUAUGUAUAAUUUUAAAAUAUAAAUAAAUUUUUAACAUUAGUAAAUUCUAUCUCAUACCACUUUUGUUUCACGAAUUCCAGAUAUUGUCUGUCUCCUAUUCUCGACACCUAAAAAUUCUUCACAAUAGUCAAUCACACCACUCCAAGAAGACGAAUAACUUUGUUCAGCAUGAACAAUCAUUUGAUGAUUUUUUUGGCAACCUAUAAACCACACACAUUUAUUUAAUAAAUAGAAUACUGUUAAUAUUUAAAAAUUUGUGUCAAACCAUACUUUUCUUUGUAGUCUUUCUCGAUGUUCAAGUCAGGAUCAAAAACAAUUUUUUGUGGAGUUGAAAGAGUUUGCUAUUGAUAUAUCACCUAUAAUAAAAAAACCAAAAAAUAACAUACAUGAUAUCAAGUUAAUGCCAUAUCAAUUUCCGAAACCGUGUGCAUAUGAAUAUACUAUAUUUUGAUCUCACAUUUAUAAUCUUAUAUAUAGACAAAACGCAUUACACAGACAACGAUAUAAUCCAUAUGUUUGUCAGUGUACUCAACAGUCGUCUUUCCACAUUGUCUCCAUAAUGUACAUUUCAGUUGAACAACGCUUGAGCAAAAAGUAUAUCAGCCUCACAUGGUUAUAAGAUUUUCUAAAUAUUUUGUAUGAUAUUAUAACUUACUUGGUAUCACGUAGUGUUAUCAUUAAUUUCUCGCUGAUACCACUCUUGCCUUUUGUUUUGAUAACUUUCAUACUCCUCACCGUGACUAUAGCGAUUUUGUGAAGAGAAUUGUGUACUUUUAGGGUUUUGGAAGGCUUAUUUAUAUAUAUAUACAUAUAUAUAUAUGGAGAAGAAAUUUAUGAAAAAAACUAAAUUAUUGAAGUUUGGUGGGAUAUUCAUUAUUUCAAAAAAGAGAAUGAAAUUCAUCAUGAGAAUAUUUGGAAUGUGCGUAGAAGUAGGUAUAGUUCCAAAAUCUUUGACAUUCAAAUUUUUUAGAAUGAUUGAAUUGCCAAAUGUGACGUGUAUAUAUUGAAAUAGAAUCUAACUGAUUGAAUAAUUAAUAAUAACUCAAUAACCUUUGAGUAUAUUCUGUUACAUUAAUAUCGGUAAAUCUUACGAAUAUAUAUAUGUAAUCUUUCAUUUUUUAAUGAAAAUUUUUAUUAGGCUGAAAUGGAUUGAAGGACGUAAUAAUUAUUAAAAAUGAUAUUGAAUGGGCUGUAUUUUCGUUUGGGCCUUUGGAUGUUUUACAGAGGAAAUAAAAUGUGACGGUCGGGUAUAAAAGAUCCGUGUGUUUAUCUGUUUUUAAUUUUUCAGGUAUUUGUAACUGAGUCAACAUUUUUUAACCAAUCAUGUUUCGCAGAAUCAGCUUCUUUGCCAUGUCAUAUUUGACGUAGAAUAAACAUCAUCAUUGUCGUGGCAAGAAGCUCGGGAGAAGCGAUUUCUAGCCAAUAAUAUUAAAACAAAUAAGCGAUUUUUCUAACAUUUUCAUUAAUUUACAUUCUUAUCUUAAUAUAUAGGAUUAGUAAUGCAUUUUCAAAUAUAGAAAAUCUCUGUGUUAUGUUGUGUUAUAGUUCCAAUACUUUAGCUCUUGCAUUUACACAACCUUCUUAUUUUGUUCAUGCAAAGUUCAAUAGAUUGUGCAACCAAAUUACAACCUCCUUCUAUGAAAUCAAUUCUUCGUGAUCACAAUUUUUUUGUUUUCACUCUAUUCGAAUAAGUUCUUUACCAAAAGAGUUUAGGCUUGAGACUAAUUUAGUCGGCAACUAACUAAUAAAAAGGCAAUUAGGAUGAUAAGAAGAUAAGCAAAUGGGUAGCAAAAUCAUAACCUUUAACCACUCUUCCCAUUAUAACAGUCUCCCGCACUCUUUCCUUUUAACCAUUCUGCAUAUAUUACAGCUUAAAUUCCUGUGUAUUAAAAAGAAAAUUAUUACAAUCCCACUCUUUUGACUUUAGAAUUGAAUAACAAAGAUUACCUAUGAUGAAAUUAAUCAAGAUAAACCUACAAAUUUUUUUUUUUUUUUAAAGAACAUACUUAAGUUUUACCAUCCAUCUAAUCAGUCUAGGUGAGUGUCCAUCAAAUAGUCCACGCACCGUAUUUUUUAAUGAAUCUAGAGCAUUACACAAUUUCAACUGGCUAAAUGGGAGUGGUCAUAUAAUUUUACAUUUGCGGAAAAUCGAUCUCUAGCCUAAACCUAUAUGAUAACUCUUCAACAAAUAGGAACCACUUACCACUACCACUAGGUUAUAAACCAUUCUAUUUAAAACCCCAUAUUUUAACAUCAACAAAACAUAUUGAGAUAUUCGCAUGAUAGUCUCAUGCAUGGUAGUAAAUUAGUUUUGGGCCAAAAUAAUUUUUUUAUAGACCAAAAUAAAUAUAUCUAUGGAUAAACAAACUUACGUCCAUAUACAGUAAAACCUCUAUAAAUUAAUACUCGAUAAAUUAAUAAUCACGAUAAAUUAAUAAAUUUUGCUAGUCCCAAGUUGGGCCAAUAUAAAAAUCCAUCAAAUUCGAUAAGAUAAUAAGAUAAUAAUUUUUUAUAAAAUUCUUAUAUAAAUAUAUGGUCCCAACAAAAACUUUAAUAAUUAUAUAAAUUUAUGUAAAUAUAUGUAAAUAUAAUAUUCUAAAAUAUGACUAAUGUCUUUAUUUUUAUUUAAAGUUGAGAUCUUAUUGGUUCUCAUCUCUCUAAUUAUUAUAUCAUUAGCUUUUAUUACUGUUUUACUAUACAUACAUUUAAAAUUUAUGGUGAUUUUUUUUAUGUGAUAAUUGAUUUUUUUAUAUGUAAAUAUUUUUAAAUGUGUUGUACUAUUAUCUUUAAUUUUAUCAUCAAUAAUAGUGAUAGUAGCCAUGGUUUUUUAUAAAUUUUAAACUUAUAAAAUAUAUAUAUAUAUAUUUACAUGGGCGAUCCAAUAUGGUGUUAAAAACUAUUUUAUUGUGAUAGUUAUUAUUGUUAAUCAUAAUAUAUAUUAUGAGAUUAGUUAAAAUUUUGAAAUAUAACACUAUUCCAAAAAAAAUUUUAAAACUUAUAUGCAGAAAACAAAUGUUCUCUAUAAAUUAAUAAUUAUUAAUUUAUAGAUAAAUUAAUAUCACGAGAAAUUAAUAAAAUAUCAUAGUCCCAACAUUAUUAAUUUAGAGAGGGUUUACUGUAUAUAUAUAGCCUUCUAUACUUAGAAUUUGAACAUGCAUUAGGUCUACGUAAGAUCUUCUCAAUUUCCGACAAGAUUUUUCUAAUCUGGAAUACUCCAAAAUAAUUAUAGUCAAGUGCUCAAGAAAAAAAAAUUACAAUGAGGUUUACGUACUUCAACUGAUCUUAGCAAAUACCAGUAAAUUAAAGAAGGAAAUUCUUGUUUAAGUAUGGAUCGAUAUCUUCUGUUAAACAUUUAUCCCAAAAAAGUAUGGAUAGCAACGGGACAUAGACCGGCUAUAGUUACAUAUAUUACCUAUCUGAUUAUCAUUGUUCAUUUUUCUAUACUUCUUGUCCAUAAAUAAUCGUUCUCCUCUUUUACCAUUUAUCUUUUAUUUUCUCUACCAUAAGAUAUCUAAAAAGUAGAAAGAAGGUAUAGAUGUAGAACCUAGCGAGACCUCUUGUGAAAAUUAGAACUUGUAGUGUUGAAUCUCGACCUCGAUUAUUAACAAAAAUAUUAUGGGACUAAACAAACAAACAAACAAAUAUUAUGGGAUGUAAAUGAGUUGCUCUUACAUAUAAUACGAAUUAGGUGUUUUGUCCGCGGCUUGUGCGGAUCCCCGAAAAGUUUAAAAUUGUAAAACAAAACUUUAUAUUAGGUGAAUAACGAGAAGUAGAAUAAUUGAGACGUAUAUGAUCAAAAUAAAACAAAGCCAAAAAAUUAAACACCCAAAAUGAAAUACUAAAUAAGUGUAUGAACCUUACAAACCAACUGAAUUAAAACAAAUACGAAUUUUUCAUUUCCACGUAAUGGUUAUUUAUUUUCUUCUUUUUCCUCUUCUUUAUUUUUUGGUUAUUCUUCUUUAUUGUCUUUUCUUUAUUUUUAUUCAUUGUCUUCCAACCAUCCGAUAUCAGUGUAGGUAGAUCGUAAAUAUCAGUACUCUAAUACCUAUGUAGAGAUAGCAUGAUAAUCACGUUCAAAGUAUAUAAGGGAAGAGAGGAAGCACAUACGCACUGUAAGACAACAAAAAACCAACGACCAGUUAUAGCCAAUUACAAUACGUAUAAACAAUAAGAAGAAUCAUGUAUAAAAAAAAUUAUUUUUGAUCGUCUUUGUCUUUUCUUCUUCCUCCUCUUAUUUAUCUUUUGAUUUUUUUAUUCCUCAUCUUUUCUUUCUCUUCUUCAUCGUCUUUAAUUUCUACUUCUUCUUUCUCUUCUUCCUCGUUUUCUCUUUCUUUGUUUAAUUCUUCUUCAUAUUCUUUAUCUUUCAGUUUUUUCUUCUUCGUAUUUUCCUUAUUCUUUUUUUUUAUCUGUUCUUCCCCUGACUUUUUUCUUCUUUUCUGAGUUUUACUCGUAUUCUUCUUCCUUAUUCCAUUUCAAUGUAUUUUUCUUCUUUCUCUUCGAAUUUUUCUUCUUCCUCUUUUCCAUCAAAUUCAUUUUUCUCUUCUUCCUCUUAUUCUUUUUUUUUUUGUCGACAGCCUAGAUACCUAGAACGAUUCGGUUAGCCAAACCGGAGGUAUCGAGUUUACAUAAAUAAUAUCUUGAGGAUGGACACGAGCUCUUCUUGCUAAAGUGUCCGCCUUCGAAUCCUUCACGCGCGAGAUGUGUGAGAUAGUAAAAGAAUUGAAUUUGUUCUUCAUCUUCUCGAUCUCCUCCAAGUGUAAAGAAAAUGCUGGCCAUUCUUGGGUGCAGAUACCAUCUUCACCAACUCCAAACAGUCUGUUGCAAAAGCUACAUCCACCUUCUGAUUCCCUAUCAUGCAGUGCAUAACCUAGAUAAGGGCUUCUACCUCCGCAUGUAGAGAUGAAAGGCUCCGCCUUACAUUCUGUGCUCCCAUUAUUUUAUCCAUAACGCCCUCUUUGAAAUAGUACUAGCCUAAACCUAUUUUGGAAUCCAUAUCUUUCCAUGAACCAUCUAUAUAACACCACCAGCCAUCAUAACUCACAAAUGAUGAGUGGGCCACUGUGUUUCUGUUACUUAUGAAAGUUGCCUGCUGUUUAAAGCUUUGGGCCUCUUCCCAUAACGCUGCUUCUGUCUCCGCUAUUCUCAGAGUAAUUUGUGGGUCUAUAUCAAUGUUUGAAUAUACUUUCUCAUUCCUUUCUUUCCAGAUAUACCAUAUAUCCAUAGGAAUUGUGUAUUUGUUACCUCUUCCGGUAGCCUCCAAAAUAGGUGAUCAAAAUUUUCAUAAACCGAUGUCAUUGGAAAUAUGCCUAGUGGAGUUGGAAUCUUUGAUAAAGCCCAUAUUUGUAGGGCAGGGGGACAUUCAAAUAAAACAUGGCUGAUUGUUUCUUCCUCAGCUCCGCAUCGUGCACAUUGCGUGUCACAGUGUAUUCCACGGGUGUGAAGUCUAGUUGGUACCGUAAGACAUCCUGAUAAAGCUUGCCAAAUAAAGUGUUUUAUCUUUGGAUAUGUUUUCAAUUUCCAAGUGUAUGCUUGUAGUGCCUUUAUGUUUGGCCCAUAUUGAUCUUCAACAUGGUUGUCCGGGAUUUGGUGUUCUGUUUGGUAGCCUGAUUUUACCGUAUAUCUUCCAGAUUUUGUAAAAUGCCAUCCCAAUGGGUCUGGUCUAUAUGAAGUACUGAUGGGUAUCCCACGAAUGAUUUCCACAUCUGUCGGGUCGAUAAUUGCCUCUAUCAGGCCCAGAUUCCAUGUAUUCUUCAUUGGGUCAAUCAGAUGAUUGACCAUUAGAUUUGGGUAAUAGUUGAACCCUUUACAAGUUGCUGAUAUCGGGUGAGGAGCCGGUAUCCAUGGGUCGUUCCAUACUGAAAUAGAACAUCCAGAACCAACUCUUUUGAUUAGCCCUUUGUUAACUAGAGAUCUAGCUGAGAUUAUACUUCGCCAUCCAGAGGACGGUGAGUAAGAACGAACAGGAUCUAGUGGACUUGAUUUCCUAAAAUACCGUCCUUUAAAAACCCGUGCAAACAGUGAAUUUGGUCUGUCUAUCAACCUCCAUAAUUGUUUUGCCAAUAAGGCCGUAUUAAAACUCUCCACCUCUCGAAACCCCAUCCCCCCUUCUGUCUUAUCUUGACACAUCUUAUUCCACGCUAUCCAAUGUAAGCCUUUGUGAUGUCCAUCUGAACUCCACCAAUACCGUGCUGCUGCACUGGUUAAUUUCACCGUUGUGGAUUUAGGUAAACGGAAACAUGACAUGACAAAAGUGGGCAUUGCUGAGGCCACCGAUUUGAUUAGAACCUCUUUGCCUCCUUUUGACAAUAAUCUCAAGGUCCAACUAUUAAUCUUAUCCUGUUGUCUGUUUGUUACAAAGUUAAAAAUCCUGGUUUUAGCUCCACCCAUGCUCUCUGGGAUACCAAGAUAGCAUCAUGUUCCCCCAUCUCUUGAGAUUCCUAAAAUAUGUUUCCUUUCCUGUCUUAUUACCUCUGGGACCUUGUGUCCAAAUUGAACCGAUGAUUUAUCAAAAUUAAUGAGCUAGCCCGAAACGCUUUCAUAUUGUCUUAGUAUGCUCAAAAUCGUCUGGCAUUCCUCCUUGUUUGCCUUGCAAAAGAAUAAACUGUCAUUCGCAAAAAGUAAGUGCGAAACUGAUGGGCUUGAUGUUGCGAUCCUCAGGCCUGUCAAUAAUUUCUCUCUCUCUCUGCUUUCUUUAUAUUCGCUAUUAGAACUUCUGUACACAGUAUAAAUAAAUAUGGUGACAAUGGAUCUCCUUGGCGAAGUCCCCUUGCGGGAUUUAUGAGCCCCCGUGGCUGUCCAUUUGAUAGAACUUUGUACUUUACUGAGGUAAUGCACCGCAUCAUCCAUAUUAUCCAUUUCUCUGUAAAACCAAAUCUUCGUAAUAAUUUUCCAAUAAAUGACCACUUGACUCUAUCAUAAGCUUUACUCAUGUCCGUCUUGAUUGCCAUAUAUGUAUUCUUGCAAGAUUGGUUUGUCCGUAGUCCAUGGAACUUUUUCUGUGUUAUCAGAAUAUUAUCUGAGAUCAAUCGGCCCGCCACAAAGGCAAACUGAGUUUCCGAGAUUAGGUCGGGUAACAAAUGUGUCAAUCUCUGGCAUAAUACUUUAGAGAUAAUCUUAUAGCCGACAUUGCAUAGGCUAAUAAGCCGUAAUUCCGCCAUCCUCGUGGGUCUUUCUGUUUUGGGGAUUAGACAAAUAUUAGUUAUAUUCAGCCGUUCAUCAAAAACUCCUGUAUUCAAAAAAAUGUUAACUAAGUUCAAAAUAUCGUCCUUAAUAAUUGGCCACGAUCGUUGAUAAAAGAGUGCUGUCAUUCUGUCUGGUCCUGGGGCUUUCUCCGGAUUCAUCAUAAACAAAGCAUUGCGAAUUUCUUCCUCUGUGACCAUUGCCGUAAGCAUCUUAUUAUUGACCGCCAUUAUCGAUGGUGAUAUCUCGCUUAAAGCAUCCUCAAAAUCCGAUGGAGAUGUUGAGGUGAAUAAUUCUUCAAAAUAAUUAACUGCCACCUGCUCAAUGUCUUUUUCUGUGGUGACCCAUGUUCCUGCAGCAUUGUGUAAUCCAAUGAUUCGGUUUCGCGCUCUUCGUUGUUUAACUUGCGCGUGAUAAAACGAAGUAUUUUUAUCCCCCAUUGUAGCCCAUUGGAUUCUACUUUUCUGUUGCCAGAAUAAUUCCUCAUCUCUAUAUGCCUCUUUUAGUUUUCUUGAGACUGCUAGUACUUCUUCUUCUGAUCUCGUAUCAUCAUUUUGAAUUUCUUCUAAUUCCUUCUUCAGGUCUUUAAUUUUUCCUUGCCCGUAUGGUUGAAGGUUAAAACCUCCACUUGGAUAUUUCUUUUCAGCAAUUUCUAAUUUUGUCUACAAAUGGAAUCUCAUCUCCGUCCUGAUAUAAAUCCCAACCUUUAGAUAUAGCGUCCAUUAGACCUUCUUGUUAUAACCACCUUUUAUCAAACCUAAAGUGUGCCCUCUUGCGUGGAGUUUUAUCCGCAAAUUGUGGCCACAAUUGGCCUAUGACCUGUGCCAAUCAUCACUAAGUAUUCAAUGAAUGAAUGUGUAAAUAUAUCAUGCCAAUUUUCAUUGGCUAGAGCCCGAUCUAGUCUGCUUCUGACUAGUUGUGAGUUUCGCCUUCCCCUCCAAGACAUCGUAUUCCUUAAACACGGAAACUCUAGUAGACCACAAUCUUGUAUCAUAGUAUUGAAGGCCACAAAAGAAGACGCCGGUCUUAGCGCCCCGCCUUGUUUUUCAUUAUUUCCAGUUAUCUCAGUCAAAUCUCCAAUUAUUAUCCAAGGUUCUGGUCUUUUAAGGCUUAUUCUUGUUAAUCGUUCCCAAACUUAUUCCCGCAAUUUGGGAACUGGAUCUCCGUAAACAAAAGAUAAAUAUACUUUUUUCCGAGGACAUUUGCUUCAAUAUCAGUUAUCCUAUUACUUGAGAAUAAAAUAGAAACCUCAAAAGAAUUAUCAUAAAAAAAGAGCAAGUCCACCACUAGUUCCACAUGGUUCAACAGUGUACAAUUUAUUAUAACCAAAAUGAUACUGAAAUUUUUCCAAAAAAUUAAAAUCUUGCUUUGUUUCUGAAAGAAAUAAAAAUUCCGGUCUGUGCUUCUUCCAAAUUUCCUGAAGAUAGCUUAUUGUCCACCUACUUCCAAGACCCUGACAAUUCCAGCUAAGUAUCCUCAUCAAUCACUUGAGGUUUUGUGCCUUUCUGUCCCAGCUUCAGGUUUGAUGGACCCUUGACAGAUUGUUUUUUGCGUGGAGAGAUCAGUGCUUGAACCAGCCUUUUCUUUGUGUUUCCUCCAACGAUUGAGGGAAUACUUUUUGCAACCUUCUUUUUUGUACCGUGCUUGUUUCCUUCAUUUUGACCUUGCAGGACCAUUUUUUCCAUCUUUUUCCGUUUUCCUUUGUUCCCAUUUCGCUGUUUUCUUCCCCCUCUGUGUUUUUUUCCUCUUCAGUGGCGAGAAGCUCACCUUCCUCCUGCUCUAAGACCUCUUUCACCGCAUCUGAGGUCAGUUGCAUCUGGUCUUCGUGUUCGAUAGCAGUAUCUUCAAAGUUUCCUGCAACAGCACCAUCAAACUCAUAAUCCAUUAAGGUAUCAUCGUUUGCGAGCAAUUGUUCCCAUUCAUUGACCGAUCCUUCAUUGGUUUCUACCCCUCGACCAUUUUCCGCCGUAUCUAUCAGAAUCUUAUCCGCCUUUGUUUCUGCACUCUGAGUCACAUUGUGAGCAUCUUCACCAUCCUCAAAAUCCAAGUUUUUCCUUACCUUACUCCCCAGUUUUGGAGCCUCAUUUGAUCCAGCUGGUGUAUCAUCUGCAUCUUCAGUGGUGGAGUUUUCCUUUGUGCCGAGAUUUAGAUUUCUCUCCAUCUCAUUGGUGACCGUCAUCUUCGUGUGAGUCAUUUCUAACUCUUCCCGAUCAUGUGUUUCGCUUUCCUUCCGGGUCUCCAAGUUUAAACCAGUUUUUUCCAUAUACCUUGGCUGGAAAUCAUGAGGAUGCACAUAACUCGCAGGUAUGCUCUGUUUCAAUGCUCCUUCACCAUAUUUCCAUUCUGACUUUCCUUUGGGAUAACGACCUUUUUCAUUUCCUUCUCUGCUCCCGUGCCCAUAUAUUUUGUUCUUGUAAUAACCACUGCUUGAGGAGCUUGAUCCUCCAUACUUCACUGGUUCAUAAGUGCUGCCAUGAGCAACCCCAUUUUUAUAAGAGAUUGCUCUUUUCCCGUUUUUAGGUUCCUCCAAUAGAACCUCCCUUCUGUUUCGGUCAGUAUCCAUUUGACGAGUUGGACACUUUUGCUGCUCAUGACAUAGACUGAAACAGGUGCGACAAUAUCCAAAAAGUUUUUCAUACCGCAGAUACACUGUUGUUUCUUCUCCUCCAUGGAAUUCCACACUCAUUUCGAAGCAGAGAUGCUUGAGCCCAUCUAUGAUUACUUGAACUUUACCCUCAUCAAGAUUCACCGCUUCGACCUUCCCCAAAGCCUUACCAAUACUCCGAAAGGUUGGAUCAGCCCAGAAAUGGAGUGGUACUCGAAUGACGCGAACCUAGAAUGUGAUCGCAGAUGGGUAUGAUGGAUCCACCACCGGUGCCCAUCUCACUAAAGAAAUCAUCCAGUAGUCAAAAUGAAAUGGCUCCAUCUUCAGCACUUCCGUAAUGUCUUCUUCACGAUCAAAAUCAAACUGGAACCUUCCGAGUCCCAAGUCUGCUCCAACAACUCUCUCUUUAAUUUUCCAGAUCCUCAGGAGCAUAUAUAGAAGUGCCUUCAUAUCCUGCAGCUGAGGAUUCAUACAUCGCCCUAUCAACGUUUCGGAGUAGCCUGCAAUCAGGUUUGAGUUGUCGAAAUGUGGCACCGUAACUUACAACCUCUUCAGAGAAACCUCAAUUUUUUUCCCGGAUGUGUUUCCCGUAAUCAGGUUGCUUUGAGACAUCUUUGUAGGUUGUGGUGGUGAGGAAAAAGUUUUGAGCCAGAGGUAAAAAAAUAUUGAAAAUCGGAUGAGAUGAUGAUUAGAGCCUUUUGCUCUCACCUUUAUAAAGACUGUAAUAGCUGUAUUCCUUUCCACCCUUGAUUGUGAAUCCCUUGAUUGAAGAUCUGAUUUUCGAAAUGGAUUUUUCUUGAUUGAUUCUCUAUUCGCAAAUCCCCUGCAUCUCUGAUGAAUGCUCCACAAAUCCAUGUUUUCGUCUAGAUUAACAGCCGACGCGUAAAAGGAAUUUUGAAUUCCAGAUAUCCGUAUAAUCCAGCGAGGGAAACCAGAUCCUGGUGUUGCUUGUUGAUUUGGUUGAAACGCAAUCCCAAUCUCAGAUUUCAAACCUCUCUUUCCAUCAUAACUUAGAUUACCGAGUGUUUUGAUGAUGAUAAGAUUUUCCAGAACUCCCAGGAUCUCAGUAAUCCCGUACAGAUCCCAUUGUUGUUCUGUCACCCUUAAUGAGCAGAUCUCCACCAUUAGAACCGAAAUAAACCAUUGGAGCCACCGAUUCAGAGUCCUCAUUUAGAAACCCAUAUUUGUAAAACCCAUCGCCUUUGCUCGAGAGAGAGAGAAUCGAAGAUUUGUAAUAAUUCUUCGAUGAUGAUGAAUGGUCUAGCAAGAGAUUUGAUAUUUUACUCGAAAGUUCUUCUACAAGGCUGACUUCUUGAAUUUUCUGUUCUUCUUCCUCUUAUUCAUCUUUCGGAUUUUAUUCUUCCUCGCUUUUUCCUUCUUCUUCUUUAUCGUCUUUGACUUCUACUUGUACUUCUUCUUCCUUGACUUCUUCUUCUUUCUCUUACAUAUCUUUCAAUCUUCUUAUCCCUCAUCCUUUUCUUCAUCAUUGUCUAUGUCUUCCCAACUUUUUAUUUUGAAUUUUCUUCGUCUUUGCUUUACCUCUCAGCUUUUAUUAUAUUCGCCUUUUCAGAAUGAUUAUUAUUCCAAUUCAUAUUUUCUCUUAUCUCCAUAUUCUGAUUCGUUUAUUUGCAACGAAAAUGAUUUCAUCUCUCUCUCCCUUCCUCUCCCCCUCUUUUUGUAUAUCCUUCUCUCCCACUCUCUCUCCAUCUCUUUCUCUCUCCCCCUCUCUUUCUAUCUCCCUCUCUUUCUCCCUCUCUCUCCAUCUCUCUCUCUCUCUCCAAUCCUCCCUCUCUAUAUUUGUAACUUAGAUCUCCUUAGGUUUUCCCUUCUUUUUCUUCUUCUUCUUCUGUUUAAAUUAAUGAUAAAUUCUACAAUAUAGCUUUAGUCUUAUCUCCUCAACUUCUCCUUCUCUAUUUUGUCCUAUUCUUUACCUUCAAGCCUUCGUCAUCUCUUUUUCCACUUUUUCAUAUCAAUCACACAUUUCUUUGCCACCCAACUAUCUUUCCUCGUUUCACCCAUUGUUUUCUUUAGCUUCUAUGUUUUCUUCACGCAUUUCAGUCAGGGGUUCAGAUUAUUUUAGUAUUGUCGAAUUCAAUGUCUGAGUGUUCAGUCUCUGUUGGCCCGUGUUCAAGUAAACCAGUGAACUUCAGAACACACAUAAUAAUCUGAUUUAAGUUUUUUUUUUUAACAUAGAAAUCUAUUCGAGAUUUCAUCUCAUUCUUCAACUCUUCUUUGAAGAUACAAUAUAAGCUUUGUCUAGUAAGAUUUUGGUUUUAGAGAAGCAAUCAAAGGAUGGACUGUUUAAGGAUAAAUUUAAUUCAAAAACUAAAUUUUUAAAGCAACAGAUUCAUACGACACAAGAAUUACCUAUUACACAUAAAAAAAAUAUGAAAAAAUGCAAUGUGUGAGUAUGUUCAUUCUUCAGUUCACAAGAAUUUCAGUCAUCUAUGUUUCUUAGAUUCUGGUGUCAGAAAAUCAUGAAUUUAUUUGAUACUCCGAUGAAGCCUGAAACACUAAAAAUGUAGUUUCGGCAAGGUAAAACAAAUUACAAUGAUGAUGAAAAUUACGAUCCGAAUAUUUCUCUAGCAAACAUUCUUCUUCCUCUGUAUUGGUGACUCUCCUUCCUUCAUCUGGUUUUAUAUCUCAUCAGGGGUAAAAAACAAAAAACAAGAAAUCAAUGAGUUCAUUAUCAAAUGAUGAAACAAAAAAGUGGGUCAGUGAUUAACCAUAAUAUAAUUCAACACCAAUUGGAUGGUGCCAUUUCCAAUUGGUUUGCACUCUGUUCUCAAUAGGAUUGUUGUAUAUCAACACAAGAACUUAACAUACGUAAAGAUUCUAGUCACACCGAAUCUAGUCUUGCUGUCACCUGCUUUUCCUUUGCUCUUUGAAUUAUAAGACAUCACAUUCGUGUUUGUCAUCUUACAAACAAAGUUAUUUUUUUAAUGCUUUCAUCUUGAGAGUAAAUUAAUAUUUUUCUGAUAAAACAAUGUCUUGGGUAAAAAACAAAACUAUAAAAUAUUUUUUCCAUAAACAACAUAAUUGCCUUGGACAGAAAACAAUGAGAAAAUUGUAAAAAAAUAGACCUUGUUUUGUUAAUGUUACAAAUCUUUAGUAAACUAUAUAACCAAAACUAAUCUGAAUUGGUUACUCUUUUUUUUGCUUAAAGAUCCAUGUCUACACAAGUUACCACGAAAAAUAAACCAUAUAAUUAUAUUUAAAAAUAAAAACAAACAUAAACAACAGUAUAAAGAAAAUAUAGUAGAACCCAAGGAGAAACAAACAACAAUCAAACAAUAAAUAAUAAAUUAGAAGUUCUAAUGAUUUGUUGACCAAAAACAAGAAGUAGUAAUGAUUUAUUUGCAAUUACCUGUUAGAUCUAUUUGAAGAUAUGAUUGCAAAAUUUUGAACCAAUCACCUAUAGUUUGCAGAAUGAACUCUAGGUUCAAGGAAAACAAUAAAGAAGUUAGGUUAAUCUAUAUUUACGAACAAUAACUUAAAUAUAUCCAUAAGAACAACUUAAUAAAUAGAAACACAAAUAACUUAUACGAAAGCAACGAAUUUGAUAAAUAAAAUUACAUAGAAAAACAAAGAACACAAAUAUGAUAUCUCGAUGACCAAUCGCAUAGAGUAAAAUAGGGGGUAAAAAAUUUGAUGCAUAGUAAUUAGAACACGAUCGAGAAAAAUCACAAAUAUUUGACCGGUUAGCAUAGAAGAAUCUCGAUCGCAACAAAACGAUUAAAAAGUUAGCAUGGAAGAACAACCAACAAAACAAACUAUAUAAUUUAAACCAGAAAGGGAUAUACAAAAUAUGUAUUCGUGAAAAAGAGGUGGACGAGUUUUGUAAAAGUUGCUAAACCUUAGAAGAUGGUUGUUGUAUGUAAAAAAUAUGUAGGUGAUACGAGUAUAUAUAUAGUAUGAUAGAUGCUUUAGGGUUUAGGGUUUCGACGUCGAUGCCUUAUUACCAGAAUCGGUGGCUAUGACCGAGAAUAAAAUCGCUGGCCCAUUAUCGAAGGAAAAAAGCAAUGUCACAGGUUUUUAUACGUAAAAUUAAUGAUCGACCUAUCAGAACUAAUUAAAAUGCCACAUUUUUAUUAAUUAAUGACACAUAGGACAAUCGAUGAGAGGAUGACAUAUCAGAUUUUUGACUUCGCAAAUAAUAGUAUAGAUUACUUAAAGAGUGAAUGUCUACUAAGAACAUCUCUAACCCAACUUUAAAUUUUGAGAUUUUUUGUUUUCUUAAAUCCUUUUUAAGGUUUUGAAUAAUGAAAUUUUAAAACAUUUUUUGUCUAUUUUAGUCCUUGUAAAUUUGUACUUCUUACAAAUAAUCUUAUUGAACUUUUCUACUUUCAUUUACUCCAUAUGAUUAACAUUUGUUUAGGGGAUUUUUGGUCUUCUUGUAGGGGCAAGUCUCCUGCAAAACCGAGAAACAUGUGAAGGCCCGGAAAACACGAUGGGGUGUGUUUUACGAAGGCUCUCAAACGCUUAAGUCAGAAACCAACCAAAAAGACCACUAAGUGGCUAAUCGGAGAGCAUAAAGAGAUCGGAAAACGAGUGAAAGAAAGUGGAACGAGUGCUCCUGAAAAAGGUGAAGUCAACUCGGGCCUUUAUUGGUGAUGGGCUUUUUGAGGUGAAAAGAGAAUAAAAGAAAAGUUUGUGGGUUUAAAUUCUCUACGGUUUAGGGACCAUCGUGGAGAGGAGUAAAUAGAUGAUCGGAAAAGUGAUCGGAGAAUAUGAGAUGCUAGGGCUUGAGGGUUAUAAGUAUCUAGAGAGAUAAUAAGAACCUUAAGAUAGCUAAAAAAGUGAUCUCCUUCCUCGUUAGAAGGGACAAAGUAUUUAUAGGAUUUUACCUGACCCAGAUUAGUAUAACGGGUUGGCCCAUGGAUAGCACAUCGGGUGGGUCGAUCCAUGACCCGGCUUAACUGGGUUCGAAUCUUGUGCUUGCGUCACGCUUCUGAUGGUCUCACCAAUUUUCCUUGGCGUGUUCUGCCUUUCAAGAGACCGUUCCUUGGUGUGUCCCUUUCGUUUUCAGUGUACUGGCUGGUUCGGCAGUUCAGGCGCGGUAUAACUCUCGCUGAUCCUCUGUUUUUUCCUCUGGCUGUUGCGAAAGGUCACUAUCACCUGACAUGUGUAAGCAAGAUGCAUUAAAUGCCAAUCUCGUGGGUUAUAAGGGUAUGGGUGAUCAGAUCAGACUAAAGCAUAUUCCUAUUGUCGAAUUGAGAGAAAUUUGGAUAGUGUUUUCCGCUUAUGGAUUUACUCAUACCUGGUCUGGAUCCCUUGAUACUGGGACCGGGCUGCCGAGGUUGCUUGAAUGGUUCCGCUCUCUGUGUACCUGUGCGGAUCACCUUUCCUUAUAUCCUGACCCUUCCGGAUCAACGACUUUAGAUCUAGGACACAGAGAAUGUGACCUCUCCUCCUCCUAAAUGCUCAGUUUCCGACAUCCUUGUGCCUGACAGCGUAGGCUACGCUGUCAGACUCGAGGCCCACCUAAAAAAAACCAUGGAUGCCACGUGCAAGCACGUGAUUCGUCCAUGUAGGAAUGAUCAAAUUUAUCCUAAACAAGAGUUCAACUAUAUAAUUAUCAAUUUGAUUAUAUCAUAUGAAUAUGAAUAGACUAAAAAUAAAAUAAAAUUAUUAAUAUAGAAAAUAUUAUACAAUGCUUAAAAUUAAUAACAUUAUACAGUAUUGAGAAACUUAAACACAAAUUUAAAGUUACACUACAAUAAUCAAUAUUUUACAUGAAAGUGGAAUUUCUUGAAGACAUAAAUAUUACACAAAUUAGAAUUUGUACUAUAAUAUUAAUAAUCCAGUAAUCAGAUUUAUAAUUUCAUGUAAUAUGAUCUAUGAAUAUGGCAUGCUUAUUUUGGUAUGUAUGGCAGCAGCAACAACAUUAAUGUUUCGGUUGAUCAUACAUGAAAGCAUUAUGAAAAAGAGUUUUUAUUGAGCAAUUUGUUAUUUUAUACGUAAUUUUAUUAUUUAAAUUGUAUUUUAUUUUUAUUUAUAUUGAAUUUUAUAAUACUUUAUUUAUUAGUAUUUUAUGUAAUAUUUUAUUUAGUGUAUGUUAUAUACAUAUAUAUAUAUAUAUAUUUAUGAAAUUUUAUCAUUCUAAUCAAUUAUUAUUUUUUGUUGAGGACUGUAAUGCAGUUUAAAAAUUAUCUUGAUUUGAGGUUUUAUCAUUUGAGCAAUUGAUAACACCGUAUUUUGACCACUUUUAUGGAUCAUAAUUAUAUCUUAUGCAGGUGUUUUAACUCUGUUUUCAAAGGUUUUUAAAGUGUUUUCAAUGUUUUAGAGUUUCAAAAGACUUUACAGGAAACUUGGGCAAAAUAUAUGCAAUUUAGAACAAAUGAGCAAUUUUGGAUAAAUGCAGACCUUCAGAAGUAUAACAAGCGAUGAAGACCUUCUCACCAUCUGAUCACCCCCAAAAUUUGAGAAACCAUAGAGGAUCCAACCAGCUUUCUAAUGCACUUGGUUUGGAGACAAUCCAACGGUUAGAUCUUCAGAUACUCCCGAUGCAAAAAUGACAGAAAAUGCAGUUCCGGAAGAGAGCAUGUGCCGGAACCGCGGCCAACACCCAUUUUCCCGCGGGUAGAGCCACCGCGACCGCGGACUUUGGUCGUUCACUUUCCCGACAACUUAAUUAAAGCCCAGAUCAAUUCCUCUCGUUAUUUUUGAAGCCCUAAGUGUCCAGAAUCACCCUAGAAGCUAUAAAUAUCCCCUUUAGGUCAUUCUAAAGAGGAGAGACCGAAACUAAUAGACAAAGGAGAGAGAGAGAGUUCGUGUGGAACCCUAAAGUGGAGGCCGCCGUUUUAAGGAGGAGGAACCGCCGCUGGAGAGCAUCAUCGCGCCUCCGUCGUCGCCUCCGUUCCUCGUUCUUCUUCCUUUUUUUUUAAUUUCCUGCACUUUCAAUACUCUGUGAUGAUUGUUUACAAUAUGUUUGAGUAGUUACCCAGUUGGGUUUAAUGGGAUUGUUCAAAGGGAAUUUCAUGUGUCUUUGCUUAUGAAUCGAUAGAUUUAGGAUUAUUAAUCUUCUAGAUGUUCUUCGUUUGCCUUUAAUCUUACUGCGUGAUUCUUUGCUGGCCACUUAGAAGCCAAUCUGAUAUGAUAUGUUGCGAAAGCUUUCAUUGAUUGUCUGAACUAGGGUGAAACGAGCAAUUCUUCUACAGGAGUGGAAACCUACCUGUAGUUGAGUUGUGAAUGUUGAUGAGUCUUGUUCUGCUAUUGCAUCUUCUCCCUUCCAGGAUCAGAGUGGAAACCAACUGAUCAGGGUUGCGAGAGAUAAUUGUUUAGUGCUGCGAAAGUAGGCUAUUCAUACUUCCGUGCCUCGAGUUCUAGAACAUACGUAGUUGAUUACCUUUAUCACUUGUUUAAAAUUGACAUAUCUUAGUCCAUGAACCCCUGCGAAACCCCUUGAUGCCCAACGUUUGUCUUUCAUUGCUUACAACCUUCGAUUUUAUUUGCUUUUCAUUCGCUUAUUACCUGCUUUCAUUCGCCCUUGGUUUAAUCGCUUUUUACUUGUUUUACUUGCUUUCGUUUUUCAAUUGCUUUUUACUUGCUUUCUAAUUUAGAUUUAGUGACAAUCAAAACACAAAACCAAAACCUAACCUGUUUAGUUCUAAUCUGAUUUAAGCGUUGCAGUGAAUUCGUACUGAAACAACUAAGUCUUUGUGGAUCGAUACCCUAAGUACUACGGCGCACAUAUGUGCACUUGCAGACAUUUAGGGGUUAUAAAUUUAAAACCUGAAGCUUAGUAGAACGAAAAACAACAAACCCCGUUUUUGCUCUCAAUCAAGUUUUUGGCGCCGUUGCCGGGGACUUUGAUUUGUUUCGUUGCGAAUCCCAGCUUAAAUCCAUUAGAACACUUGUUUAUUUUUACUUGUUCUUUUGAAUUUUUCAGGUUUCUCUACAAUGAGAGACCGGGAACAUGUUCCCGGAACUCUUGGUGAUCCACCAUAUCGUGUGGAUGGUGAUCCGAUCGAUGAUGAUGACCUGACUGAUGAUGAGUUUGACGAACCGAUUUAUGAUGACAAUGAGCUAAUCGGAUCGGUCAAACACAAAGAUGAUGAUGAACUGAUUGGAAGUUUCGAUUCACUCGAAAAGUUCAUGGGAGAUCGAAGAGCUAUUCAACCAGCCUUACCUGAGGAUGGCAAAACCGAAAUUAAGGUACCCCAUAUCCAUUUAGUUCAACAAAAUCAAUUUUCUGGUUAUUUAUUCGAAAACCCGAUAAACCAUAUCGAGACUUUCGAAGAAUUAUGUGCAACCAUUACAGCAAAUGGGGAUUACCACAAGUGUAGUCUUUUCCCAUUCUCUCUUAGAGAUAAUGCCAGCAAAUGGCUAAAAUAUUUGCCACCUGCUUCACUAAAAACGUGGGCAGCGUGUAGAACUGCUUUCCUAAAUCAUUUUUACACUAGAAAUCGUUCAAAUCUCUUAAGAAAGAAGAUAAGAACUUAUAAACAAAAAGAAGAUGAAGAUCUUUUAGAUACUUGGGAAAGAUUUAGGGAAUACCAAAGAGAUUGUCCACACCAUGGAUAUACCGAGGAAUACCUGCUGGGUAUCUUCUAUCGCGGUAUAACUCCAGAGUUACGACACUCUUUCGACAUAGCAAGUAAUGGAGAUUUCACAACUAGAUCUGUAGAAGAUGCUCACGUUUUCAUUAAAAAUUUAGGAAACAACAUCCGAAAUCAAACAACCUUUGGUAAUUCUGCACUUCCUGAGAAGAAAGAAGAAAUUUCGGAAGUUAUAAAGUGUCUCCGUCACAUAAUGAGUCAUCUUGGAUUGCAACAACCAAAUAGGGUACACAAUACGUGUAACUUUGAUGGCUGGGACAACCCAAUGGAUUCUUAUGGUCAAGGGAUGGUUAACACUGCAGAAGUCUAUCAAAUUCAAGAUUUUCCAUUCGUUUCUGAUCACCGCGGGUCCAUUCAUCCGGACCGCGGCCAAGCAAGGUUUCACCGCGGUCGUGGCUGUUCUGACCUUGGCCAAGACAUGUUUCACCGCGGUCGCGAGCCUUCUGACCGCGGGAAACUGUCUUCCAAGCUUAACUGGACACCACCUUCCGAACCAAUCUUGGCUAUUCAAUCUAAUCAUGUUCCCUAUCCUAGUUUUCCCUCUUCUGAAGCUGAAAACCUAAACAAAAAGAAUUUAGAGCUUGAAAAAUCUAGGUCUCAAGAGAUUAGUGAUCUUAGAUCUGAACUAAAAACGAUGCAAGAGGAUUUUGAUGAAAAAUUUUCCACCCUCCUCAGCCUGAUGAUCAAAACCAAUUCUAAAAAUUUAGAUAAACCUGAGGAGGAACCUAGUGAAAAUUCUUUCGAAAGUUCAAGUGAAGCAGAUCCCUCCGAUGAUGUGAAAGCUAUCACACUUAGGAGUGGAUUAGCUUACAAAGAGCCUGAAUUUCCUAAAGAUCCCGAAGAUGAGGAAAAGGGUAAGGAAAAGGAGAAAGAAAAAGAAAGAAUCACGAAUGAAGAUGUUGAAAGAGAAGUGGUAGGAGAGAAGGAUGGAGAAGAAGUAAGAAAACAUUCAUCCCGGGAAAUUCUCGGCGAAGACCCGAUUCCACCUCCACCAACUCAUGUCUAUAAACCUAAACCUCCAUAUCCUAGAGCCUUAAAAGCCCCUAAGAAAGAGAAAGAAAAAGCUAAGCUGAAAGAGUUAAUCGAUCAAUUAAAUGUGAGAUUACCUUUCGUAGAAGCUUGUGCUAUGAUUCCUGCUUUAAGAAAAUACAUGAAGGGUAUUUUAACAAACUCAACUCUUGAAGAAGGCUUUAUGAUGAUAACCCAUGAAUGUAGUUCUAUCCUGCAAAGCCGAAUCCCUGAAAAGAAAAACGAUCCUGGAAGCUUCGUACUUUCAUGCACCAUCAAUGAUGUAGCUUUUGAACAUGCUCUCUGUGAUUUAGGUUCUAGCAUAAACAUGAUGCCUCUUUCAGUAGCAAAACGUUUAGGACAUCACACUUUCAAGCCUACUAAAAUUUCUUUAGUACUAGCUGAUCGUUCUGUUAGACAACCCGUAGGUAUCCUAAUAGAUGUUUCUGUAGAAAUCGAAAAAUGUUCCAUACCCACCGAUUUUGUAGUUCUAAAACUAGAAAGAGAACCUAAGGAUCCACUUAUUCUUGGAAGACCAUUCUUAUCUACAGCCGGAGCCAUAAUCAAUGUUCCUGAAGGAAAAAUUGACCUUUAUCUAGCCGGUUUAGUUAUGCAAUUUGACAUGAACAAAAGUUUCGAUAAACCAACUUUGGAUGGCAAAAUUUGUUGGGUUGAUGAGUUAGACGGAAUUAUUGAGGAAGUCUAUGAAGAUCUGCUUCUAGACGACCCUUUAAGUGUCACGCUUUCACCCGCAAAAGACGAACGCAAUUUCCUUGAAGAAAUUUCGAGUGAGUGCGCACGUAUGCUUGAUAAAUCCGAAACUUAUAGGAAACCUCUAAACUAUCUAGAUCUUAAGGACCAAACAGACAUUCCUACAGCUCCUAAAGACACUGCUGCAGCAAUUAAUGAUCCUUGGAGCGAGCUUAAAGCCCCUAAAGUCGAGCUUAAAUGAUAUGAUCGUGACCAGCUUAGAGGAGGAGGAACCAGAGGUAGCUGGCAGGAUCACUCGUUCCAGAGCUAGAGAGAUGGCUAAGGAGGCUCACGCACUCAUUGCCACAGAGGACAGCGAUCACCAGGAGGCUGGAGCUCACAUCUUCAACAUCUCUAUCUUGAAGAAUGAGGAACCCAGUAACAAUGACUAGGUAACUUAGGUGAUGGUUCUGUACUCUUUUCCUUGGUGAAGAUUUUGGAAGGCAAGGAGGUUCUUCUCCAAGGUUUUUAACGAGGCAGAAAUCAUUGCUACGUCGAGUUACUUAGAAGUUGUUACUAAUGGGUAAUAACGUGCAAAGUCACAAUGACUUGUGCACUAGUUGUUUUAGGCGCACCACUUAGGUUUAGAAGGGACGCCUCGCUGUUUUAUUUUUAAAUUAAACUUCUUGUUGUUUUAUUUCAAACUCCAUGUUGUUUUGUUAUUAGGGCUGCGAUUUUCUCUCUUAGUCUAUAAAAAAGAGAAAAUCGCCUAAGUCAUAUUCAGUGAAGAAUUUUGAUCAAACUUUUAACGUGUUCUUCUCUCUUUUUGAUUUCUGAGAACUAAAAACUCUGAAAUUCGAAUAUCUUAAAAACUAAUCUGUUUACAAGAGAUUCUUCUAUCUUAUCAUCUCACCAUCAUCACCAUCGAUCCGCCGAGCCACCAUCAUCUCCAUCGAUCCGCCACACCACCAUCGCACAUCCACGAUUCGAUCUGCCGAGUCUCCACCAUCAUCUCUCAUCGUCGCGAGCCAUCCUCGUAUCACUACCACCAUCCUUUUCGCUUCAUCGUUUCAGUCUAUCCACCAUAUCGCCGCAUCCAUUGUUCUUUGCUUCAUAGUAGAUCACCUUGGAUCGUAUCACGUGGUAUCAGAGCCAACUCUGAACCAAAGGCUGAGCGAAACUCUAACCCUAAUCUCUGUGCUUUGAAUUUUCGUCUCUGUGAUAUUAGGGUUAGCGAGUUUUGUGACUAUGUGCAUCGAUUUGAUUCCUUUUGUUUCAUAUCAUCGCAUCGUUCCCUCUUGUUUUGUGUUUAGGAUCGAUCGCUGUUAGGAUUCCUGUUAGAUCGUGUUCGUCUCAAGUUUAUUUCGAGUCUGAUUGUUUUUUUUCGAGUCUGCUCAUUCAUUGUUUUCGUUCGGAUCGAUACGAGUCUGCGUGUAGUCGUGUUCUUAGGGUUUGUUAAGAGUCUGCGCGACUUCGUUAGGUUUGUUAGGGUUUCGUGAUCUCGUAACUCGUUUGUUAGUGUGUUAGGGAUCCGUUAGUCUUCGAUUUUUGUUGUUAGGCCUCGUUUUUCAUCGUUUCGUUAAAUUUCAUUAGUUUCGUUAAGUUUGUUUUUAGAUUUCGUGGGGAUCUUUUAAUUUUUUUUUAUGAUGCGUUUAGUUUUGCUGUUUUUGUGAUUUCUUCUAGAACAAGUUACUGCGAGUUUUUUUUUAAAAAAUUUUCAGGUACCAUGGAGCUUUCGGCUGAGGCGAUGGAAGCUCUGAACCGAGCAAUGUCUCAACAAAUUAAAGAAGCGAAUCAGGCCAUAGCAACUCAGCUCACACAACAAAUCGAACAACUCAAUGACAAGUUCGAGACGAAAAUGACUGAUCUGCUCAAAGACCUCAGUGCAAGUGGAGAAGAGUCGUCUCAAACUCCAACUCCUUCGGAAGCAAUGCGCUUAGCAAAGGGUAAAGGGCACAUAGGAUCUUCCCGGAAACUUCCACGCCACCCAACACCUUCCGAAGCCAGGACUAAAGCUAAGUCCAGUCGAAGCCAGAUUGGGGGCAGAGAGACUACGUUUAAUCCGAGGAGGGAUCCUACUGGUGCAGAACGAGAUGGCCCAAGGGUAGAUCGUCAGCACCGCCGAGAGGAAUAUAUUGCUGGGCAUCGAGUUACCCUGGAAUCAGAUCCAGAAUACUAUGAGGAGGACGAAGCUUCUGAUCAUAGCAGAGAAACUGUGAGACGAGAUCGAGGCCGAGGACAUGCACGAGAUUAUGAUCCUCUACGUCAGCAGCUGCGUCAUAUCAAAAUCCAGUAUCCUCCUUUCCAUGGAACCAAUGAUCCCGAAGCUUAUCUAGAUUGGGAAAGGAAGAUGGAGUCUAAUUUUCUGGUCCAAGGAACUUAUGAGCUCAACAAGGUGAAGAUUGCAGUUUCAGAAUUUCAUGGGUAUGCGCUUCUAUGGUGGGAGCAGUUGGGAGUCACCAGAAAUCGCCUGAGGGAACUUCCGAUUACUACUUGGGAUCAGCUUGUUAUACAGAUGAGGAAGCGGUUCGUUCCAGCCCAUCAUCAGCGCGAGAUACUCAACAGGCUUAGGCGCCUUGUCCAAGGUACGAAGUCUGUUCGAGAUUAUUAUCAAAAAUUGGAAACCUUGCUCAUUCGUGCAGAUUUACGAGAAGGCGAAGAGAUGGUAAUGUCGAGAUUUCUUGGAGGACUUAACCGAGAAAUUCAAGACAAGGUGGAACUUCAGGAUUUCGCAGAUAUACAAGAGAUGGUGCAUAAGGCUGAAUUGGUGGAAUCUCAAGUUAAGAGGCGAAAUUUCAAGUCCACAUUCACGCCUAGUGUGCCUAAGCCUAAGGAGAUCAGCAAGCCAGCUUACUCCAGAGACAUCAAACCGCCAUCUACUGGAGUUAAAGAAGAAGCUAAAGCUGAGUUCAAGCCUCGAGGUGGCACUUCUAUCAGCAAUGUGAGGUGUUUCAAAUGUCAAGGAAUGGGACAUUACUCUCAAGAUUGCCCAAACAAGAAGGUUUUCUUGUUACAUGAGGGAGGAGAGAUAGUUCCUCAAGAGGAUUCAGAGGCCGAAUAUGAAUUAGAGGAAGAGGAAGAAGCUGCUGCUGUGGGCGAGAUGCUGGUUGCCAGAAGGACUUUGAGUGUUCAGAGUCAACCUGAAGAGACUUGUCAGCGAGAGAACCUGUUCCAUACGAGAUGCUUCAUUCAAGGAAAAGUUUGUAGCCUGAUCAUAGAUGGAGGAAGUUGUACUAAUGCUGCAAGCGAAGAGAUGGUUAAGAAGCUCCAGCUCAGGACUAUUCCUCAUCCAAGGCCGUAUAAGCUUCAGUGGUUGAAUGACAGUGGAGCCUUGACCGUAUCUCAGCAAGUGAUGGUUUCUCUAUCCAUUGGGAAGUAUGAAGAUGAGAUUCUAUGUGACGUCAUUCCCAUGGGUUCGAGUCAUGUGUUGCUAGGCAGACCGUGGCAAUCAGAUCGUAGGGUGAUACACGACGGUUACACCAACAAGCACUCAUUCGAGUUCAAAGGUCGCAAUUACCCUCCUACCUCUCACGCCUACCGAGAUUUAUCAAGAUCAAGUUCAAAUGAAGCUCAAGGAGAAGGAGAAAGUCGCCAACAGCCUCUACAUAAACCACAGUGAAUUUUCUAAACUCUUUGAUCCUGAAAUGACUACUUUUAUGUUUGUGUACAAGGAAUCCCUUGUUAGUACUAACCCUUCACAGGAGCUUCCUAGUGCUAUGUUUGAGAUUUUGCAGGAAUACAAGGACGUUUUUCCAGUAGAAAUUCCACCAGGGCUACCUCCAAUUCGCGGGAUAGAGCAUCAGAUUGACUUGGUACCAGGAUCAGCCUUACCUAACAGGCCAGCAUACCGAACCAACCCUGUAGAGACUAAGGAGCUGCAAAAGCAAGUGGAAGAGCUGAUGAGCAAAGGCCAUAUCCGAGAAAGCUUGAGUCCAUGUGCGGUUCCAGUUCUGUUGGUGCCAAAGAAGGAUGGUUCCUGGAGGAUGUGUGUAGACUGCCGAGCUAUCAACAACAUCACUGUGAAGUAUCGGCAUCCGAUCCCAAGGCUAGAUGAUAUGCUGGAUGAGCUCUGUGGGUCGACAAUCUUCUCUAAGAUCGACUUGAAGAGUGGAUAUCAUCAGAUCAGAAUGAAGGAAGGGGAUGAGUGGAAGACGGCAUUCAAGACAAAGCAGGGACUCUACGAGUGGCUAGUUAUGCCGUUUGGUCUCACCAAUGCUCCCAGCACCUUCAUGAGACUAAUGAACCAUGCCCUGAGACCAUUCAUUGGCGUGUUCGUAGUGGUUUAUUUCGACGAUAUCCUCAUCUACAGUAAAGGUUUGGAAGAACAUCUAGAUCACAUCAGAUCGGUUCUUGAUGUUCUUCGCUCUCAAUCUCUCUUUGCUAAUUUAUCUAAAUGUUCAUUCUGCACUAAUGAGAUUGUUUUCUUAGGCUUUGUAGUAAGUGCAGGAGGAGUUAAAGUAGAUGAAGAGAAGAUAAAAGCUAUCAAGGAGUGGCCAACCCCCAAGAAUAUUGGAGAAGUCCGAAGUUUCCAUGGCUUAGCAGGAUUCUACAGGCGUUUUGUUCGUGAUUUCAGCACCAUAGCCGCGCCUUUAACCGAAGUAAUCAAGAAAGACGUGGGGUUCAAGUGGGGAGAGGCGCAAGAACAGGCUUUUACCGCCCUUAAAGAGAAGCUUAUCAAUUCGCCCUUACUAGUACUUCCUGAUUUUACUAAGACUUUUGAGAUUGAAUGCGAUGCUUCUGGUGUAGGUAUUGGAGCAGUUCUUAUGCAGGAUAAGAAGCCCGUCGCUUACUUCAGCGAAAAGUUAGGAGGAUCAACGUUGAAUUAUCCCACGUAUGACAAGGAGUUAUACGCAUUGGUUCGAGCUCUCCAGACGUGGCAGCAUUACCUAUGGCCUAAGGAAUUCGUCAUUCAUACCGAUCACGAGUCCUUAAAGCACCUCAAGGGUCAGCAGAAGCUUAACAAAAGACAUGGGCGAUGGAUGGAGUUCAUUGAGACAUUCCCCUACAUUGUUAAGUACAAAAAAGGUAAAGAUAAUGUGGUCGCAGACGCAUUAUCCCGGAGGUACACUCUUGUUUCGACUUUAACAUCAAAGUUGAUUGGAUUUGAGCAUAUUAUAGAUCUUUAUGAAUCUGAUACUGACUUUUCUGAGAGCUAUGCCAAAUGUCAUAAGUUUGCCUGUGAGAAAUUUUAUAGACAGGAUGGAUACUUGUUCUUCAGUAACCGAUUGUGCAUACCACGAGGAUCCAUUCGAGAGUUAUUGGUACGAGAAGCUCAUGGAGGUGGAUUAGCUGGACAUUUCGGUGUCACAAAGACACUUCUUGGGCUACAAGAGCACUUCUACUGGCCGAACAUGAAGAAGGACGUUGAGAAAAUCUGCUCUAGAUGUGUCGUAUGUAAGAUGGCCAAGAGUAAAGCUCAACCUCAAGGUUUGUAUACUCCUUUGCCUAUUCCUUCUCAACCUUGGACUAAUAUCUCUAUGGAUUUUGUAGUUGGCUUACCUCGCACCAGAAAUGGUAGAGAUUCUAUUUUUGUAGUUGUUGACAGGUUUAGCAAGAUGGCUCACUUCAUCGCUAGCCACAAGACAGAUGAUGCUGUGAAUGUAGCUAACUUGUUUUUCAGGGAAGUAGUACGACUGCAUGGAAUGCCACAGGUUAUCGUUUCAGAUCGAGACACGAAGUUCUUAGGACACUUUUGGCGAACGCUUUGGGCUAAGCUGGGAACAAAGCUCUCAUUCUCAACUACGUGUCAUCCUCAGACCGAUGGACAGACCGAGGUGGUGAAUAGAACGUUGUCCACACUUCUAAGGACUUUGGUGAAAAGUAACCUCAAGACAUGGGAAGAGUGCCUGCCUCAUGUCGAGUUUGCUUACAAUCACGCUAAGCAUUCUGCUACUCUCUUUUCUCCUUUUGAAAUUGUAUAUGGGUUUAAUCCACAAUCACCUCUAGACUUGAUCCCUUUGCCUUUAAGUGGAAAAUGCAGUUUAAAUGGCAAGGAGAAAGCUGAACAGGUCAGAAGAAUUCAUGCUAAGGCUAAGGAGAAUAUCGAGAAAAAGACAAAGCAGUAUGAGAAGCAUGCCAACAAAGGACGAAAGGAGCUGAUUUUUGAAGAAGGCGAUCUGGUGUGGAUCCAUCUGAGGAAGGAGCGAUUUCCAGCUGAACGAAAGAACAAGCUAAUGCCCAGAGUGGAUGGACCAUUCGCAGUCAUCAAAAGAAUCAACAACAACGCAUAUCAGAUUGAUCUUCAAGGUAAGUAUGACGUUUCUGAUGCUUUCAAUGUUUCUGACUUGCUUCCUUAUGUUGAAGAUUCAGAUUUGAGGACAAAUCCUUUUCAAGAGGGAGAGGAUGAUAUGAUCGUGACCAGCUCAGAGGAGGAGGAACCAGAGGUAGCUGGCAGGAUCACUCGUUCCAGAGCUAGAGAGAUGGCUAAGGAGGCUCACGCACUCAUUGCCACAGAGGACAGCGAUCACCAGGAGGCUGGAGCUCACAUCUUCAACAUCUCUAUCUUGAAGAAUGAGGAACCCAGUAACAAUGACUAGGUAACUUAGGUGAUGGUUCUGUACUCUUUUCCUUGGUGAAGAUUUUGGAAGGCAAGGAGGUUCUUCUCCAAGGUUUUUAACGAGGCAGAAAUCAUUGCUACGUCGAGUUACUUAGAAGUUGUUACUAAUGGGUAAUAACGUGCAAAGUCACAAUGACUUGUGCACUAGUUGUUUUAGGCGCACCACUUAGGUUUAGAAGGGACGCCUCACUGUUUUAUUUUUAAAUUAAACUUCUUGUUGUUUUAUUUCAAACUCCAUGUUGUUUUGUUAUUAGGGCUGCGAUUUUCUCUCUUAGUCUAUAAAAAAGAGAAAAUCGCCUAAGUCAUAUUCAGUGAAGAAUUUUGAUCAAACUUUUAACGUGUUCUUCUCUCUUUUUGAUUUCUGAGAACUAAAAACUCUGAAAUUCGAAUCUCUUAAAAACUAAUCUGUUUACAAGAGAUUCUUCUAUCUUAUCAUCUCACCAUCAUCACCAUCGAUCCGCCGAGCCACCAUCAUCUCCAUCGAUCCGCCACACCACCAUCGCACAUCCACGAUUCGAUCUGCCGAGUCUCCACCAUCAUCUCUCAUCGUCGCGAGCCAUCCUCGUAUCACUACCACCAUCCUUUUCGCUUCAUCGUUUCAGUCUAUCCACCAUAUCGCCGCAUCCAUUGUUCUUUUCUUCAGAGUAGAUCACCUUGGAUCGUAUCAUUAAACCUCUUCCCGUUGGACUUAAGUACGCUUUACUUGGACCAAAUUCUACUUAUCCUGUCAAAAUAAACUCUGAUUUGACGGAAGAAGAAACCACAAUGCUGUUGACUGAGCUGAGAAAGCAUAGAAAAGCCUUAGGAUAUUCACUUGAUGACAUACCUAGAAUCUCUCCAGAUCUUUGUAUGCACAAGAUUAAUCUAGAGGAUAAUGCUAAAAACUCAAUCGAAAGUCAAAGGAGACUGAACCCUAAUCUCAUGGAUGUUGUCAAGAAGGAGAUUAUGAAGCUUUUAGAAGCUGGAAUAUUCUUUCCUAUCUCAGAUAGCACUUGGGUUAGCCCAGUUCAUGUUGUUCCGAAGAAAGGAGGAGUCACUGUCAUUAAAAAUGAUAAGGAUGAAAUGAUCGCUACAAGAACAGUAACUGGACAUCGUAUGUGCAUCGAUUACCGGAAACUGAAUGCAGCAACUAGGAAAGAUCAUUUUCCACUUCCCUUCAUAGAUCAAAUGCUAGAAAGAUUAGCUAAUCACCAUUACUAUUGCUUUCUUGAUGGAUACUCCGGAUUUUUCCAAAUUCCUAUUCGCCCGGAGGAUCAAGAAAAAACGACAUUCACUUGUCCAUAUGGCACGUUCGCUUACAGACGUAUGCCUUUUGGAUUGUGUAAUGCACCUGCUACCUUCCAGCGGUGCAUGAUGUCGAUCUUCACAGAUUUUAUUGAGGAUUUCAUGGAAGUAUUCAUGGACGAUUUCUCUGUCUAUGGAUCUUCCUUUGAAAAAUGCUUAGCCAACCUUGGUAAAGUUCUGCAAAGAUGUGAAGAUAAGCACUUAGUAUUAAAUUGGGAAAAAUGUCACUUCAUGGUACGAGACGGAAUCAUGCUUGGGCACAGAAUUUCGGGAAAAGGAAUUGAAGUUGACAAAGCUAAAAUCGAGGUCAUGACCAGCCUACAACCUCCCACAAACGUAAAAGGCAUCCGUAGUUUCUUAGGACACGCAGGAUUCUAUAGGCGAUUCAUAAAAAAAAAUUCUCAAAUAGCUAGACCUCUUACGCGUUUGCUUUGCAAGGAAACGAACUUCAAGUUCGAUGAUGAGUGCUUAGCUGCGUUUCAUAAGAUCAAACAAGCCCUUGUCUCCGCGCCAGUCGUGCAAGCACCUGAUUGGGAACUCCCAUUCGAAAUCAUGUGCGAUGCAAGUGACUAUGCAGUCGGAGCAGUGCUUGGCCAACGAAAAUAUAAGAAACUGCACGUAAUCUACUACGCAAGCAGAACUCUAGAUGAAGCUCAAUACAAUUAUGCAACAACAGAGAAAUAACUUCUAGCUGUCGUAUUUGCAUUUGAGAAAUUCCGUUCUUAUCUCGUAGGAUCUAAGGUUAUAGUUCAUACUGAUCAUGCUGCAAUCAAGUAUUUAAUGUCUAAGAAAGACGCUAAACCUCGGUUGAUAAGAUGGAUCCUCCUACUGCAAGAAUUCGAUAUCGAAAUUCGAGAUCGGAAAGGAGCAGAUAAUGGAGUUGCAGACCAUCUUUCAGGAAUUCGAGUUGAAGAAAGAUUGCCCUUAAAUGACAGUUUGCCAGAAGAAAAUAUCUAUGCAAUAGAUACUACCCCCACCAAUACCGCACCACCACGUCCACUAAUGCGACGAGCAGAUGCUUUCAACACCCCAUGGUUUAGGCACAUAGGAAAUUACCUAGCAGCUGAUGUAGAACCACCACAAUUCUUUGGGUAUAGAAAGAAAAAGUUUCUGAAAGACGUUAGACAUUAUUUUUGGGAUGAACCCUAUCUCUACAAGAGAUGUGCUGAUGGGUUAUUCCGAAGAUGCGUGGCUGAAGAAGAGAUGGAAGGAAUUUUAUUCGGAUGCCAUAGCUCGUCUUACGCAGGACAUUUCGCAACCUUCAAAACCGCUUCAAAGAUCUUACAAGCAUGUUUUUGGUGGCCUACUUUAUUCAAAGAUACUCAAGUUUAUAUAUCGCGAUGCGAUAAAUGCCAAAGAAUGGGCAACAUAAGCAAAAAGAAUGAGAUGCCUCAAAAUUUUAUUCUCGAAGUCGAAAUUUUCGAUGUCUGGGGAAUAGAUUUUAUGGGACCCUUUCCUACUUCUUUUGGAAACCAAUACAUCUUAGCAGCAGUAGACUACGUCUCUAAGUGGGUUGAAGCAGUCGCUAGUCCCACCAAUGAUGCAAAAGUUAUCAUGAAGCUGUUUAAAUCUGUUAUAUUCCCGCGUUUAGGAGUUCCUAGAAUAGUGAUAAGCGACGGAGGAUCGCACUUCAUCAACAGAGUUUUCGAGAAUCUUCUUAGAAAGAAUGGAGUUACACAUAAAGUUGCUACUCCAUACCAUCCCCAAACCAGCGGUCAAGUAGAAAUCUCAAACAGAGAAAUCAAGUCGAUUUUGCAGAAAACUACUGCAGUUCAUCGCAAGGAUUGGUCUACAAAGCUUGACAAUGCAUUAUGGGCAUAUCAAACAGCAUUCAAGACACCAUUAGGAACAACACCAUUCAAUCUAGUUUACGGAAAAGCAUGUCACCUUCUAGUAGAACUCGAGUAUAAGGCGCAAUGGGCUAUCAAGGAGAUGAACAUGAAUCUGAAAACAGCUGGAGAAAGAAGACUACUUCAACUUCAUGAGUUAGAAGAAAUUCGACACAAUGCUUACGAAAACUCGAAGAUCUACAAGGAGAAGACUAAAGCAUAUCAUGAUAAGAAGAUUAUUCAUAGAACUUUUGCUCCUAACGAUAAAGUUCUUCUUUUCAAUUCUCGUCUUAAGCUUUUUCCAGGAAAAUUACGUUCAAGAUGGUCAGGACCCUUCACGAUAAAGGAAGUCAAGCCAUACGGAGCCAUUGUCCUGUGGGACAGAACCGGAAACUCAUUCACAGUGAAUGGACAGCGUGUAAAGCCAUAUCUGGCUGAAGAAAGAGAAGACGAAAGAGAAGUGAUGUUUUUGAUUGAUCCAUCAUCGGCCAAUGAUGAGAUCAAGGAAUGUCACGACCCCGGUUAAGUCUAAUCGAGCAACAAUGUCAAGCUAAUGACUUGAAACAAGCGCUUAGUGGGAGGCAACCCACUCGGUAUUUUAUCUAUUUCCCUUUGACUUUUAUUUUCUAUUUCCAUUGCUUUGUGUUUGUUUCAUUUAAUUUCAGGUUUUCAAUAAGGAAGAAUAAAUACAAAAGACGAGCAGCACUUUCCAGCACGAUAAGUUCACUUAAACAUUUCAACUUUUCUAUUUUCUUUACCAUUCUUUCCAAGAUUUAUCACACUGAGGACAGUGUAAAAUAAGUUUGGGGGAGGAUGUUCAUCCGUUACUAAUGAAAUUUGAUUUGUUAUGAGUUUGUUUUGGACACAUAAAAUUUUUCAAAAAAGUUUUUCAAAAUGUUUUUCAUAAAAUUUUUCAAAAAUCGUUUUUAAAAUGUUUUCAAAAAGUUUUCAAACCAAGAACACAAUAAACAAUACUAUGAUGAAUUAGACCAGUGUGCUUCUACGCUAUUUCCUCGUUUUUUUGCUCUUUUGUGAUUUAGGCCUAGACUAGGCGGUAGCUAGAAUACUUGCAUUACGAACUCCCACCAGAGGAUUUCUAUUCAUGGAGAUUAUUUCUGACAGGAUAUACUAGCUCAUUUUAUCUGGACUUAAUUUUGACUUAAUUUUCUCAUUGAAGCAUUAGAUCAGGGAAACGAAUCAUACAUUCAGGACUCCUUUACCCUUUUACCACUCUUUGUUGAUCCUGAAUGGCUAGUUUAUCUUUAACUAGUUCCCCACAGAACCUAACCUCUUUCAAACCACAUGCAUUCUUGUUUUUCAUUGUUCUAUAUGCAGAUAUGUGCAAAAACGUCGGAGAGAAAGAGGAUCAACGCGGUUUUCAGUCACUGAAGACGGAGACCUGCGAUUUCAUUGGAAUGAUUCAACAAAAGGAAAUAAUUCAGUUUGCCUUGGAAAAACUUCAAAAUCUUGGUACAAUUUCGUCUCUUACACUCUCUCUUUAUAAAAGGUUAUUUCCUCUUUCAAAAAAAAAAAAAAAAAAAAAUCCGAAAAAGAAAAGAAAAAUAUGAAGGGAGUGGAAAUUAAAACCUUAGAGAGUCUAGGAGGAUCGAAUUUUAUACUUGAGGUAAGCUUGAUCUGAUUAUAUGGAGUUUUGGAGAUUAUCUUUAUGAUUCCCGCAAAAGAUCUAAGUCUAGGGGAAUAGCUGUUUACAACAAAGGAGGAAGAUUAUGCAGCAACAUUUGGCAAAGGAGAAGUGACUGAAAAUCUGCGGUCAUCAACAGGUCCUUCUCUCUCUUGCGGUUUUGCAUAAUAUCUUGCAUCCUCCAUAUUCUUCAGGUAACCCUAAACACCUAAGCUCCACCACUUAAAUAGCCUUAAUGCCAAAUGCCGUCUACCCUGAAUAAUGUCUUUGAUGAGAAUUCACUACUAUACUUAAUGAAUGUAGAGAGCUAGUUGACUGGAAGUUAGAUCUAAGUGUGUAGAUUUUCGCAUGACGGAUUAACAGACUAGUUUGCUUGUAUUUUGGUGAGUUCCUGCGAUUUUUAAAAUUCUUUUCUGACUUAAGUUUGUUUGAGGACAAACAAAAAGGUAAGUCUGGGGGAGUUGAUAACACCGUAUUUUGACCACUUUUAUGGAUCAUAAUUGUAUCUUAUGCAGGUGUUUUAACUCUGUUUUCAAAGAUUUUAAAAGUGUUAUCAAUGUUUUAGAGUUUCAAAAGACUUUACAGGAUACUUGGGCAAAGAUAUGCAAUUUGGAACAAAUGAGCAAUUUUGGAUAAAUGCAGACCGUCAGAGGUAUGACAAGCAAUGAAGACCUUCUCACCGUUUCCUCACCCCCAAAAUUUGAGACAACAUAGAGGAUCCAACCAGCUUUCUAAUGCACUUGGUUUGGAGACAAUCCAACGAUUAGAUCUUCAGAUACUCCCGAUGCAAGAAUGACAGAAAAUGCAGUUCCGGAAGAGAGCAUGUGCCAGGACCGCGGCCAACACCCAUUUUCCCGCGGGUAGAGCCACCGCGACCGCGGACUUUGGUCGUUCACUUUCCCGAUGACUUAAUUAAAGCCCAGAUCAAUUCCUCUCGUUAUUUUUGAAGCCCUAAGUGUCCAGAACCACCCCAGAAGCUAUAAAUACCCCCUUUAGGUGACCGAAACUAAUAGACAAAGGAGAGAGAGAGAGAGAGUUUGUGUGGAACCCUAAAGAGGAGGCCGCCGUUUUAAGGAGGAGGAGCCGCCGCUAGAGAGCAUCAUCGUGCCUCCGUCGUCGCCUCCGUUCUUCGUUUUUCUUCCUUUUUUUUUUAAUUUCCUGCACUUUCAAUACUCUGUGAUGAUUGUUUACAAUAUGUUUGAGUAGUUACCCAGUUGGGUUUAAUGGGAUUUUUCAAAGGGAAUUUUAUGUGUCUUUGCUUAUGAAUCGAUAGAUUUAGGAUUAUUAAUCUUCUAGAUGUUCUUCGUUUGCCUUUAAUCUUACUGUGUGAUUCUUUGCUGGCCACUUAGAAGCCGAUCUGAUAUGAUAUGUUGUGAAAGCUUUCAUUGAUUUUCUGAACUAGGGUGAAACGAGCAAUUCUUCUACAGGAGUGGAAACCUACCUGUAGUUGAGUUGUGAAUGUUGAUGAGUCUUCUUCUGCUAUUGCAUCUGCUCCCUUCCAGGAUCAGAGUGGAAACCUACUGAUCAGGGUUGCGAGAGAUAAUUGUUUAGUGCUGCGAAAGUAGGCUAUUCAUACUUCCGUGCCUCGAGUUCUAGAACAUACGUAGUUGAUUACCUUUAUCACUUGUUUAAAAUCGACAUAGCCUAGUCCAUGAACCCUUGCGAAACCCCUUGAUGCCCAACGUUUGUCUUUCAUUGCUUACAACCUUCGAUUUUAUUUGUUUUUCAUUCGCUUAUUACCUGCUUUCAUUCGCCCUUGGUUUAAUCGCUUUGUACUUGUUUUAAUUGCUUUCGUUUUUCAAUUGCUUUUUACUUGCUUUCUAGUUUAGAUUUAGUGACAACCAAAACACAAAACCAAAACCCAACCUGUUUAGUUCUAAUCUGAUUUAAGCGUUGCAGUGAAUUCGUACUGAAACAACUAAGUCUCCGUGGAUCGAUACCCUAAGUACUACAGCGCACAUCUGUGCACUUGCAGACAUUUAGGGGUUAUAAAUUUAAAACCUGAAGUUUAGUAGAACGAAAAACAACAAACCCUGCUUUUGCUCGCAAUCAGCAAUGGAACCUUAAAUCCUUAUUUUGGGGUUUUGUCACCUUCAAAAUAGUUUUUGGGUUGGAGAUAGUCUAAGUUAUCUCUUUACAAAUUUACCAGGUCUGAAACGAUAAAACACAUAAUUUAUCUUUGAAUGUGAUAAAUUUGGAGGAAAUCUUAGAAGUAUAUAACCAAUUUCUCUCAAUUUUAUUGAUUAGCAAAUAGACUUAUUUAUACAAAAGAUAUAACUUGACUAAUAAGUUUUUAAAAUAUUUGAUAAUAGAAAUCUAUCUAUUUAGUUAAUAGAGAAUAUACACAAAUAUUAAAUUUUUUUGAAUUGGAUCGCUCCGAGAUCUCCUUAACAGAAUGAGUUCCCACUUAUAUGUUGUAUAUAUAUAAUUGGUAUGCAAAAGGUAAUAUGGUCUCUAUAAAAUUCAGUGAUGAUUGAAAAGAGGAAGACAUGGUCAAAAACACAGCCUGUUUUUUUGGUUGUUAAUAUGUGUCUCUUCCCUUUAUAAUUUUAUUUCUAUAGUGGAAGAACAUGCAUAUGUGUGACAUCUCAAGAAUUAGGUUUAGGGCCUAUUUUUUCGAUCAAAACCCUAAAACGUUAACCCUGAAACUUGUCACCGAAGAAACCUUAAACCUCAUCACUUUCUCUAUAAAAGGUGUGAGCUUGUGACAGUGGAGAAGAGAGAGAGUUUCUGCGGCGAAGCCCUGUCAAAAUCAUUUUCGAUCAGCCACCAUCAAACACCUCGAAGGAGAAGCAACUGCAGCCUCUGGAAGACAGAUCGAACCAGUCGUGGCGCAGAAGAGAAAUGAACAGUCAAACAAAAUUGGAUCAACCUAAAAAUUGGUGAGAAUGUUUCUGACCUUAUAUCUAUCUAUAGCCGAAAGCCGUUUAUUAUUUGGAGUUAUGGUUUGAAAGUUAUGGGUGUUUUUGCGAGUCAUAUCUGUGCAGAUCCGAUCCGCGAGCAGCCAACUUGUGAUGCGUUUUGCCGGCGAUCUAGGAAGUUCCAGAAGACGAUCUACAUACCGGAGUGAAGAUCUUCAACCCAGAUUUCUAGAUCAAUCUUCAGAUAUUCAUUCCGAGCUGUUACCAGAAAGUUAUGAUCAUUUACCUGUCGUAUAUCAAAUAUGUCCAAAGGUGAAUCGGGUUUGCUAUUCUUCAUCAAGUAGCAAAGGUGAGGACAAGUUUGUGGAUUUCUAAGAUAUAUUAGUUGAUUUAGUAAUGUGUGUAUACUUAGUGUAAGUAUUAUUCUAGGUUGAUUGUUGCUUGAGUUUGAUGCAUAUAUUAUGUAUACUCAUUAUUGUAUUUCAAAUAAUAUGUUAAAGAAUUUUGUGUGUUUCAAGAGCACAUCCUCACUGAAUAUUUUUCUCCGAAUACUUACCCCUCUUUUCUUUUUUCAGAUGAGACCAAGGAGUAGUACUUGUGGCGGUCGUUAUGAUGUUAUGUCUGGAAAACAUGGGCGCAUUUCUGUAAUUAUUUUGAAUAAGAAUUUUAAUUAUAUUUUCUUUAGUUUCCUUCAAAUAUUUAAGACUUUUCGAGUUCUAGAUUUAUAUAUUUUUAAUAAAAAAAAUUUUGAUACUAAAUAAAUAAUUAAUAGGUUUGUUAUUAUUUUUAAAAACUGUUAAAUAAAUGUAAUUUAAGUUAUGUUGUAUUUUCGAGAUUAGGGUGUUUCAAUAUGACUUGUGACUUGACUCUCCAUUUCUUACAUAUAACUAUGAAAUUCCGAGCUUUUGAUCCAUAAUCUUUCCAAACCAUGGACAAGACUUUGAUAAUUAAUACCCUUUUGGGAUGUAAAACUUCCUUUACAAGUGAAUUGAACUAGGACUGCAAGGAUAAACCUCUUUUAUGAGACAGUGCCAACGCCAGUAGACCUCUAACAAUUUGGUGCCUCUCUAAAUUUGAUAGUCUUGAAAAUGCUCAAAACAUCAAGGUUUUAGAUAUUGGCCUUAGAGCAUGUACAAACCCUUAAGAGAGGGGUUCACCAGAAUAUAAUAAUAUUUUUUUUUUGUUUUAAUUUUUUAUUUAUUUAAUUCAAAAAUUAUAAUUUUCGACCAAUCAAAAUGUUCCAUUUCGGGAUGAUACCGUCUCUUCAGGUUCGUCGGGAUGAUACUGUUUCUUCAAGAUUAAGCUCUUUUGUUUUAAAAACUGUGCAAUGAACCCUUCUUGAUCCCCUGAUGUACAUGCUCUUAGGUAGAUGAUUUCUGUAUCAGGAAGGGAUGCAAAACACUAAUCCAAUAUUCUUGGCUCGAUUUUAUAAUCUGUAAAGUAUUAAUCGACAUCUGGUCCCAAACCUAAAAGAAAAGAAAAGAGAAACAGAACCUCUAACAUAGAAUACAUAGAAACAACUAUAUAAGAUUAAUUUAUUUUGCAAGUGAAGAUCGGAUACAAGUUGAUAUAAAAGCUUGUGCUCCAUGUUUAAUCCAUUCAGUCUGGUUGAUUUAAAUUCUAAAAACUAAACUUAUACCUAAUCAUGUUUAGUGAAGCAUAGACUUGAAAAGUAAGGUAUUAAUCCAUAUAAUCCUGAAUAAAAUUGUGUCUUAUUGUGUGCUAUUUUGACAAUUGGAGAUUAAAUAGCAAAAGCACAAAAACCUCCUAUCUGAAGUUUAUCCUCAUCGUUGAUGGAACCAAAGAAUAAAAAGAAUUGACUUAGCUGAAAUAGAUAAUUAUGGCAAUUUAAAAUAUAUAUAUAUAUAUAUAUAUUCUGCGGUGUUAUCACGCAACAUUAAUAGAGUGAUAUUUCAAGGAAUGUGGUUCUUCUGUGCCUCUCUGGCUAUUGAGUGGUGGCUCACGCCAUUUGUUCUCUAUAUAUGGCCCGUCUUCUUAUAUGUCAACUAUAGGUCUCGACUGUUUCAAACAAUAAUUUAUAUAUUUGUAUUUGUAAGAAAAUCUUAAAGACUUCUUUCACAUUUUAAAAAGUAAUUAAUUUUUAAUCAUAAAACUCUUUUUUUGCAAGUAUACGCAAACGCUGCAGACGAAUGGAGAUUUUUAAUUUCUCUUUGCAUUUGGCUGUUAUAUAUCAAAUACACUUUACUAAAUAUAUAGGGAGAUUUAGAGGUUCAAACACAAUUUUAAUGGUGUCAAAAUGUAAAUUCUGUCAAUAUUAAACAAAAUUAGUUCAUUAAUUGUAGAUUGAGAAUAAUUAAUUUUUCUAGUUUAGAGAUGUCAUAUGACACAUUAUUGCUCUUUCCAGUUUCCAAACUUUUUUUAUUUGAAUUCUCUUUCUUACUAUUUAGCUACUCAUAUGUACAUCUUUCUUUUUUUUCAAAAUUUUGACGAAUUAAUUCUUAUAUUUCUAUUUGAAUUAUAUUUAUUCGUUCUAAUAUUGUAACAUCCCGAUUCCUGGUUCCAGAGGAAACCAGAAUAAACCGGGAUAUUAACUAACCUAAAUUAGACUAAUUCUAAAUAACUUGUUGUUCUUUAUUCAAAUCCAAAUCCAAAUCCAAGUCUUACAAUAGAAAUGAAAUAACUUAUUAAAUCCGAAAUAAAAGAGAAACAUUGUCUUAAAAAGAAAGGUGAAAUAGUUCUUAAAAACAAUAAAACUUCUUUCAUUUCUGAAGGCACACCACACUAGAAUUACUCGUCUAGUUCUUCCCAGACAUCAUCAUAAUCACACUCACAAUCACAAUCACCUGCACAUCGGAAUUUAGAUAGAGAGGGGUGAGUAAUUUGGGAGAAUUACUCAGUGAGAACCAAACCAGGCUCCCGCCUUAUUCAUUUAUUUCCACCAACAUAUUAAGAAUAAAUCUCAUGAAACCAAACAAGCACUCUACAAGUGCACAAACAAAUAACAAGCAGUGAUGUCUCCGAUCCCGCCUCUCAAUAGGCCAAACCACCUUGUCACUCGGACACAGGUCGACAUCUCACCCUGUCACACAGACAGACGCCCUGUCACACAGACAGAGACCCUGUCACACAGACAGUCCAAUCCCGGCAUGCCACAUGGACAGCCCCGUGGGUCAUCACUCCACCGGAUGAAUGGAUUAUUGCCACGGUCACACAGACGGCACAUAACUCAGCAAACAAGCCUGCAUUCAGCACAUCACUAUACCAGAAACAGACUAUGACCUUUAGGACUUCUACCAAUCACUAACCAAUCAACAGGGUUAUCAAUCCAUCAUGCUGGUUCUUCCUCUAAUGAGAUCCUAGAUCUUAUUAGUUAUAUACAUAUAUAUGGAUCUGCCUAGAUGCACAAGAAGACAGACCUGUCCCACCAGAUCUAGACUCAACACACCAGAAGAAGAUAAAGGGAUAAGAAGAAAGACCUAGAUCUAAUCCUCACCUUGGCCUAAAAGCAGAUCUAAGAUUAAGGAGAACUAGAAGAGGCAAAAGAAUCAAGCAACUUCUGAGAAGGUGGAGGCAGGCGAGUGCUCCUUCUUCUCUCGGCAAGCGGCGGCGGCGGCACCCUUCUCCGGCAGCGGCGGCUUCCCUCCUCGGCGGCGGCGGCGGCGUGCAGCUUCUCCUUCUCUCUCUCACUUUCUUUUCUUUGGGGGCUAGGGUAAUUAGAGGCAAAAUGAGGUUCAUUAACUCCUAAUUCCCUAUUUAUAUUAGGGUUUCUAGAGUGGGCCUGGAUUUGCUGGGCCUCCUCUAAUUGGGCUGGGUUUGGGAUGUUACAACUCUCCCCUACUUCCAUAGAAUUCGUCCCCGAAUUCUCUCCUACUCCUCCGGUUUCUCCUUUGUCCUUCCGGGAAUUCAUUCCGCAUUUCCUGCUAUACUUCCCAGGUUUCCUCGCGGAUUCCAUCCCUUUCCCAACACACCUUAACCGCUGGCUUCCUCUUGCCAUUCAGCUCCUUUUCCCCAAAUUCCAACACUGCCACAGGCUGAUAUGCUGCUGAGAAGUCCUUCCUUACAUCUGAUGGCGGCUGGGGCAAAAUGAGCUCUGGCUCUCUCACAACUUUCCUCAGAAGAGAAAUAUGAAACACAUCAUGGAACUCAGCUAAUUCUUUGGGCAACUCUAAGCGAUAAGCCACUUCUCCAAUCCUCUCCAGGAUAGGGUACGGUCCCAUGUACCUAAGCUUAAGCUUCUUCAUCAGCCGAUGCUUAUCAUUCCCUCUGAAGGUCCUCAACUUCAGAUACACCAAAUCACCAACUUCAAAAGACAACUCCUGCCUUCGCUGAUCUGCAUAGCUCAUCUGGCGAUCAUGAGAUUCUUUCAACCUUGUCUUAAGCAUUUCCACUUGCUUAGACGCCUCCUCAAGAAGUUCUGGCUCUAGCACUCUCAUUUCUUCUACUUCGGUCCAGCACAGAGGUGUGCGACAAGGCCGACCAUAUAGAGCCUCGUAUGGUGCCAUCCCAAUGCUACUAUGAUAACUGUUAUUAUAAGCAAAUUCUGCCAAAGGCAAAUGCUUCUCCCAACUUCCUUCCCAAUCUAAGACACACGCUCUCAGCAGAUCCUCCAGGGUCCUAAUCGUCCUCUCCGAUUGGCCAUCUGUCUGAGGGUAGUAGGCUGUGCUGAGAUGAACCUUUGUUCCCAAUGCUUUCUGGAAAGCCUGCCAGAAACUAGCUGUGAACUUUGGAUCCCGAUCCGACACUAUGCUCACUGGAACUCCAUGCAACCUCACGAUAACAUCAAUAUACUUCUGCGCCAACUGCUCCGCUCCAUCCGUCUUUUUAAUUGGCAAAAAGUGAGCUGACUUAGUAAGACGGUCUACGAUUACCCAAAUCGCAUUCUUCUUACUUAUUGUCCUGGGCAACCCUGUCACAAAAUCCAUAGUUACCAUAUCCCAUUUCCAUUCUGGUAAUGGUAAGUUCUGGAGGAGUCCACUUGGUGCCAUCUGCUCUGCUUUCACUUGCUGACAUGUAGCACACUGGGAUAUCCAAGCAGAAAUAUCACGCUUCAUACCAGACCAAUGGUAGUAGCGUUUCAGAUCUCGAUACAUCUUGGUGUUCCCUGGAUGAAUAGAGAACUUUGACUGAUGAGCCUGACUUAACACUUCCCUCUUUAGCUCAUCAUUCAUGGGAACACAGACCCGAUUUCUGUACAUGUAAGUCCCAUUGUCUGCUUUGUGGUACCCAACCACUUGCUUUUCAAAAAUCUCCUUAAGAGACAAAUCAUGCGCUUGCUCCUGACGAAUCCUCAUCAGCAGGUCAGCAUUAUCCAAUGCUUCCAAUCCUGAGGCAUCAUCCUCUACUUCAGCGACACUCAAACUCAAAUUCGCCAGAGUCGCUAUCAGCUCCUGCGUUUCUUUAGCCUCAGAAACCGCAUUUCUCCUUCUACUCAAGGCAUCUGCCACCUGGUUGGCUUUUCCCGGAUGAGAGGAAAUUUCCAAAUCAUAAUCAGCCAAUAAUUCUAUCCACCUCCUCUGCCUCAGGUUCAAAUCAUCCUGAGUGAACACAUGCUUCAAACUUUGAUGAUCAGUAUAUAUGUGCACCUUCUCCCCAUACAGGUAAGCACGCCAAAUCUUCAGAGCAAAGACUACUGCUGCUAAUUCCAAAUCAUGAGUCGGAUAAUUCACUUCAUGCUUCCGAAGCUGUUUAGAUGCAUAGGCUACGACCUUCUUCUCCUGCAUCAGCACACAUCCUAACCCGGAUCCAGAGGCAUCGGUGUAUACAUCAUAUGGUAUUCCUGACCUUGGAAGUACCAAUAUUGGGGUCUCUGUGAGUUUCUGCUUCAACUCCUCAAAACUCUGAGAUCUCUUAUCCGUCCACUCAAACUUAACAUUCUUCUCCGUCAAGCUGGUGAGAGGUUUGGCAAUACGGGAGAAAUUAGGCACAAACUUGCGAUAAUACCCAGCCAGACCCAAAAAGCUACGAACCUCAGUAACACUUUUAGGUACAGGCCACUCUGUCACUGCAGUGAUCUUCUCAGGAUCCACUGCUACUCCCUCUUCGGAGACAAUAUGCCCAAGGAAUCCCAUCUUCCUCUGCCAAAAGCUACACUUGCUUAGCUUCGCAAAAAGCUGCUAAUCCCUUAACUUCUGCAGAAUCAUUCCCAAAUGCCAUUCAUGCUCCCUCUCCGACCUUGAAUAGACCAGGAUAUCAUCAAUAAAGACAAUCACACACUUAUCCAAGUGCUCCCGAAAAAUAUCAUUCAUCAACUUCAUGAAAACUGCAGACGCAUUAGUCAAUCCAAACGGCAUUACCACAAACUCAUAAUGACCAUAUCGAGUUCGGAAUGCUGUCUUACUAAUGUCCUCAUCUGCUAUUCGAAUCUGGUGAUAGCCUGACGCCAAAUCAAUCUUAGAGAACCAUGAAGCUCCUUCUAACUGGCCCAACAACUCAUCAAUCCUUGGCAAGGGAUACUUAUUCUUGAUGGUCACCUUAUUCAGCCCUCUAUAAUCAAUGCAAAGUCGAAAGAUUCCAUCUUUCUUCUUUACAAAUAGCACGGGCACUCCCCAUGGCGAGCUGCUUGGCCGAAUAAAUCCUUUAUCCGUCAAGUCCUCCAACUGCUUCUUUAGCUCAGCCAUCUCUGCUGGUGCCAAUCGAUAUGGAACCUUCACAACAGGGACUGUUCCAGGUUCUAAUUCGAUAGUGAAGUCAACUCCUCUUCUUGGCGGAGGUCCAGUCAAUGGUUGGAAUACGUCCGCAUAUUCAUUUACCACUGGUAUCUCCUCAAGGCUCUUAGGUGCUCCUUCUCCUACCAUAGAGACUGUCGCCAAGAAGGCUUCACAUCCUUCCUCUAUAAGAUUCUCGGCAUGAAUCAUCGAAAUAACUGGCACUCCUGUGUCGGUCUUUACUCCUUGAAAGACAACCCGACCUCCUCGAUGCGGAAUAUAGGCCCUCGACUUCCGGCAAUUCAGGACAACUUCAUAAUGCUUCAGCCAGUCCAUUCCAAGGAUGACAUCAUAGUGGCCCAACUUCAUUUCCACUAGAGCCCAAGGAAAAUCUGCUCCUUCCAACAAGAUAGGCACCUCUUCAUGGAUUCCAAUGGUCUCCACCUGCUCACUUCCAGCAGUUUCCACUGCUUUCAACCUGGGGGUGAACUUUCCGGAGAAGGUCUAACACUGGGUCAACCUCGGGCUCACAAAACUAUGUGUGGCACCGGUGUCGAACAGUGUAUAUGCAAUCGCGCCCCCUACUGAGACCGAUCCUACAUGAUUACUUAUAUCUAGUCAUGCAUUUCCAUUCUACAUUCCUAUUCACAAGCAAAAAUAUAGAAUCUCACAAAACAUUACUAACCAGCGAUCGGUGCUGCUCCUUCGGGAUCUCCGAUGGCAAAAACACGGGGUUCCACAGCUUGCCUCUUAGCUGGUGGUCCUGGCAAUGCUCCCACUCCUUGCUGAGGAUUCGCAUUCCCCGGACAAUCCCUCCUCUGAUGGCCACUCUUCCCACAACGGUCCCCACGACUGCGCAAUCCCUCUCAUGGUGGCCAACACUACCACAGCCAAAACAUUUGGGAGCGCCACACCUUCCUAGGUGCCUCCUUCCACACCUCUGGCACAUAGGCAGUUCCACCCCUGGAGCUGCCAUAGUGUCCCAAGUCCUUUUCGGCCCUUCCUGAGCACGGUUUGGACGAGACGAGUCCUGCCUGACUCUCCUUAGCUCCUCAAGCGAGGUCUCUUGGAUGGCAGCGGUCUCCACAAGCUCCACCAAGGUGUCAUAUCUCCUAAGAGAACACCUGCUCCUCAGCUCCAACUUCAAGCCCUUCAUGAACUGACGAACCAAAUCUGCCUGCGUGAACUGCUUCCUGGAGAACCUCCUCAACCGGUUAAACUCCUCCUUGUACUCCCUUACAGUACGGUGCGCCUGACGCAGGUCCUCAAAGGCACUCUCCAUCUGAUCCAAAGCUUCAGGUGGGAAAUACUCCUUAGCAAAAGCUUCCUGGAAUUCCCGGUAGGUCAACUCAUAACGACCUUGAGUCGCUUCGACCACACCAUCCCACCAUAUCAGCGCCUCUUCCUUCAGGUACUGAACAGCUAGAUCCUUCCGGUAUCCCUCCGGACAUCUCAUGGCUUCAAAAUUCCUCUCCAACCUCUUCCUCCAGUUAUCCGCAGACACUGGGUCAAACCUCCCGCCAAAGGCUUCCAUUCCCAUAUCCUUCAAAUGUUUCAUGGCCUGAUAAAAGGUCAGUCUAAACACAUUGACAGGCGCAGGAGGCAGUGGAGGCACAUACUGCUGCUGAACAUACACUGGCGGCACUACCACAGGCGGCGGCUCAAACACUGGCGGCUGCACAUUCUGCUGCUCCUGAUGCUGCGGCUGCUGCUGCUCCUGCUGAGCAUUCACUCCCACUCCAGGGUUCAAGUGGCCAUACAUCUCCCGAUAACGGCGCAACUCCUCCAGGACUGCAGCAUGAGCUGCUUCUGCUGCUGGAGGCACUUGAACAGGCACACCUCCCGCAAGGUUCUCUCCCUGCUGAUCCACUGGAGCUGGGGACACUGGGGCAACACUUCCAGAUGUGCCCGAGGCCUCAUCAGCACCACCUGAACGACGAGCUUGGGAUCUGGUGCGCACAUUCUUUGCCCUCGGAGGCAUCUGACAAGACAUGGAGACAGAUAAGUUAGCCUGGUCCCGUAAAGACUAACUUCCUACAAAAGAAAGAACAACAAAACUAGAGAGGCUAGUCUAGGUGGUGGUUUUCUUUCUUUGAAAACAUUUGAAAAAUCUUUGAACUUUGAAAACUUGAAAACUUUUUUUUUUUUUUUUUUUGAAAUCCGAAUCCCAUUCCCACUAUUCUAGACUUAGCUCUCUUAACACCUAACUCGAACCAUGCUCUGAUACCAAAUUGUAACACCCCGAUCCUGGUUCCAGAGGAAACCAGAAUAAACUGGGAUAUUAACUAACCUAAACUAAACCAAUUUCAAAUAACUUGUUGUUCUUUAUUCAAAUCCAAACCUAAAUCCAAGUCUUACAAUAGAAAUGAAAUAACUUAUUAAAUCUGAAAUAAAAGAGAAACAUUGUCUUAAAAAGAAAGGUGAAAUAGUUCUUAAAAACAAUAAAACUUCCUCCAUUUCUGAAGGCACACCACACUAGAAUUACUCGUCUAGUUCUUCCCAGACAUCAUCACAAUCACACUCACAAUCACAAUCACCUGCACAUCGGAAUUUAGAGAGAGAGAGGGGUGAGUAAUUUGGGAGAAUUACUCAGUGAGAACCAAACCAGGCUCCCGCCUUAUUCAUUUAUUUCCACCAACAUAUUAAGAAUAAAUCUAAUGAAACCAUACAAGCACUCUACAAGUGCACAUACAACUAACAAGCAGUGAUGUCUCCGAUCCCACCUCUCAAUAGGCCAAACCACCUUGUCACUCGGACACAGGUCGACAUUUCACCCUGUCACACAGACAGACGCCCUGUCACACAGACAGAGACCCUGUCACACAGAUAGUCCAAUCCCGGCAUGUCACAUGGACAGCCCCGUGGGUCAUCACUCCACCGGAUGAAUGGAUUAUUGCCACGGUCACACAGACGGCACAUAACCCAGCAAACAAGCCUGCAUUCGGCACAUCACUAUACCAGAAACAGACUAUGACCUUUAGGACUUUUACCAAUCACUAACCAAUCAACAGGGUUAUCAAUCAAUCAUGCUGGUUCUUCCUCUAAUGAGAUCCUAGAUCUUAUUAGUUAUAUACAUAUAUGGAUCUGCCUAGAUGCACAAGAAGACAGAUCUGUCCCACCAGAUCUAGACCAGAUCUAGACUCAACACACCAGAAGAAGAUAAAGGGAUAAGAAGAAAGACCUAGAUCUAAUCCUCACAUUGGCCUAAAAGCAGAUCUGAGAUUAAGGAGAACUAGAAGAGGCAAAAGAAUCAAGCAACUUCUGAAAAGGUAGAGGCAGGCGAGUGCUCCUUCUUCUCUCGGCAAGCGGCGACGGCGGCACCCUUCUCCGGCGGCGGCGGCUUCCCUCCUCGGCGGCGGCGGCGUGCAGCUUCUCCUUCUCUCUCUCACUUUCUUUUCUUUGGGGGUAAGGGUAAUUAGAGGCAAAAUGAGGCACAUUAACUCCUAAUUCCCUAUUUAUAUUAGGGUUUCUGGAGUGGGCCUGGAUUUGCUGGGCCUCCUCUAUUUGAGAUGGGUUUGGGAUGUUACAAAUAUAUUAGUUUUUCUUUUUCAUUUUUUUAAUUGACAUCAAGAGUUUGGUUUUCCCAUCUUUGGAAAAACUAUUUUACACAUAUAUCGACUGAAUCAAAUAUAUCUUGAUCAUGUUAAGUACUAAGUUUGAGAUAUCAAACUUUAUAUAAUAAGAUAUAAACAAUACCAAAAGAAAAAGACUAACCUGAUGUAAUUAAUAUCAAAACACAUAAUCAAGUAUAACACUAAACAAAAUAAAAUAAAAGUACAUCAGAAUAAAAUGAAGACAAACAUAUCCUCGAAGGGUCUUUGAAAUCGAACUCUCUUUGACGUUUGCUGCUACACUCUUGCAUACUUCGCAUACUAUGUAAUUAAGAUUUUCUUUUUAAUUGACACCAAAAAUUUGGUUUUCCCAUCUUUAUUAUUUUAUCUGAUUGGCAAACAAUAUUUUACACAUAUAUCGACUGAAUCAAAUAUAUCUUGAUCAUGUUAAGUACUAAGUUUGAGAUAUCAAACUUUAUAUAAUAAGAUAUAAACAAUACCAAAGAAAAAAAAACUAACCUGAUGUAAUUAAUACCAAAAUGCAUAAUUAAGUAUAAAACUAAACGAAAUAAAAUAAAAGUACAGCAGAAUAAAAUGAAAACAAACAUAUACUCGAAGGAUCUUGAUUUGAAGUUGAACUUUUCUUUUACGUUUUCUGCUACACUCUUGCAUACUUCGCAUAUUAUGUAGUUAAGAAAGAAAAAAUCCACAGUUAGUUUAUUUUUAAACAAUAUAUAUAUAUAUAUAAUAUUAACGUUUUGGAAAAAAAAUAUUUAACUCACAAUAUACUUAGUCUGUUUGACCACAAAUAAUUUAUUUACACAUUUUAGUAAGUAAGGAUUAAUUACAUUUUGCAUAAACAUUCAAGAUUGAUUAAGUUUUCAUCGUCUAACUAUAUCAUAUAUCGUAGUGGAUUUUGAAUAUCCACUACGGUUUCUUCAGAAAUAAUAGAAUUAAUUAUUUUUUUUGAAAAAAAAUCUAUUUUAUUUUUGUAUUUUUGUGUUAUUAAACAUGUAAAAAAAACAGAGUUAUCAACCAUACAUGUGUUGAAAUACUUUAAAAAAAAAAACGUUGCUUCUUAUAAUAUUCCAAUUAUAAUUGGGUAGGAUGGGCUUAAGAACCUUGAAACCUUAACCGGGAAAAUCGAAGUGAACCAAUUUGAUUUGGUUAUAACUUAACCUAAAAAUCCCUUUGGUCAUUAUUUUUAUUAAAUUUUGAACUUCUGAUUUCUAAUUCUAAUUUUUCUUACCUUUUUUGCUUAUAAUUCACUCAUGUUUUGCUUACAAUUUACUUUUGUUUUGCUUAAUUUUUCAAAAUUAAUUUUGAAGUAUUUUAAAAUAACUAUUAUCUGCUGAAUUUCAAAACAAAAUUAUUUAUCCUGAAUAGCUUUUUUCUGUCAACAGCUGGAUAAUAACUCAAACAGCUCAGAAAAUCCAAACCGGAUGUAUAUAAAAUUUCCACAUAGUGGCAGAGCUAAAAACUUUUGCGAAAUAAUAUAUUAAAUAAAUAUAAUCAACAAGAGUAAUAAAAAAAUUAUAUGUUAACUAAAUAUAAUCGACGAAUUUAAUUAAAAUCAUUUAUGUUUCAUUUCAUAUACAAUAUAUAUAUAUAUAUAUAUAUUUUGCAUAUACAUAAAUAUAAAUAAAUAUAUAUAUAUAAAUAUAUAUAUAUAUGAAUUCAUACAUUAAAAUUUGUAAUCUAUGAAAAAUCUAAAAUAAAAACUCAACUUCAAAUAGAUCUUGAUAUAUGUGAUAGUGUUGGUUUGUUGUUGUUAAAGAUUUCAAAGAAAAAAUCUUGUAUAUAUGUGUUUCGUGAAAAAUUAUAACCUAAUUACAGUAGAUUGUUAAACAAUUUUUUUGACAAAAUAGUAGAUUGUUUACUUAAUCAUGUGAAAUAUGAAUAAGUACAUUAACUUCUUUAUAGUUACCUCUUAAUUAUUGACAAGAGUCCAAGUAAAUUAACUUCUUUAUAGUUUUUAUGAGUUUUGAUUGGUUUUGCAUAGGGGUAAAAACUUAUUUAAAAUUGGGGUCAAUAUACAUAAUUAUUCAUAAAUAACAUAUAAUGAAUUUCGUAAAAAUUUUAGGUCAAUUGAUCCCCUAUCAUCUAUCUACCUCGGCCCCUGUUUGGAUAAUGCGUUGACGUUUGUGUUAAACGUUUUUGCAAUUUAUUUAGUCUUUUUGUUUCAUUUGAGUGUUUGCCAAUGCGUUUGGUUUAAAAGUUUUUGGUUACGUUAGUGUUCUCGGCGAACAUUUCCAUUUUGCAUUUUAACAUUUAGUAGAUUUAUUAUGUAUAUUUUACAAUUUUUAGAGGCAACUAGGUUAUUUACCACGCCUGGCAUGCAUGAGACAGACCAUCGUUGUAUUGUUGCUCUUCCGUUUAAUUACUUAGAUUUAUCUUCAUGAUGCGUUAUUACAAACCCAACAUAACCUUUAGUCUUGGUUAAUAUUUACUUUCAUAAAUCCUCUGUAUCACUAUUGGUUCUUGUGUAUUUGAUCCUAUAUAUUUUACCAAAUUACCAUAAACUUCACCUUACAUUUUGUAGAUUUAUCGAGUUAAAGUUCGAGAUAUAUAGUUUUUGACAAAGUUGUCGAGAAUGAAUUUGUCAUCCAAAGAUCAAGGAUUCAAGUUUAACCUGUAAUAUUCUUUUAUUUGCUACUAGUUAUCAGAGGCCACAAUCAGCUCCCCUCAUUCUGGAGUAGUACGGAUACAAAUAUGGGUGAAAUCGUUAGUAGAAAGCUCAAUCAGGAUAUGAGGAUAAUGAGUGAAUGGCAGCUUCCGUAAGCCAGUACUUGACCAAAGCAAAACACUUAUUCUUAGAAACAAGAUACAGUAAAAACUCUAUAAAUUAAUAAUGUUAGAACUUUGAUAUUUUAUUAAUUUAUAAAGUUAUUAAUUUAUAAUUUUAAAUAAUAAAUAUUUUUUAUUUUUUAUUAAUUUUUAAAAAGAUAUUUUUUAAAAGAUUCUAAUUUAUAAAAUAUUUUUUUCUAAAAUGAAAGAUGAGUUAUAAGAAAACUUUAAUUUAAAAUAAAUAAAAAAACAUCAGUAAACUCAUAUUUUAGUAGAUUAUCUCACUUAUAUGUUUAUAUUAGAUUUUAUUUAUGAUAAAUAUUAAUUUAUAAUACUAUUAGGACCAUAUAUUUAUAUAUGAAUUUUGUUAGAUAUAUUAUCUUAUCGAAUUAUGUAAUAUUUUAAACCAGUUUAACUUGGAAUUAUGAAAAAAUAUUAAUUUAUAAUGUUUAUUAAUUUAUCGAGUAUAAAUUUAUAGAGUUUCUAUUAUAUAUGAGUUGGUGUAGCAGUUGUUUUUUAGCUUGGAAACAAUUCACGGAAUAUACAUUAGAGAUCACUCUCAUCACAGCUUCACUAAAAUUGCGUUACUGUCUUACUGAACAUCUAUUACCGAGGAGAGAUUUUGGAUGGCUCUAGACAUAGCCAGUAAUGGCGAAUGCAUGACCAACUCUACAAAAGAAAUUCAACUUCUUGUGGAGAAUCUAACAAGUAUCUAGCAACAAAAACCAAUGUCCAAACUAGUAUAGGUCCAACACAAGAUGUAGCACCAUAAGCACACAAGAUUGAUGAGACAAAUGCCAAGAUUGAUUAGCUUUAAAGAGAGAUUAAAGGUCAGUUACUACAAUGAGGACUAUAGAGGAGCUCAAGGAGAUCAGUGUUAACAAAAGUGUAAUGGAAAUUGUUAUGAAGUGUAACAAGUAGGAUCAGUGGAGAUCAGGUGAACUAAUUAAUUAAUAGAGAUGAACUUCAUUGGGGAUCAACAAACCUAAACAUACUUUUCGACGUUCUAUAAAAACUCAAACUGAUGAUCAAUGGUCAUAUAAAAAAUAUUACAUAUGAACGAAAUAAAUAUCAGAUAAGAGGUAGAGUUGGCAAUCUUUGCAAUGGAUCCAGAAAUAGCUACAUGACUUUGUGGGAUGAUUGUUGGAUUUUAACAAAGGUUUUAAUGUGGAAAAGAUCUCUAGAGGUCAGUCUGUAAGGUAUUCAAUUGUAUUAGUUACUCUUUCUUAGAACAUAAUCAAUAUGGGUGGCAUGAUACCAUCUAAAUAUCAUCAACGACAAUAGUUUAUAGGGAAUCAAACAAAAGAAGAAUCUAACCUGGAUGAACAAUCACUAAAACUUGGAGGAAAUGCAGCUUAAUGAAUACAAUUUUUGCAUGGGAAUGGAGUCAACUACAAAUUAUAAACAGAUUACAUUUAGAUCUUUGAUAAGCUACAUGGGAUCUUGAGGUCCUCUUCAAACCGAAAUCCUCUCUCAACCAUUUUUUCUAAUUCCAUCUAGUGUCAUGACAGUUGACUUCUUCUAUCUUUGUCAAUAGUGUUUUUUGUUUCUUAUAAAAUACGGAAAAACUACUUACGAUGAAGGAUUGGCAAAGUAGACCACUAUCACGUUUGCUCAGGCCAAAUCUACAACUAAAUCAUAGAAACCAUACCGUAGGUGAGAUGACACAAGAUCGUCUGGUUCAGAAGAAGGAUUUUGAAAAAACACUUACAUGGAUGUUCCUCCAAAUCAGUGUCCUAUUCAAGAUCGACUUAUCUCUUGGGACAUCCAAAUCGAUCCUCCUUGCCUGCUUUGCAAUCGGAAUCCAGGAAGCGGAGAUCACUAUAUUUUGCAUGUGACUUCUCUUGAGCGGUCUGAAUUGAGCUCUCCAUGAAAUUACGGUUUUCAGUGAUUUGGAAUACUCUUCUAGACAUUUCAUCUCCCUCCAAGGCAACAAUCACAUCAAAUAUAUUACUCUUUCUUGAUUGACAAGCAACCAAUCAUCUUCGAACACUUAACACAUAUGUCUCGUCAAACUAUGUUAUAAAUAACGAAAAAGUCAUCAAAAAGGUUAAACAGCCCUUUUUGAUCCUAUAAUCCUCGAGCUGCCAGCAAAACCAUACAAUUAUGGAUUUAUGGUUCUUUCUGCUCUGGAUUUUCAGUUGUUGCUUUGGUUCUAACGUUCAUUCAUGUCACCUCUAUUUCCAUAUAGAUCACUAUCAUAAUGGGCUUCUCCUUUUCUUUUGGUUUGUAUUAGUUCUUUGUGGACAUCAUUUCUACUUAUUCAGAUGGACUCUAAUGAUCUUUAAAAAAAAAAUUAUUUGAAUUAUUAAAAAAGGCUGGAAAAUGAUAAUUUUCAACAUUUUUAAUCAAAAUCUUUAGCGCCAAUCAAAGUUUUUAUUCUCAUGUAUAAAGUUUUUUGUUCACAAGUUUAGCCGGGUCCUACUCCUGUCCUAACUCUUUACUCUUUAGUUUCCGCGUAGAUUCGAGAUUGUGACAUGUUUCUUUUGUGUAUCACGGAAUCAAAACGGAGCGUUCCGGUUGCUUUCUUCUUUCGGAGUAAUUGUAUUUGCUCAACUGUUUCCAACUUUAUAUUCAGACAAAACCUACUUGAAGCCAAAUCUUCUAUAAAUUUAUAAGCAUGAUUGGUUAUUUAUGCGUAAAUUUGGAUAUAGAGCUUUGUGAAAGUAAAAUAAGGAAACUAAUAAUGAACAAAAGAUAGUAUUUAAAAAGAAUUGUAUAACCUAAGCUCUUCUCAUAGAUCAAAUACAAAUGUCUAAAGAAAACAAUGCUACGAAACUAACAAAUCCAAAUGAAAGAAAAAAUUCAAAAAAAGAAAAAGAAAAUGAAAUAGAAAAAUACAAAUGAUAAAAGGUAAAAUUUCUUCUAUACAACAAACAACUCUUUUUUUAUCCUCCGUUUAUUUAUUUUUCACCAAAUAAAUUUUCUAAAGAAUCUCGAAUUGCGCGUAUGCUUUGUAAGAAUUGACAAACCGACAUCGUAUCGCGUUUUAGGGUUCGUGCCACGUCAUCGUUUCGGUGACAAGUUUUCUCAAAAGAAUCAAUAGAACGGCGGUGGUGGAGGAGAAGCAUAUGAUACUCCGAUGACCGGCGGCAAUGGUCCCUCAUAUUCAGGGGACGGUGGUGGUGGGCUGUGGUGUAUCACCGCAGGUGGUGGCGGAGAACUAUGAUGGACUGGAGGUGGCGGCGGUGAGCUGUAAUGGACUUGCGGUGGUGGCGGCGGUGAGCUGUAAUGGACUUGCGGUGGUGGCGGCAAUGAGCUGUAAUGAACCGGCGGUGGAGGGGGUGAAUUGUAAUAGACUUGUGGUGGCGGUGGAGAGUUGUAAUGGAGUGGUGGAGGCGGUGAGCUAUAANNNNNNNNNNNNNNNNNNNNNNNNNNNNNNNNNNNNNNNNNNNNNNNNNNNNNNNNNNNNNNNNNNNNNNNNNNNNNNNNNNNNNNNNNNNNNNNNNNNNNNNNNNNNNNNNNNNNNNNNNNNNNNNNNNNNNNNNNNNNNNNNNNNNNNNNNNNNNNNNNNNNNNNNNNNNNNNNNNNNNNNNNNNNNNNNNNNNNNNNNNNNNNNNNNNNNNNNNNNNNNNNNNNNNNNNNNNNNNNNNNNNNNNNNNNNNNNNNNNNNNNNNNNNNNNNNNNNNNNNNNNNNNNNNNNNNNNNNNNNNNNNNNNNNNNNNNNNNNNNNNNNNNNNNNNNNNNNNNNNNNNNNNNNNNNNNNNNNNNNNNNNNNNNNNNNNNNNNNNNNNNNNNNNNNNNNNNNNNNNNNNNNNNNNNNNNNNNNNNNNNNNNNNNNNNNNNNNNNNNNNNNNNNNNNNNNNNNNNNNNNNNNNNNNNNNNNNNNNNNNNNNNNNNNNNNNNNNNNNNNNNNNNNNNNNNNNNNNNNNNNNNNNNNNNNNNNNNNNNNNNNNNNNNNNNNNNNNNNNNNNNNNNNNNNNNNNNNNNNNNNNNNNNNNNNNNNNNNNNNNNNNNNNNNNNNNNNNNNNNNNNNNNNNNNNNNNNNNNNNNNNNNNNNNNNNNNNNNNNNNNNNNNNNNNNNNNNNNNNNNNNNNNNNNNNNNNNNNNNNNNNNNNNNNNNNNNNNNNNNNNNNNNNNNNNNNNNNNNNNNNNNNNNNNNNNNNNNNNNNNNNNNNNNNNNNNNNNNNNNNNNNNNNNNNNNNNNNNNNNNNNNNNNNNNNNNNNNNNNNNNNNNNNNNNNNNNNNNNNNNNNNNNNNNNNNNNNNNNNNNNNNNNNNNNNNNNNNNNNNNNNNNNNNNNNNNNNNNNNNNNNNNNNNNNNNNNNNNNNNNNNNNNNNNNNNNNNNNNNNNNNNNNNNNNNNNNNNNNNNNNNNNNNNNNNNNNNNNNNNNNNNNNNNNNNNNNNNNNNNNNNNNNNNNNNNNNNNNNNNNNNNNNNNNNNNNNNNNNNNNNNNNNNNNNNNNNNNNNNNNNNNNNNNNNNNNNNNNNNNNNNNNNNNNNNNNNNNNNNNNNNNNNNNNNNNNNNNNNNNNNNNNNNNNNNNNNNNNNNNNNNNNNNNNNNNNNNNNNNNNNNNNNNNNNNNNNNNNNNNNNNNNNNNNNNNNNNNNNNNNNNNNNNNNNNNNNNNNNNNNNNNNNNNNNNNNNNNNNNNNNNNNNNNNNNNNNNNNNNNNNNNNNNNNNNNNNNNNNNNNNNNNNNNNNNNNNNNNNNNNNNNNNNNNNNNNNNNNNNNNNNNNNNNNNNNNNNNNNNNNNNNNNNNNNNNNNNNNNNNNNNNNNNNNNNNNNNNNNNNNNNNNNNNNNNNNNNNNNNNNNNNNNNNNNNNNNNNNNNUUGGUGCUGCGAAACAGGUGGUAACGGAGUUACAACCGGAGGACGAGACGGAACAGACCGGCCACAACUAAACGAUCCACAAUUUACCGGCGGCUGAGACAAGAACGCUUUACAUUGCCCUGGAGACCUCUGAGCAGGUCUUCCCGGCAAACAAUUUCUCCGAUCGUCAAACUCUGGCAAUCUAAGACACACAGGCGCUUCUCCGGUGAAGAAAUUGUAACUAAAAGUGAAGUUCUCAAGUUUGGGUAACUGGCAAAUACUAGCCGGAAUCUUCCCGGAUAAUUUAUUAUGCGCCACAUCAAGCUGCUCCACCGAAACCAUCUCUCCUACACUCUCCGGCAACGGCCCCACAAGCUCAUUAAAGCUGACGUCAAACACCGUCACGUUUUUCAACCGUCCGAUAUCCGCCGG